GCCCGGCCCCCGGCCCCGUCAAGGCCCGCCACGAGGACACGCAAUCAUGCACGCACCGGGCCUCUUUCGGACGAGCUGUCCGUCUUUGCGCGCCACCGCAUUUUGUGCUGUCUGUAUUUUUUUCUAACUGGCCGGACGGGCCGGCCUCUCCUGUGUAGCCCCGCUCACGCGCGUUCGUUCGCCUCGGAUUCUUUCUUUCUUGCCCCCCUCCCUGUACCGCCAAAUUGAUGAGAUUUGAUUUAUAUUUUUAUUUAUCAUUACUCCCCUUCAUUGUAUUAUGCCAUCCUUGUUUAAUCAUAGAUCUGUCUCUUUCAUCAUGCGCGCGUGCACUGUUUGUUGGGGGUGGGGUGUCCCGUCCUGAGACGUGAUGUGUGCGGUGCUGGCCGGCCAGAUCUGGUUUUGGUUCGAUGUGUAUGGCGCUUGCAUCUGGUCUGGACCUGGACCAGGGACACCGCAACCGAAAUGGGAAUUUUACUUUACCUUUCUCGGACGUGCUCGUUCUAACACGGUCGCAGCUGAAAUGCUAAGACGAUUUGGGUAUUUUUUCCACCCAUGCUUGCCUAUUUAUCUCGAGAAAGAAACUAGCAGGAGCAAAAGAUGGUAGGCAUCUCGUUUAUCACAAGGAGAAAUACGUUCUCCCGAAAUAUCAACCCAUCGAUUCGACCACUGCCGUCAUCAGAAGGAGCCGUUGCGGACUCACUUGCAGAUGCUUUUAACCUCACAAAUGUUGAAAUAAAAAAAAUUAUGUUAUUCUAUACCUAAUAAUAAUAAAGCGACUAUUGCUUUCGUCGGAAAACUCACCGCGACAUUUUCAUAAAAAAAGCCCCUGUAAUUUUUGUUGUUCAACCCGCGCUCCAUCAUUUAUCUCCAACGCAAAAGAAAAAAAACGAUUCGCUGCAAAAAAUAUACUCGUACGCAUCGCCUCAUCCCGUCGAUCCUGGGCCACCCUGGCCUGUGCCCAGGCCGCCGCCACACCACUCGCCGUCGCGGCCGACCUCAACCGCCACCGCUGUCGAUCUCAACCCACCGCCUCCGCGGCCGUACCUCUCACCGCUCACUGCCCCCGUUUGCGGCGCUCGAGCUCAUCGUCGUGACCUGKACCCUUGGUACCACCCUGGCCUGUGCCCAGGUCGUUGCCUACGGACCACNNNNNNNNNNNNNNNNNNNNNNNNNNNNNNNNNNNNNNNNNNNNNNNNNNNNNNNNNNNNNNNNNNNNNNNNNNNNNNNNNNNNNNNNNNNNNNNNNNNNGAGUGUUCACAAUCAUAGAUGGUGUCAAGGAUGAUAUAUUUAUAUGUGAACCUCUCCUUCUUUAUCACUUCCCAUUAAUUGCAACAAUGACCAAGGUCUACGUUUGUCUACCCUCAACAAGUUUGAAUCAUCAUCCUUUUUAUAUAUGAAGCCAUCACUUCCCAUAAGAUCACUAUAUGAUCUCUCAUGGUUUUUUUCUUUCUCGAUCUUUUGAUCAUGGCAAGAGGCAAAGCCCUUCAACUAAGAUACUCCUUAUUAUAUGGCUCACGAGCUCGAAUACAUCAGGGGGAGACGCAAAGCAAAAACUCAAGCCUAAAACACUAAGACAUUUAUUCUACUAGAGAAAGAGAAAAACUGAAAAAGGAACAAACUAAAAACAAAGGUAAAGGCAAAAGAUAUGAUGGUGAUACGAUACCGGGGCAACUCCCCCAAGCUUGGCACAAGCCAAGGGGAUUGCCCAUACCCAUGCUCAGUUGUCUUCCUUUGGAGUGAUGGUGGUCACUGGUGAAGACGACGAACGCUCCGUCUUGAUGCGGGUAGUCGUCAGGGGUGUGGGCCGUUGCCGCGAGGCGGCGGUGGCGGAGCNGAGCAUGAUUGGGAGNNNNNNNNNNNNNNNNNNNNNNNNNNNNNNNNNNNNNNNNNNNNNNNNNNNNNNNNNNNNNNNNNNNNNNNNNNNNNNNNNNNNNNNNNNNNNNNNNNNNCGACCGUUAACCCCCCCUUCGGGUUCCGGCGGCCCUCCGGGUUCGGGCCGUUUAAUGGGGGCCCCCGUCGUUUGGCCCCCCUUUUUCGGCUCCCAUCUUUCCUAUAAGGAGGGUUUCGUUCCNUAAAAAAUCAAGAGUAGGCUUUCGGGAGGAAUCGCCGCCGCCACAGGCGGAACUUGAACAGAACCAGUCUAGAGCUCCGGCAGGGCCGUCCUGCUGGGGGAAACUUCCCUCCCGGAGGGGGAAAUCGUCGCCAUCGUCAUCACCAACACUCCUCUCAUCGGAGGGGACUCAUCACCAUCAACAUAUUCAUCAGCACCAUCUCAUCUCCAAACCCUAGUUCAUCUCUUGUAACCAAUCUCCGUCUCGCGAUUCCGAUUGGUACUUGUAAGGUUGCUAGUAGUGUUAAUUACUCUUUGUAGUUGAUGCUAGUUGGAUUACUCGGUGGAAGAUCAUAUGUUCAGAUCUCUAAUGCUAUUCAAUACCUCUCUGGUCAUGAACAUAAUUAUGUCUUUGUGAAUAUCUAUGCAAUUGUUUAUUUCUAUAGGCAUCACGUCCGAAACAAGUAGACCGAUACUUUCUGCAUCUACUACUAUUACUCCACACGUCGACCGCUAUCCAGCAUGGAUCUAGUGUANNNNNNNNNNNNNNNNNNNNNNNNNNNNNNNNNNNNNNNNNNNNNNNNNNNNNNNNNNNNNNNNNNNNNNNNNNNNNNNNNNNNNNNNNNNNNNNNNNNNGUAACGUAACGUAACGUAACGUAACGUAACGUAACGUAACGUACGUACGUACGUAACGUACGUACGUACGUACGUAACGUAACGUAACGUAACGUAACGUAACGUAACGUAACGGUAUUAAAACCCCGUAACGACGUUUUUAACCCUUUACGACNGUANANACCCUUAGUCCCUGUAGUGGCCUUGCUUGCCGCUACUGUCAGUGGGAAAGGUCACCACAUGGUAGAACCCAAAACCAAGCACUUCUCCCAUUGCAAGAAUCAUAGAUCUAGUUGGCCAAACAAAACCCAAGACUCGGAGAGACUUACAAGGAUAUCAAAUCAUGCAUCUAAGAAAUAAGCAAAGACUCAAAUAUAUAUCAUAGAUAAUCUGAUCACAAAUCCACAAUUCAUCGGAUCUCGACAAACACACCGCCAAAGAAGAUUACAUCGGAUAGAUCUCCAUGAAGAUCAUGGAGAACUUUGUAUUGAAGAUCCAAGAGAGAGAAGAAGCCAUCUAGCUACUAACUACGGACCCGUAGGUCUGAAGUGAACUACUCACGAGUCAUUGGAGGGGCGAUGAUGAUGAUGAAGAAGCCCUCCAACUCCAAAGUCCCCCUCCGGCAGGGCGCUGGGAAGGGUCCCUCUUCAAAUAAACCUUGCAAAAUAAGAGAGAAAAAGGCAUAAAUAUGGUACCAAAAAGUAAUAUAACAGCCCAAAAAAGCAAUAAAUAUCAACAUUAAAAGCAUNNNNNNNNNNNNNNNNNNNNNNNNNNNNNNNNNNNNNNNNNNNNNNNNNNNNNNNNNNNNNNNNNNNNNNNNNNNNNNNNNNNNNNNNNNNNNNNNNNNNGAUAACCCAUAAGAUAGGGACGCAACAGUUUUCGAGGUAGAGUAUUCAACCAAUUUAUUGAUUCGACACAAGGGAGCCAAGAAUAUNUCGAGUAUAGUAUUGAGUUGUCAAUUCAACACACCUGAAAGNUUUAAUAUCUGCAACAAGUAUUUAGUAGCAAAGUAGUAUGGAAGUAACGGUAACUGUGGCAAACGUGAGAGUAGCUGUUUUUGUAGUGAUUGUAACAAUAGCAACAGAAAAGUAACUUAGCAAAGACCAAUAUGUGGAAAGCUCGUAGGCAAUUGAUCGGUGAUGGAUAAUUUUUUCGGGGUGCAUUCAUCAUGCAACAGUAAUAACAUAGGGUGAUACAGAACUAGCUCCAAUUCAUCAAUGUAAUGUAGGCAUGUAUUCCAUAUAUAGUCAUACGUGCUUAUGGGAAAAGAACUUGCAUGCCAUUCUUUKKCCUACUCUCCGUUGUAGGGCCAACCCGGGGGGUUUCCUAAUGGGAAAACUAGGGAUAUUAAGGGCCUCCUUUUUAANGACAACCGGACCAAAAGGCCAUUAACCCAUUUAGUGAAAUACCGUAUCGAACUCCUCNNNNNNNNNNNNNNNNNNNNNNNNNNNNNNNNNNNNNNNNNNNNNNNNNNNNNNNNNNNNNNNNNNNNNNNNNNNNNNNNNNNNNNNNNNNNNNNNNNNNUAACAGAAAGCUUAAACCCUAGUUUAUGCGUUGCUUCGUAAAGGGGCUGAUUUGGAUCCACUAGUUUAAUGUUAUGGUUAGACUUUGUCUUAAUUCUUCUUUCGUAGUUGCGGAUGCUUGCGAGAGGGGGUUAAUCAUAAGUGGGAUGGUUGUCCAAUUAAGGGCAAUACCCAAGCGCCGGUCCACCCACAUAUCCAACUAUCAAAGUAACGAACGCGAAUCAUAUGAACAUGAUGAAAAGUAGCAUGACAGAAAUUCCCGUGUGUCCUCCGGAGCAUUUUUCCUCCUAUAAGACUUUGUCCAGCCUUGUCCCUUGCUACAAAAGGGAUUGGGCCACUUUGCUGCACCAUUGCUACUUUUUUUACUUGUUGCUUGCUACGAAUCACCUCACCAUACAAUCACAUGUUACCGAUAAUUUCAGUGCUUGCAGAUAUUACCUUGCUGAAAACCACUUGUCAGAUCCUUUUGCUCCUUGUUGGGUUCGACACUCUUACUUAUCGAAAGGACUACGAUUGAUCCCCUGUACUUGUGGGUCAUCAAGACUCUUUUCUGGAGCCGUUGCCGGGGAGUGAAGCGCCUUUGGUAAGUGGAACUUGAUAGGAAACAUUCAUAUAGUGUGCUGAAUUUAUUGUCACUUGUCACUAUGGAAACUAAUUCUUUGAGGGGCUUGUUCGGGGUAUCUUYACCUCAAACGGAAGAACAAAGAGUUGCUCCUCAACCUGCUUCACCUACUAGAAAAUAUUUGCUUUGAAUUUCCUUCGAGUAUGCUUGAGAAACUGCUGGCUAAUCCUUUUACAGGAGUAUGGAACAUCACAUCCAGACUUGCAUCUAAUAUAUGUAGAUGAAGUUUGNGGUUUAUUAAGCUUGGCAGGGUUUUUUCCCCCGAAGGUAUUGAAGGUCAAUAGAGGUCUUCUUAUCUUUGAAGGNUAAGGCGUUUAGACAUUGGUACUAGGCUAUGUGAUGAUANNNNNNNNNNNNNNNNNNNNNNNNNNNNNNNNNNNNNNNNNNNNNNNNNNNNNNNNNNNNNNNNNNNNNNNNNNNNNNNNNNNNNNNNNNNNNNNNNNNNCAAGCUAUAAGAGCUGUGUGUUGAACUAUAACAUGCAAGGGAUGAACAAGUCACCCGGCGAGUUAUUCGCGAUGCUGAAAGUCGCAGAGUCAGAACUCCGUAAAGAGCAUCAAGUGUUGAUGGUGAAUAAGACCACCAGUUUCAAGAGAAACGACAAAUGGAAGAAGGGUAAUUCAAAGAAGAGCGGCAAGCCUGAUGCCAAUCCAACGAAGAAGCCCAAAGUAGGACCUAAGCCUGAAACAGAGGGCUAUUAUUGCAAGGGUAUGGGUCACUGGAAGCGCAACUGCCCCAAGUAUCUGGCUGAUAAGAAGGCGGCCAAGGAAAAAUCAGGUGUAUUUGAUAUACAUGUUAUUGAUGUGUACUUAACCAGCUCUCGUAGUAGUGCCUGGGUAUUCGAUACCGGUUCUGUUGCUCAUAUUUGCAACUCGAAACAGGAACUGCGGAAUAAGUGAAGGCUGGCGAAGGAUGAAGUGACGAUGCGCGUGGGAAAUGGUUCCAAGGUUGAUGCAAUCGCCGUCGGCACAGUUUCACUUCAGUUACCAUUAGGAUUAGUUAUGAACUUAAAUAAAUGUUAUUUAGUGCCUGCUUUAAGCAUGAACAUUAUAUCUGGAUCUUGUUUAUUGCGAGACGGUUACUCGUUUAAGUCAGAGAAUAAUGGUUGUUCUAUUUCUAUGAGUAAUAUAUUUUAUGGUCAUGCACCCAAUGUGAAAGGAUUGUUCAUAUUGAAUCUUGAUAGUGAUAAUACACAUAUACAUAACAUUGAGACCAAAAGAGUUAGAGUUAACAAUGAUAGCGCCAUUUUUUAUGGCACUGCCGCUUAGGUCAUAUUGGUGUAAAGCGCAUGAAGAAACUCCAUACCGAUGGACUUUUGGAGUCACUUGACUUUGAUUCACUUGACACGUGCGAACCAUGCCUCAUGGGCAAGAUGACUAAAAUUCCGUUCUCCGGAACAAUGGAGCGUGCAAGUGACUUGUUGGAAAUCAUACAUACAGAUGUGUCUGGUCCGAUGAGUGUGGAGGCACGCGGCGGAUAUCGUUAUUUUCUCACCUUCACUGACGAUUUGAGUAGAUACGGUUAUGUCUACUUGAUGAAGCACAAGUCUGAAACAUUUGAAAAGUUCAAACAAUUUCAGAGUGAAGUCGAAAAUCAUCAUAACAAGAAGAUCGAGUUCCUAUGGUCUGAUCGUGGGGGUGAAUAUCGGAGUUUCGAGUUUGGUGCUCACUUAAGACAAUGUGGAAUUGUUUCACAGUUGACACCGCCUGGAACACCAGAGCGUAAUGGUGUGUUCGAACAUCGUAAUCAUACUUUAUUUGAGAUGGUGCGAUCUAUGAUGUCUCUUACCGAUUUGUCGUUAUCGUUUUGGGGUUAUGCAGUAGAAACAACUGCAUUCACUUUAAAUAGGGCACCAUCGAAAUCCGUUGAGACGACACCAUAUCAGCUGUGGUAUGGCAAAAGACCAAAGUUGUCGUUUCUUAAAGUUUGGGGAUGUGAUGCUUAUGUCAAAAAGCUUCAGGCUGAAAAGAUGGAAUGCAAAGCGAAAAAGUGCGUCUUCAUAGGUUACCCAAAAGAGACAGUUGGGUAUACCUUCCGUCUCAAAUCCGAGGGCAAAGUGUUUGUUGCUAAGAACAGAGCUUUUCUCGAGAAGGAGUUUCUCUCGAGAGAAUUGAGUGGGAGGAAGAUAGAACUUGAUGAGGUUGUCGAACCUCUCAUCCCUCUGGAUGGUGGCGCAGGGCAAGGGGAAACCCGUGUCGUUGCGACGCCGGUUGAGGAGGAAGUUAAUGAUGAUGAUCAUGAAACUCCGGAUGAAGUUCCUAUCGGACCUCGCAUGUCGACGAGACUGCGUACUACUCUAGAGUGGUACGGUAAUCCCGUCUUAUCAAUUAUGUUGUUGGACAACAAUGAGCCUGCGAAUUAUGAAGAAGCAAUGGUGGGCCCGGAUUCCAACAAAUGGUUGGAGGCCAUGAACUCCGAGAUAGGAUCUAUGUAUGAAAACCAAGUGUGGACUUUGGAAGUACUACCUGAAGGCCGCAAGGCUAUUCACAACAAAUGGAUCUUUAAGAAGAAGACGGGCGCUGACGGUAAUGUGACCGUUUAUAAAGCUAGACUUGUGGCAAAGGGUUUUUCACAAGUUCAAGGAAUUGACUACGAUGAGACAUUCUCACCCAUACCAAUGCUUAAGUCCGUCCGAAUCAUGUUAGCGAUAGCUGCAUUUUUCGAUUAUGAAAUCUGGCAGAUGGAUGUCAAAACGGCGUUCCUUAACGGUUUCCUUAAGGAAGAGUUGUAUAUGAUGCAACUUGAAGGUUUUGUCGAUCCUAAAAAUGCUAACAAAGUGUGCAAGCUCCAGCGAUCCAUUUAUGGACUGGUGCAAGCAUCUCGGAGUUGGAAUAAACGCUUUGAUGAGGUGAUCAAAGCAUUUGGGUUUAUACAGGUGGUUGGAGAAUCCUGUAUUUACAAGAAAGUGAGUGGGAGCUCUGUGGCGUUCCUAAUACUAUAUGUGGAUAACAUAUUACUGAUUGGAAACGGCUGGAGCUUUUGGAGAGCAUAAAGGAUUACUUGAAUAAAAGUUUCUCUAUGAAGGACCUAGGAGAAGCUGCUUACAUUCUAGGCAUAUAGAUCUAUAGGGAUAGAUCAAAACGCCUGAUAGGUCUUUCGCAAAGCACGUACCUUGAUAAAGUUUUGAAGAGGUUCAAAAUGGAACAGUCCAAGAAGGGGUUCUUGCCAGUUUUACAAGGUACGAGAUUGAGUAAGACUCAGUGCCCAGCAACUGAUAAAGAUAGAGAGCAUAUGAGUACCGUCCCCUAUGCUUCAGCCAUAGGUUCUAUCAUGUAUGCAAUGUUGUGCACUAGACCGGACGUUAGCCUGGCCAUAAGUAUGGCAGGCAGGUUCGAGAGUAAUCCAGGAGUGGAUCACUGGACGGCGGUCAAGAAUAUCCUGAAGUACCUGAAAAGGACUAAGGAGAUGUUUCUCGUAUAUGGAGGUGACAAAGAGCUCGCCGUAAAAGGUUACGUCGAUGCAAGCUUUGAUAUAGAUCCGGACAACUCUAAGUCGCAGACCGGAUACGUAUUUAUUCUUAAUGGGGGUGCGGUAAGCUGGUGCAGUUCCAAGCAAAGCAUCGUAGCUGAUUCUACAUGUCAAGCGGAGUACAUGGCCGCCUCGGAGGCAGCUAAGGAGGGUGUCUGGAUGAAGCAGUUCAUGACGGAUCUUGGAGUUGUGCCGAGCGCACUGAAUCCAAUAACCCUGUUUUGUGACAACACGGAAGCCAUGGCCUUAGCAAAGGAACCACGGUUUCACAAGAAGACCAGACACAUCAAACGACGCUUCAACCUCAUCCGCGACUACGUCGAGGAGGAGGACUUGAAUAUCUGCAAAGUGCACACGAAUCUGAAUGUGGCAGACCCGCUAACUAAACCUCUUCCACGGGCAAAGCAUGAUCAACACCAGAACUGUAUGGGUGUUAGAUUUAUUACAAUGUAAUUCACAUGACGAUGUGAGGACUAGAUUAUUGACUCUAGUGCAAGUGGGAGAGUGUUGGAAUUAUGCCCUAGAGGCAAUGAUAAAUAAGUUAUUAUCAUAAUUCCUGUAUCAAGAUAAUCGUUUAUUAUCCAUGCUAUAAUUGUAUUGAAUGAAGACUUAGAUACAUGUGUGGAUACAUAGACAAAACAAUGUCCCUAGCAAGCCUCUAGUUUGCUAGCCAGUUGAUCAAGGAUAGUCAAGGUCUUCUGACUAUGUACAAGGUGUUGUUGCUUGAUAACUCGAUCACAUCAUUGAGUGAAUCAUGUGAUGGACUAGAACCAAAUUAAUGAACGUAGCAUGUUGAUUUUGUCAUUUUAUUGCUACUGUUUUCUACAUGUCAAGUAUUUAUUCCUAUGACCAUGAGAUCAUAUAACUCACUGGCACCAGAGGAAUGCCUUGUGUGUAUCAAACAUCACAACGUAACUGGGUGACUACAAAGAUGCUCUACAGGUAUCUCUGAAGGUGUGGAUCAAGACUCGAAUUUGUCACUCCGUGUGACGGAGAGGUAUAUCGGGGCCCAAUCGGUAAUACAACAUCACACACAUGCCUUGCAAGCAAUGUGACUUAGUGUAAGUCACGGGAUCUUGUAUUACGGAACAAGUAAAGAGACUUGCCGGUAAAUGAGAUUGAAAUAGGUAUGCGGAUACUGACGAUCGAAUCUCGGGCAAGUAACAUACCGAAGGACAAAGGGAAUGACAUACGGGAUUAAAUGAAUCCUUGGCACUGAGGUUCAAUCGAUAAGAUCUUCGUAGUAUAUAUAGGAUUCAAUAUGGGCAUCCAGGUCCCGCUAUUGGAUAUUGACCGAGGAGUCCCUCGGGUCAUGUCUACAUAGUUCUCGAACCCGCAGGGUUUGCACACUUAAGGUUCGGUGAUGUUUUAUGUGUAUUUGAGUUAUAUGGUUGGUUACCGAAUGUUGUUCGGAGUCCGGAUGAGAUCACAGACGUCACGAGGGUUUCCGGAAUGGUUCGGAGACGAAGAUUGUUAUAUAGGAUGACCUCAUUUGAUUACCGGAAAGUUUUCGGGCAUUACCGGGAAUGUACCGGGAGUGACGAAUGGGUUCCGGAUGUUAACCGGGGGGCCCAGCCCACCCGGGGGAAGCCCAUAGGCCUUAGGGGUGCCGCACCAGCCCUAAGUGGGCUGGUGGGACAGCCCUAGAGGCCCUAUGCGCAGGAGAUAAAGAAAUCAAAUGAAAAAAAGGGGAAGUGGGAAGGAAGCGAAGGACUCCACCUUCCAAUCCUAGUUGGACUAGGAUUGGAGGAGGAUUCCUCCUCCCCUUGGUUCGGCCGACCCGUUGGGGCUCCCUUGAGCCUCAAGGCAAGGCCCUCCCCCCUCCCUCCUAUAUAUACUGAGGUAUUAGGGCUGAUUUGAGACAACUUUGCCACGGCAGCCUGACCACAUACCUCCACGGUUUUUCCUCUAGAUCGUAUUUUUGCGGAGCUUGGGCAGAGCCCUGCUGGGAUAGAUCAUCACCAAUCUCCGGAGCACCGUCACCCUGCCGGAGAACUCGUCUACCUCUCCGUCUCUCUUGCUGGAUCAAGAAGGCCGAGAUCAUCGUCGCGCUGUACGUGUGCUGAACGCGGAGGUGCCGUCCGUUCGGCACUAGAUCGGAGCGGAUCAUGGGACGGAUCGCGGGACGGUUCGCGGGGCGGAUCGAGGGAUGUGAGGACGUUCCACUACAUCAACCGCGUUUCUUAACGCUUCCUGCUGUGCGAUCUACAAGGGUACAUAGAUCGGAAAUCCCCUCUCGUAGAUGGACAUCACCAUGAUAGGUAUUGCAUGUGCGUAGGAUUUUUUUGUUUCCCGUAACUCGUACCCUACAGCUUAUGAUGAUGCUUUGCUUGAUACUGCUGUGCCACUGGGUGCAUUCCUUGAUGCACAAAUUGCUAUAGUUGCUGCUGAAUGUGAUGAUACUUCUGAAUCUGCUAAAUUAUUGAAGUAGAACCUGUUGUUUCACCUGUUAGAACUAGCUCUCCUAGAUAUGAAUUGCCUAAUAUACCCGAGGGUUACGUUAUGGAGGGAGAGGUAGGUGAUGACUUUCUUGCUUAUAAGGAUAGUUAUGAUCUUGAGAAUUUAUUGAUCAAGUGGAAAGAAAAAUCUCUGAAUGCUAGAAUGAAAUACGAUCCUAAGUUUGCUACUUCUCCCAUCUUUGUGACUGAUAAGGAUUAUGAAUUCUCUGUUGAUACUGAGUUGAUCACUUUGGUUGAAUCUGAUCCUUUUCAUGGUUAUGAGUCUGAAAUGGCUGUAGCACAUCUUACUAAGCUGAAUGAUAUAGCCACCUUAUUCACGAGUGAGGAAAAGAUUCGCCAUUACUAUAUCCUUAAGUUGUUUCCUUUCUCGCUAAAGGGUGAUGCUAAGACUUGGUUUACUUCUCUUGCUGCUCGUUGUGUGCGUAGUCCCCAGGAUAUGAUCUACUACUUCUGUGAGAAAUAUUUUCCUCCCCAUAAGAAACAAGCUGCCUUGCAGUAUAUAUAUAUAUAACUUUGUGCAAGUUGAAGAAAAGAGUCUCCCACAAGCUUGGGGAGGCUUGUUCAGUUACUGAAUGCUUUGCCUGAUCACCCUCUUGAGAAAAAUGAAAUACUUGAUAUCUUUUAUAAUGGACUAACCGAUGCUUCUAGGGACCACCUAGAUAGUUAUGCUGGUUGUGUUUUCAGGGAACGAACUAUGGAACAAGCUGAAAUUCUAUUGAAUAAUAUCUUGAGCAAUGAUAAUGCUUGGACUAUUUCCGAACCACCUCCGAAGCUAACUCCGAAGAAAAGAGGUAUUCUAUUCCUCAGUCCUGAAGAUAUGCAAGUAGCCAAGAAAUCUAUGCAAGAGAAAGGUAUUAAAUCUAAAGAUGUUAAGAAUUUACCACCUAUCGAAGAGAUACAUGGUCUUGAUAACCUGACACAGGUAGUAGAGGUAAAUUCUCUUCGUAGAUUCAAUGAGAGUGAUAUUCCUUUUGAUAAACCUACUAGCUUAUGCUUAGAUGAAUUUGAUAACUUUGUUGCCAAACAACAAAGUUUCAAUGAUUAUGUUAGCAGGCAAUUGGAACAAAAUGCUCGCAUGAUUAAUCAUUUAAGUGCUUGUGUGGAUAGAAAUGUCAAUGAUCUUAAGCUUUUGAGUAAACAUGCCUCUAUGGUCACUACUCAAGUAGAACAAGUACUUAAGGCUCAAAAUGACUUGCUCAAUGAGUUGAAUCACAAUUCUGUUAGAGUCGUCACUAGAGGUGGUAGAAUGACUCAAGAACCUUUGUAUCCUGAGGGCCAUCCUAAGAGAAUUGAACAAGAUUCUCAAGGAGUUAGCACUGAUGCACCUAGUCAUCCUAGUAAUAGGAAGAAAACGAAAGAUGAUAGGAAUUUGCAUGCUAGCAAACCAGCUGCUGUUACACGUGAGAAUCCAAAUGAUAUAUCUGUUUCUGAUGCCGAAACACAAUCUGGUGAUGAACAUGAGACUAGUGAUAAUAUCUAUAGUGGUGUUCAUGAUGAUGCUCAACCUAGUAAUGAUAAGGAUGUGGAGAUUGAACCUGUUGUUGAUCUUGAUAACCCACAACCUAAGAACAGGAGAUAUGAUAAGAACGACUUUAUUGCUAGGAAGCAUGGUAAAGAAAGAGAACCAUGGGUUCAGAAACCCAUGCCCUUUCCUCCCAAACCAUCCAAGAAAAAGGAUGAUGAGGAUUUUGAGCACUUUGUUGAAAUGAUUAGACUUGUCUUUCUGCAAAUGCGUUUGAUAGAUAUGCUCAAAAUGUCUCCUUAUACUAAGUACAUGAAAGAUAUUGUGACUAAUAAAAGGAAGAUACCUGAGAUUGAGAUUUCCACCAUGCUUGCUAAUUACACCUUCAAGGGUGGAACUCCUAAGAAACUAGGUGAUCCCGGAGUGCCACUAUACCUUGCUCCAUUAAAGGAAAUUAUGUUAGAACUGCUUUAUGCGAUCUUGGAGCUAGUGUUAGUGUUAUGCCUCUCUCUCUUUAUCGUAGACUUGAAUUGGAUAAGUUGACACCCACUAAAAUGUCUUUGCAAAUGGCCGACAAAUCAACUGCUUUUCCUAUCGUCAUUUGCGAGGAUGUGCCUGUUGUGGUUGCUAACGUUACUAUCUUAACGUACUUUGUUAUUCUGGAUAUUCCCGAGGAUGAUGCCAUGGCGGUCAUCCUUGGAAGACCCUUUUUAAACACUACAGGGGCUGUUAUUGAUUGCAACAAAGGCAAUAUCACUUUCCAUGUUAAUGUUAAUGAGCACACGGUGCACUUUCCGAAGAAACAAUAUCGAGUACAUUGCAUCAAUGCUAUUAAAAAACUUCAUCAAUUCUUAUUGGAAGCUUUGAAUGCCCUAUGCCUAUUGUCAAGAUGAAGUAUGAUUUACUUGUUGGGGAUAUGCACAUUCCCGUUGAGGUAACCUAGUGAUUAUUCAAAAAUUCUCCGGUUUUAUGUGAUUCGAAAAAAGUUUGUCAAGGAGACUUGAUCAACCUCAUUGACGGAUUUCUUUUGAUGACCAUGAGAUGGAUGAAUCUAGGAGUCACAACCUUCUGUUCCGAACUUUUAUUUUCUGUUGUUAAGAAGAAAAAUGAUAAAUUUAGCUUUAUUUUCCUGUUUUCUGCUUUUUGCGUCCCUUAGAAAAGUGUCCCGAAAAUAAAAGUUCUUCAAAUGCACUGAAAUUGAAGUAUGAUUUUUUCUGGAAUUUCUGAAAAAUUCUGAGAUAGAGAGCUAGUCAGGGGGAUGCACCAGUGGGCCACAAGCCCAGGAGGUGCGGGCACCCCCCUGGCCGCGCCUGGAAGGCUCGUGGGGCCCACGUGCCCCCUCCACUUAUUCCAUCUCCCAUCUCCUUCUUCUACCUCCAGAAAAAAUCAUUCCACAACUCAAACCCGUGUUCUUGCUGCAUUUUUUGAUCUCCUUGUGCAAAGCCCCAUUCACCAAACUGUUUGGGGGGAAUUGUUCCUUGGUAUGUGACUACUUCAUUGGUCCAAUUAGUUUUUGCUCUAGUGCUUUAUUCGUUGCAUAUUUUUGCUGCCUUGGUGACCCUGUUCUUGAGCUUUGCUUGUUAAUUUUAGUUGGUCCCAAGUAGUUUUGAUGCAUGAUAUGGCCUCUAGGCACUUGUAGGAGUAGUUGCUAUGAGUUUUGUUGAGCCUUGUUCACUUUUCUUUUGUGUCACUAAAAAUUUCAGAAAAGGAAGAUGUUCAAGAGAAAGUAUCAUGGUGGUUCCUCAAGCAAAAGGGGUCCCCGUCUCUCGAUUCGGGAGCCCGAUCCUUAUCAGCCGAGGAACGCACAGGUACAACCAUGUGACUGGCCUUCCGAUGAAUUCAUGAUUGAUGCAGGUUUCAAGGACGAGUUUGAUACAUUUGUUCACAACAUCGGGCUCGAAGAAUUCAUCUCCAACAAAUGCGAACGGUAGAUGCAUUAACGACAAGAUUAAGCAUUGUCACCUCUACGCACCUGACCUUAGUAUUCUUAAGAGCGCAGUAACGGGUGAUAGAAGUUUCAACAUGGGAGCUAUAAUCGCGAGGAGGCUAAAUAAUAAUUCUAAUGAAGGGAUUUCUUUGGUGGGAUCUAUGCCACCCGCAUAGCAAAUUUUCUUGGAGUACCCAUCCACGAAGGAGAUCCCCCGCUCCAUACAACUUUCCUUGAUCGCACCGCUAUGACACGCUAUCAGUUCCUUGAGAGGGAAAAUGAAUUUCUCCUAUACCGCUUAAUUUUUAACCGACAUCGUGUUUUCCAUAUUACCCUUCCUGCUCCUGCCUUCUUUGACUUUCAGGUAAAACGGAGAUAUUACAUAACCAUAGGAGAGGCAGAGGAGUAUGAGAGGGAGGCAAAGGCUGCUCGCCUCCGUGAGGCAGCUAGUCAGGCGGUAGCUGCUGCGUUCCCGUACAACCCCCAUUAUGAUUUUGGAUAUAGCCAGGACCAGCCGUGGGAGUAGACCAACUUAGGCCAAAAGCCUAAGCUUGGGGGAGUAUGUGUUUCACACCCACUUUAUAUUUAUGCUCACGAUUUCACCUUGCUAGUCGGUGUUCACACCUUGCCACUGUAUCAUCCAUGCUAGUUUAUUUAUUUUUCUCGCUUUCUUAUCGUGUGUUUGUUUAGAUUGAGAAAAACAAAAUAAAAUUAGUUGUAAGUUUACUUUCCAUCUUGCUUAGUGGUGUUUAAAAAGAAAACCCAAAAAUAUUUCCCGUUCUUCUUUUGCUUGUUGGGGGCUUUCCCGUGUAAAUAGUUUUCUUUUUCUUUGGGUCAAGGUAGAAGACCAUGAUUAAAAUGUUUAGUGGCUCUCACAUGCAUGUAUAUUUAUCCUCAAAGAGCGAUAUUACUUUGUCUUCUCCUCUGUGUUUGCUUGCAAAUUCCAGCUUAGUCCAAUGCACGAACACUCUCAUUAUUAUUCGCAUCAUUCGGUCGUGCAAGUGAAAGGCAAUAAUGACGAUAUAUGAUGAAGUGACUGAGCCUGGAAAAGCCGGUAUGAGCUCGAUCUAUUUUGUAUUUGUAAAUAUGACUAGCUCAUCGUUCCUAAUCCAGCAUUGUUAUGAGAGAAACAUGUUUGCAAUGACAACUUAGUGAUCAUAGUUUUUGAUGCCAUGCUUAAUUAGCUAGGAGCUUAUAAUGGUUUGUCAUGGAUGCCAACAUGAAUUUCAAGAUGAUUAUGAUGUAGUAUGAUAGGGUGGUAUCCUCCUUUGAAUGAUUCAAGUGGCUUGACUUGGCGCAUGUUUACACAUGUAGUUGAAACAGAAUCAACAUAGACUCUAUGAUAUUCAUGUUUAUGGUGAUUGAUGUCCUACUCAUGCUUGCACUCAAUGUUGGUUAAUUUCAAUGCAUAUUGAUGAUUGUUGUCGCUCUCUAGUUGGUUGCUUCCCAGUCUUUUGCUAGCCUUCACUUGUACUAAGCGGGAAUACUGCUUGUGCAUCCACUUCCAUAAACCCAAAGUUGUUCCAUAUGAGUCCACCAUACCUACCUAUAUGCGGUACCUACCUGCCGUUCCAAGUAAAUUUUCAUGUGCCACUCUCUAAACCUUCAAGUAAUAAUCUGUUAUGCAUGCCCGAACCGCUCAUGUGGUGACAAGGGGCGGUCAGUAUCUUCCAUGCUAGGCGUGUUAUCCUCGAUACAUGUUUAUUCACUAUCACUCACGAGAAAUGGGUCGGUAAACGGAAUGCCCAGUUCCAUGCUCAAAUCAAAAAUGUAAUUGCAAACAAAACUCCCCCUGGAUUGUUGUUGGUAUGGACGGCACCCGAGGAUUCGGCUAGUCGUGGAGUGUGAUUGAUCGGUGGUGGGGGAGUCAAAACUUUACCUUUCUGUUUGGGAACCGCCUAUAAUAUGUGUAGCAUGGAAGAUGGUGAAAACUCUUGGUCAUCGCGUUGACAAUGAAAGCAUGCCACCCAAAAUUAUUUAUCUCUAUCUUCAAAGCUUGAGCUCUGGCACCUCUGCAAAUCAAUGCUUCCCUCUGCGAAGGGCCUAUCUAUUUAUGUUUUUGUUGAGUCAUCCUCUCCUUAUAAACACACCAAUUAGAGAGCACCUUCGUCAUUUUUAUGCUUUUCUAUUAAUUGUUAUUGAGUAUGACUGUGACUGGAUCUUAUUUGCCAUGAAUUACAAUGUUCAGUCACCCCUUGGUCUUUGAAGGUGCUCUGCAUUUAUGGUUUGCAGUCUCAGAAAGAGCUAGCGAGAUACCAUCUGUUCAUAUUGCUUCAUGAUUGUUUUGAUUGAAGUGUUGACGUUUGAAACUCAUUAUUAUUGCUCGCUAGUUGAUUAUGCCAUUGAAAUGAGUACAUCAUCAAACAUAAAUGUCAUUGCUUAUGUGGUUCGCUUAUGAUCUUGCUGAAAAUCCGAAUAUGAGUUAGACAUGAUUACAGCAACAAGAUCAAACAGAGUUCGUAAAAGUUUUUCUUUUUUAUCUUUCAAUUUGUCAACUGAAUUGCUUGAGGACAAGCAAGGCUUUAAGCUUGGGGGAGUUGAUACGUCUCCAUCAUAUCUACUUUUCCAAACUCUUUUGCCCUUGUUUUGGACUCUAAUUUGCAUGAUUUGAAUGGAACUAACUGAUGACCCACAAGUGUAGGGGAUCUAUCAUAGUCCUUUCGAUAAGUAAGAGUGUCGAACCCAACGAGGAGCAUAAGGAACUGACAAGUGGUUUUCACCAAGGUAUUCUCUGCAAGCACUGAAAUUAUCGGUAACAGAUAGUUGUGUGAUAAGAUGAUUCGUAGAAAGUAGCAAGUAACAAUAGUAACAAAGGCACAGCAAAGUGGCCCAAUCCCUUUUGUAGCAAGGGACAAGCCUGAACAAACUCUUAUAUGAGGUAAAGCGCUCCUGAGGACACAUGGGAAUUUCUGUCAAGCUAGUUUUCAUCAUGUUCAUAUGAUUCGCGUUCGCUACUUUGAUAAUUUGAUAUGUGGGUGGACCGGUGGUUGGGUGCUGCCCUUACUUGGAAAACGUACCACUUAUGAUUAACCCCUAUUGAAAGCAUCCGCAACUAUGAAAGAAGAAUUAAGACUAAAUUUAACCAUAGCAUUAAACUAGUGGAUCCAAAUCAGCCCCUUACGAAGCAACACAUAAACUAGGGUUUAAGCUUCUGUCACUCUAGCAACCCAUCAUCUACUUAUUACUUCCCAGUGCCUUCCUUUAGGCCCAAAUAAUGGUGAAGUGUCAUGUAGUCGACAUUCACAUAACACCACUAGAGGAAAAACAACAUACAACGCAUCAAAAUAUCAAACGAAUACCAAAUUCACAUGACUACUUAUAGCAAGACUUAUCCCAUGUCCUCAGGGGCAAAAGUGACUACUCACAAAGCAUAAUUAUGUUCAUGACCAGAGAGGUAUUGAAUAGCAUUAGAGAUCUGAACAUAUGAUCUUCCAUCGAGUAAUCGAACUAGCAUCAACUACAAAGAGUAAUUAACACUACUAGCAACCUUACAAGUACCAAUCGGAGUCGCGAGACGGAGAUUGGUUACAAGAGAUGAACUAGGGUUUGGAGAUGAGAUGGUGCUGAUGAAGAUGUUGAUCGUGAUGAGUCCCCUCCGAUGAGAGGACUGUUGGUGAUGACGAUGGCGACGAUUUCCCCCUCCGGAAGGGAAGUUUUCCCGGCAGGACGGCCCUGCCGGAGCUCUAGAUUGGUUGUGCUCAAGUUCCGCCUCGUGGCGGCGGCGAUUCCUCCCGAAAGCCUCCUCUUGAUUUUUUAUCGAUUUAAACCCUCCUUAUAGCAAAACAUGGGAGCCAGAGGGGCAACAGGGGGCCCACAAACCACCCAGGCAUGGCCAAGGGGGUAGGCCGCGCCUGGGUGGCUUGUGGCCUCGUGGUGGCUCCCCUCCAGUACUUCUUCCGCCCAGUAUUUUUUUAUAAAAUCCAAAAUAAUUCCUCGUUGAUUUUCACGGCUUUUAGAGUUGCGCAGAAUAGGUAUCUCAAACUUGCUCCUUUUUCAGACCAGAAUUCCAGCUGCCGGCAUUGUCCCUCUUCAUGUAAACCUUAUAAAAUAAGAGAGAAAAGGCAUAAGUAUUGUAGCGUAAAGUGUAAUAACAUCCCAUAAAGCGAUAAAUAUCAACAUAAAAGAAUGAUGCAAAAUGGACGUAUCAACUCCCCCAAGCUUAGACCUCGCUUGUCCUCAAGCGGAAGCCGAGAUCAAUAAAUAUGCCCACAUGUUUAGAGAUAUUGGUGUCGGUAAAACAAAAUACGGACAUGCAUGCAUCAUGAUCAUAAUUAGAACAACAAUAGCGUCAUAUAAACUCUUAUGCUAAAGUGACAAUUCCUUCACAAAGUAAAGUAUGGAUCAAGAAUCUUAUUGAGAAUUAACAACCAAUAGCCUUUAGUCAUUGAAACAAUAGCAAUUUAUCAUAACAUCGGAAAGAGUCAAAUAAGAGCCUGUAAAGCAAAUCCACAUACUCAAUCAUCUUUUAGUCUUCUACAAUUGCUUAAACUCACGCGGUACUCAUGAGAUCAAAGUUUCAGUGGAACACAGAGAAAGAUAGGGACUUAUAGUUUCACCUCCCAACUAUUUACCUCAAGGGUAAAGUCAACAAUAAUAAUUCAUGAAUACUUACUUCCAAGUUGACAUAUGAAUAUAGAUCUUUCCCUAGCAUAUGACGUUAGCCAAGAUAAAGGCGAAAUAAGGAAUUGGUGUCGAUCACCAUGACUCUUUUAAGGACAAAAAGUAAAGGUACAAGAUAGGCCCUUCGCAGAGGGAAGCAGAGGUUGUCAUGCGCUUUUGAGGUUUGGAUGUGUGACCUCUUAGUGUGGAGGAACGUCACUUUAUAUUGCCUCGUGUGAUAAAGAACUUUACUAUGCAGUCUGUCGCUUUUAUGUCUUCCUCAUCACAGGUUCGUACAAAGCUUAUUUUCCACACAGUAAUAGAUCAUACAUAUUUAGGGAGCAAUUUUUAUUGCUUGCACCGAUGACAACUUACUUGAGGGAUCUUAUUCAAUCCAUAGGUAGGUAUGGUGGACUCUCAUGGCAAAACUGGGUUGAAGGUUUAUGGAUGCACAAGUAGUAUCUCUACUUAGUGCGGACGUUUUGGCUGAUAUGAGGUGGAAGCAAGCAUCACAUGCUAAGGGAUCUCUAGUCAUAUAACAUUGUUCGGAACCAAGCAAUCAUAAUUCAUUAUGUUGUCUUCCUUGUCCAACAUCUACUUCUAAGCAUGUAAUAGUUUAAUGAGUGUUCACAAUCAUAGAUGGUGCCCAAGAUGAUAUAUUUAUAUGUGGACCUCUCCUUCUUUAUUACUUCCUAUUAAUUGCAACAAUGACCAAGGUCUACGUUUGUCCACCCACAACAAGUUUCAAUCAACAUUCUUUUUAUAUGUGAAGCCAUCGCUUCCCAUAAGAUCAUUACAUGAUCUUUCAUGCUUUUGUCCUUUUAUUAUUCUUUUCUUUAGAUCAUGGCAUGAAGCAAGGCCCUUAACUAAAACACUCUUUAUUAUAUGACUCACGAACUCGAAUACAUUGGGGGUAACACAAAGCAAAAAUCAAACCUAGAACAUACUAAGAACUUUAUUCUACUAGAGAAAAAUAAAACCAAAAAGGAUCGAACUAACAAAAAGGUAAACGCAAAAGAUGUGAUGGUGAUAUGAUACCGGGGCAACUCCCCCAAGCUUGGCACAAGCCAAGAGGAGUGCCCAUACCCGUGCUUAGUUGUCUUCCUUCGAAGGUGAUUGUGGUGGAGUUGUUCUGUCUUUUGAUUCCAAGAGGGCCAUCAAUAUUUGAUUUAUACCUUGGAGUUCUGUGAUAUGUUUCUCCAGCAAAACAACAUCACGGGUGAGAUAAGUAUUAUGGAUACGAGUUAUUUCACAUAACCUCAAGAGUUCGAUCAAGGAUGGAGGUAAAAGGUGGAGAUAGGGUUGAAGAAAAUCCUGUUCCUCAGCUUCUUCCUUGUUGAGCACAGAUUGCCCUUCGUCCAACGCCGGAUUCUCCUCCUUAGUUUUGCCCUUAGUUUCUUCAAGCAACCUUUCCUUGGCCUCCAUGACCUCCAUUCUUUUCAGAUCAACACUUACUUCUUCAUAGACUUGAGGGAGAUCGUUCUCCCCGACAGAUUCCUGAGACGACAUCCUUGCCCUAAAUGUGCGGCAAAAACAGGCUCGAAACGAAAACAAAGAAUAUUUGCAAGAUACGAGGGUCAGACCUUCUGGGAGAACGAUCUUGCAAAUACCCUUUGUUUUCGUUUCGAUCUGGCAACGAUCUGGCAAAAACAUCUAGAAAGAAUUUUUCCCGACCAAAAGUAGUACUUCGCAAGAAAACGUAGUCCGGGAGGCACACGAGGUGCCCACAAGCCAUCUAGGCGCGGCCAGGGGAUAGGUUGCGCCUCGCAGGCUUGUCGCCUCCUCGUGCGCUUUCUAGACUACUUUAAUUUUUCUAUUUUUCUAAAAAUUCCAAAACGGAGAAAAAGUGCUACUGGAAAAGUUUUGGAGUCGGUUUACUUACCGAAUCAAAUACUUAUUCGUUUUUGGAGUUCCAACAGGCUGAUAAAUAUCCCUUAUGUACUCCUCCGGAGUUAUGGUAUUAAUAACAUUGCUUUCAACAUUUACGGGAGUACCUGAGAUAUAAUGCUUGAUUGUUUGCCCAUUUACCACUCCCGGAAAAUUACCUUCCGUGUUGUUGAUCUUGAUGGCACCGGAACGAUAUACUUCCUCGACAAUGUAAGGACCUUCCCAUUUAGAGAGAAGCUUGCCUGCAAAAAAAUCUUAAACGAGAAUUGUAUAGCAAGACAUAAUCACCUACAUUGAACUCACGUUUUUGUAUCCUUUUAUCAUGCCACCUCUUAACUUUUUCUUUAAACAACUUGGUAUUUUCAUAUGCCUCAGUCCUCCAUUCAUCAAGUGAGCUAAUAUCAAAUAACCUCUUCUCACCAGCAAGUUUGAAAUCAAAGUUGAGAUCUUUGAUUGCCCAAUAAGCCUCAUGCUCUAGCUCAAGAGGUAAAUGACAUGCUUUACCGUAAACCAUUUUGUACGGAGACAUGCCCAUGGGAUUCUUAUAAGCAGUUCUAUAAGCCCAUAGUGCAUCAUCAAGCUUCUUAGACCAAUUAUUUCUAGAUCUAUUAAUAGUCUUUUGCAGAAUUAGUUUAAUAUCUCUAUAAAUUAGCUCUACUUGACCACUGGACUGAGGAUGAUAGGGAGAUGCAAUUAUAUGGUUGACGUUCUACUUGGCAAGCGUUUUACGGAAAGCACCAUGAAUAAAAUGUGAACUACCAUUAGUCAUUAGAUAUCUAGGGACUCCAAAUCUAGGGAAAAUAACUUCUUUAAGCAUCCUAAUAGAGGUGAUCAACACUACUAGUUGGGAUAGCUUCUACCCACUUAGUAACAUAAUCAACAUCAACUAGGAUAUGAGUAUACCCGUUGGACUUUGGAAAAGGUCCAAUAUAAUCAAAACCCCAAACAUCAAAUGGUUCAAUGACAAGUGAAUAAUUCAUAGGCAUUUCCUGAGGUUUAGUGAUAUUACCUAUUCUUUGACAUUCAUCACAAGACAAUACAAACUUACGGGCAUCCUUGAAGAGAGUAGGCCAAUAGAAACCGGAUUGCAAUAUCUUGUGUGCAGUUCUAUCUCUCGCAUGGUGUCCUCCGUAAGCCUCUGAGUGACACUUCUGUAGGAUCUAUCCCUGUUCAUGCUCAGGUACACAACAUCUAAUAACACCAUCUACUCCAUCCUUAUAAAGGUGAGGAUUAUCCCAAAAGUAAUGUCUCAAAUCAAAGAAGAAUUUCUUCUUUUGUUGGUAUGUGAAACUAGGUGGUAUAUACUUGGCAACAAUAUAAUUUGCAUAAUUAGCAUACCAAGGUGUACUACAUGAAGCAUUGAUGACAUUCAAUUUCUCAUCAGGAAAGCUAUCAUCAAUAGGUUGUGGGUCAUCAAGAACAUUCUCCAACCUAGACAAGUUAUCUGCUACGGGGUUCUCAGCACCCUUCCUAUCAACAACAUGCAAAUCAAAUUCUUGUAGCAAGAGAACCCAUCUGAUAAGUCUAGGUUUAGCAUCUUUAUUUUCCAUGAGAUACUUAAUAGCAGCAUGAUCAGUGUGAAUGGUAACCUAGGAAUCAACAAUGUAAGAUCUGAACUUUUCACAUGCAAACACGAGUGCUAAAAAUUCCUUUUCAGUAGUAGCAUAGUUUCUUUGGGCAUUGUCUAGAGUUUUACUAGCAUAAUGAAUAAUAUUCAAUUUCUUAUCAACUCUUUGCCCUAGAACAACACCAACAACAUAAUCACUAGCAUCACACAUAAUUUCAAAAGGUAAGUUCCAAUCAGAUGGUUGAACAAUAGGUGCAGUUAUCAAGGCCUUCUUAAGUAUUUCAAAGGCUUCCUUAGAAUCAUCGUCAAAAACAAAAGGAAUAUCCUUUUGCAAGAGAUUGGUAAGAGGCCUAGAAAUCUAAGAAAAGUCCUUAAUGAACCUUCUACAGAAACCAAUAUGACCAAGGAAACUUCUUAUACCUUUAAUGUCUGUAGGGCAUUGCAUUUUCUCGAUCGCAUCAACCUUAGCCUUAUCGACUUCAAUACCUCUUUCAGAAAUUUUAUGUCCUAAGACGAUGCCUUCAUUAACCAUAAAGUGGCACUUCUCCCAAUUCAAGACAAGGUUGGUAUCUUUACAUCUCUGGAAAAAUCGAUCAAGGUUGUUGAGGCAAUCAUCAAAAGAAGACUCGUAAACUGAGAAGUCAUCCAUGAAAACCUCAAUAAUCUUUUCACAAAAGUCAGAGAAUAUAGCCAUCAUACAUCUUUGAAAGGUAGCAGGUGCAUUACAUAAGCCAAAAGGCAUACGUCUGUAAGCAAAGGUACCGGAAGGGCAGGUAAAAGUGAUUUUCUCCUGAUCAGAUUGUGCAACAGGUAUUUGAGAGAAACCAGAAUAACCAUCUAGAAAGCAGAAGUGUGUUUGUUUAGACAAUCUUUCUAGCAUUUGGUGAAUAAAAGAUAAAGGGUAAUGAUCUUUCCUAGUGGCUUUAUUCAAUUUCCUAAAAUCAAUCACCAUCCUAUAGCCAGUAAUAAUCCUCUGUGGGAUCAAUUCAUCUUUAUCAUUAGGGACAACGGCAAUACCUCCCUUCUUAGGGAUGCAAUGCACCGGACUUACCCAAUCACUAUGAGCAACAGGAUAGAUAAUAGCUGCUUCCAGGAGCUUUAGUAUUUCUUUCCUUACUACCUCUUUCAUCUUAGGAUUUAAUCUCUGUUGAUGAUCGACAACUGGUUUGGAAUCAGGAUCGGUUUUAGUUUUAUGCUGGCAUAGAGUGGGAAUAAUUCCCUUAAGAUCGUCAAGAGUAUAUUCAAUAGCAGCACGGUGCUUCCUUAGAGUUUUCAACAACUUCUUUUCUUCAUGCUCUGAAAGUCUAGCACUAAUAAUAACAGGAUAUAUCUAUUUUUCAUCGAGAUAAGCAUCCUUAAGAGUAUCAGGUAAUUGUUUAAGCUCAAACAAAGGAUCACCCUUUGGUGGGGGUGGAUCUCCAAGCAGUUCAACAUGCAAAUUAUUCUUAAGGAUAGGAUGUUGUUCAAAGAUAACUCUAUCUAUCUCUUUCCUUUCAUCCAUAUGCAUAUCAUUUUCAUGCUCAAGCAAGUAUUGUUCUACAGGAUCAGUAGGAGGCACAAAAAUAGAAGCUAGAUCAAUAAUUUCAUCCUUACUAGACAGCUCUUUUUCACGAGGUUGUCUACCAAACUUGGAGAAAUUGAACUCAUGUGACACACCUUCAAAGCCACCAGUGGCAAUUUGCUUCUCACAGUCAAUAUGAGCAUUGACAGUAUUGAGGAAAGGUCUACCAAAUAUGAUGGGACAAAAGCUAUCUUGUGUGGUAGCAAGAACGAGAAAAUCAGCAUGAUAUUCAGUUUUACCACACAAGACUUCAACAUCUCUAACAAUUCCCAAAGGGCAGAUAGUAUCUCUAUUGGCAAGCUGAAUAGUGACAUCAAUAGGUUCCAUCUCGACAGGUGCAAUAUCGUCUUUAAUUUCAUCAUAUAAAGAUUGAGGUAUUGCACUAACACUAGCACCCACGUCACAUAAACCAUGAUAACAAUGAUCUCCUAUCUUAACAGAAACAAAGGUGUGCCAACAACAGGCCUAUGUUUGUCUCUAGCAUGAGGUUUAGCAAUUCUAGCAGCAUCUUCACAGAAGUGAAUAUCAUGGCCAUCAACAUUGUCGGACAGGAGAUCUUUGAUAAUAGCAAUGCUAGGUUCAACUCUAAUUUUCUCAUGGGGUGUAGGUGUUCUAAUGUAGCCCCUACGUAUCACAGUUGAAGCUUUAGAAUGAUCCUUUAUUCUAACAGGGAAAGGUGGUUUCUCAAUGUAAGCACUAGGAACAAUAGGAUCAUUAUAAGCAAUGACUUUCUCUUCAACUGGAUUGGGUUUAACCACAUUGACUUCUAAGGGAGGAUGAUAUUUAAACCACUUCUCUUUAGGGAGAUUAAUAUGAGCAGCAAAUGAUUCACAUAAUGAAGCUACUAUCUCAGAGUCAAGUCCAUGUUUAGCGCUAAAAUCACAAAAAGUAUUUGUUUCAACGAAGGAUUUAACGCAAUCGAACAUAAUAUUCAUAACUGACUCCUUACCUUCAUCAAACUCCCAAUCUUCAGAGUUGCAUUUAAUUCUUUCCAAUAAAUUCCAUUUGAAGUCAAUAUCUCUCUUCAUAAAAGAACCGGUACAAGAAGUGUCAAGCAUGGUGCGAUUAUCAUGAGAAAGCUGAGCAUAAUAGUUCUGAAUAAUAAUUUCUCUCAAGAGCUCAUGGUUGGGGCAUGAAUAUAACAUUGACAUAAGCCUCCCCCAAGCUUGAGCAAUACUUUCUCUUUCACGAGGCCAAAAAAUAUAGAAAUAAUUCCGAUCACGAUUGUACCAAAUGCAUAGGAUAAACUUUUGAUGAAAUUCCAAUUUCAAUCGGUUGUAGUUCCAUGAUCCAGUAUCAUCACAUAGCCUAUACCAUGUCAAUGCUUUAUCCCCCAAAGAUAAGGGAAAGACCUUCUUAUUGACCUCAUCCUCGGGCAAACCUCAAGCUUAAAUAAAAAACAUACUUCAUCUACAUAGAUUAGAUGCAAGUCGGGAUGUGAUGUUCCAUCUCGUGUAAAAGGAUUAGCCAACAGUUUCUCUAGCAUACCCGAAGGAAUUCCAUAGAAAAUAUUUUCAAUAGGUGCAGAAGGUUGAGGAGCAACUCCUUGUGCUUCCAUUCGAGGUGAAGAUACCCCGAACAAGCUCCUCAAAGGAUUAGUUUCCAUAGUGACAAGUGACAAUAAAUUUCAGCACACUAUAUAAAUGUUUCCUUACCAAAUUCCACUUACCAAAGGCGCUUCACUCCUCGGCAACGGUGCCAGAAAAGAGUCUUGAUGACCCACAAGUGUAGGGGAUAUAUCAUAGUCCUUUUGAUAAGUAAGAGUGUCGAACCCAACGAGGAGCAGACGGAACUGACAAGUGGUUUUCAGCAAGGUAUUCUCUGCAAGCACUGAAAUUAUUGGUAACACAUAGUUGUGUGAUAAGAUGAUUCGUAGCAAGUAGCAAGUAACAAUAGUGAUAAAGGUGCAGAAAAGUGGCCCAAUCCCUUUUCCAGCAAGGGACAAGCCUGAACAAACUCUUAUAUGAGGGAAAGCGCUCCCGAGGACACAUGGGAAUUUCUGUCAAGCUAGUUUUCAUCAUGUUCAUAUGAUUCGCAUUCGCUACUUUGAUAUGUGGGUGGACCAAUGCUUGGGUUCUGCCCUUACUUGGACAAACGUCCCACUUAUGGUUAACCCCUUUCGCAAGCAUCCGCAACUACGAAAGAAGAAUUAAGACUAAAACUAACCAUAGCAUUAAACUAGUGGAUCCUAAUCAGCCCCUUACGAAACAACGCAUAAACUAGGGUUUAAGCUUCUGUCACUCUAGCAACCCAUCAUCUACUUAUUACUUCCCAAUGCCUUCCUCUAGGCCCAAAUAAUGGUGAAGUGUCAUGUAGUCGACGUUCACAUAACACCACUAGAGGAAAAACAACAUACAACGCAUCAAAAUAUCGAACGAAUACCAAAUUCACAUGACUACUUAUAGCAAGACUUAUCCCAUGUCCUCAGGAACAAAAGUGACUACUCACAAAGCAUAAUUAUGUUCAUGACCAGAGAGGUAUUGAAUAGCAUUAGAGAUCUGAACAUAUGAUCUUCCACCGAGUAAUCCAACUAGCAUCAACUACAAAGAGUAAUUAACACUACUAGCAACCUUACAAGUACCAAUCGGAAUCGCGAGACGGAGAUUGGUUACAAGAGAUGAACUAGGGUUUGGAGAUGAGAUGGUGCUGAUGAAUAUGUUGAUGGUGAUGAGUCCCCUCCGAUGAGAGGAGUGUUGGUGAUGACGAUGGCGACGAUUUCCCCCUCCGGGAGGGAAGUUUCCCCAGCAGGACGGCCCUGCCGGAGCUCUAGACUGGUUCUGUUCAAGUUCCGCCUGUGGCGGCGGCGAUUCCUCCCGAAAGCCUACUCUUGAUUUUUUAUGGAACGAAACCCUCCUUAUAGGAAAGAUGGGAGCCAAAGGGGCAACAGGGGCCCCAUAAGCCACCGAGGCGCGACCAGGGGGUAGGUCGCGCCUGGUAGGCUUGUGGCCUCGUGCUGGCUCCCCUCCGGUACUUCUUCUGCCCAGUAUUUUUUAUAAAAUCCAAAAUAAUCCCUUAUUGAUUUUCACGGCUUUUGGAGUUGCGCAGAAUAGGUAUCUCAAACUUGGUCCUUUUUCAGACCAGAAUUCCAGCUGCCGGCAUUCUCCCUCUUCAUGUAAACCUUAUAAAAUAAGAGAGAAAAGGCAUAAGUAUUGUACCGUAAAGUGUAAUAACAGCCCAUAAGGCGAUAAAUAUCAACAUAAAAGCAUGAUGCAAAAUGGACGUAUCACUAACCCCGACUGAUGCUCUUUUCAGCAGAAUUGCCAUGGUGUUGUUUUUGCGCAGAAAUAAAUGUUCUCGGAAUGACCUGGAAAUUUACGAGGAUUUUUGGUGGAAUAUAUAAAAAAUAUUGGCGCAAGAAUUACCUGGAGGGACGGAGCCAGGAGCCCACAAGCCCAGGAGGCGCGGGUCCCCCUGGCCGCGCCUGGCAGGCUUGUGAGGCCCUCGUGGCUCCGCCGCCUCCAACUUCAGCUCUAUAUAGUCUCUCUCGCCCAGAAAAAAUUAGGAGAGAAGAGUUCAUCGCGUUUCACGACACGGAGCCACCGCCACCGCCUGUUCUUCCUCUGGAGGGCAGAUCUGGAGUCCGUUCUGGGCUCCGGAGAGGGGAGAUCGACACUGUCAUCAUCAUCAACCAUCCUUCAUCGCCAAUUCCAUGAUGCUCUUCACCGUUCGUGAGUAAUCUCAUCGUAGGCUUGCUGGACGGUGAUGGGUUGGAUGAUAUCUAUCAUGUAAUCGAGUUAGUUUUGAUGGGGUUUGAACCCUAGUUUCCACUAUGUUCUGAGAUUGAUGUUGCUACUUCUUUGUUAUGCUUAAUGCUUGUCACUAGGGCCCGAGUGCCAUGAUUUCAUAUCUGAACCUAUUAUGUUUUCAUCAAUAUAUGUGUGUUCUUGAUCCUAUCUUGCAAUUUGUAGUCACCUACUAUGUGUUAUGACCCGGCAACCCCGGAGUGACAAUAGCCGGUACCACUCCCGGAGAUGACCAUAGUAUGAGGAGUUCAUGUAUUCACUACGUGCGAAUGCUUUGUUCGGGUUCUCUAUUAAAAGGAAACCCUAAUAUCCCGUAGUCUCCAUUAGGACCCCGCUGCCAUGGGAGGGAUGGACAAUAGAUGUCAUGCAAGUUCUUUUGCAUAAGCACGUAUGACUAUAUACGAAAUACAUGCCUACAUUACAUUGACGAACUGGAGCUAGUUACAUAUCACCCUAUGUUAUAACUGUUACAUGAUGAAUGUCAUUCGACAUAAUUAUCCAUCACCGAUCCAAUGCCUACGAGUUUUUCCUACCGGUCCUUGCUAAGUUACUAUACCGCUACUGUUGUCACUGCUGCUACUGUUACCGCUACUGCUGUCACUACGACUACUGUUACCGCUGUUACCGUUACUAUCACGCUACUUUGCUACUAAAACUUUGCUGCAAAUACUAAGUCUUUCAGGUGUGGUUGAAUUGACAACUCAACUGCUAAUACUCGAGAAUAUUCUUUUGCUUCCCCUUGUGUCGAAUCAACAAAUUUGGUAUGAAUACUCUACCCUCGAAAACUGUUGCGAUCCCCUAUACUUGUGGGUUAUCACUGGCAUGCUGUGACAACUUGGGUAGUGCGGACCAUUACAGGGACGAGCUGCUGUCGUCGGCAAGCCACCAGAGCUGCCAGGGCCGAAGCACUACGUGACACAGGGGCGACGACCAUUGGUCAGGUCUUGGCGCGGUGUUGCGCGGCCCUAGAAGGUAGCCAAGGGGCACGGGUAGAAGGACGUGACUGCUCAGGCGAGCGCAUGCAAAACGUGCGCUCUAGCCACGCACAGAGCACGCACAACACCCGUUCGACAGAUUUCCUGACAUAUCCAACCGUCUACAAUGCUGCUCAAACUCAAGAGGGUUAGUUUAGGUGGCAAGAAAAGGUUUCAAGACAUCCUAGUUUGACUAUACAAGCAAGUCCACCAUGCAAAGCUAAAACUAUGCCAAAUCUGCCUAUGCACAGAAGGUGUUCUACAGGAGGUUAAAGGCAUCAAAAUGAUUUUUUUAGUGGACAAAAACUCCAGAUCAGGGUCUCUUUAGGUGCUGGUAAAGAUGGUAGGGUUAGUUUGAGAAAAGAAGAAAUUUGUUGGUACAAAUUUUGGAGAAAAUCUUUUGUGGUCAGAAUCUUAGGGGCAUUAAAGCAUGGGCUAAAUUUAUCCCAAAGGCUCACAUCUCUUGGACUUAAGGGUGUGGUAGGCUCUACUACAAGUGGUAAAAAUCUCAACUCGAUUGGGGCAAUUUAAAAUAGGGAUGUAGUUCAAAAGAGCAAACUGGACGAGAAUGCAAAAGAGGUCAUGCUGCUCAAAGUUUUCAAAGGGCAGCUAUGGGUUUGUGCAUGAAGUGAGUCUCAUGCAUCCCUUGACAUCUCCAAAUUUUUGUGGAGUUUUUAAAAUAAUUUAUAAAAGGGUUGCAGUGCAAAUGAGUUUCUUAAAGAAGGAAAAAGUCUUUUAAAAGAGUUUAAAUUGGCAAGCUUUAUUAGAAAAAAUAUUCCCAUUAAAUUAAAUAAAAGAAAUAAAAUUAUCACAAGAAAUGACUUAAGCACACAAUGAUCUUCAAACUGCCACUUAAAAAUAAAAGGAUUUUGGAAAGGGGCUCUAAAAUAAGCAAUGGAAUAAUUUAUAUUUGAAAAUUUCAUUCUAGGCAAUAUUUUAAUUUAUAAAAAUAUGAUUAAAUUUUUGGGGCGUAACAAAAGGAUUUAGGGUACCUAGGGCUACAAUGGAUAUGAAAUUGGAGAUCAAAUGCCAAAUGAAUCUAUUAGUUCCUUUGUAAAUUUCUCGGGGUCAAGUGAUUACAGAAAAUGGUUUUGAUUAAAAACAGGAAAGGUAGUUGAACUACCUCAUAACUUUAAGAAUCUUCUUUUAAAUGAUGCCCUAAUGUUAGAGGGAAGUCAGGGUCAAGAAUUUAGUGAGAGAGGAAGAGAUAAAAUUUUUAGGGCAAAACUAAGUUUGCGAAAUAUCUCACACAAACCAUUAAAGAAUUUUCGAAAGAAGGGAGAGGGAUUUUCCAGUGGAAAAUCUUGGUAAAGAGGGGAAAUAAAGUAAGACUCUUUCCGAACCAGAAGUGUUGACAAGGAAAACCCAAGAAAAUUUGUCUCAAGGUAAAAAUUUCAAGAAGAUUCCAAAAGAUGUUUUUGUCAAAAUUUUGGAAAUUCACUUUAAAAAUAAAUGAAAUAAGAAAAUUCCAAAUUGAAAAUUUGAGGAUUUUACAUCAGCUCUCCAUUGCACGACGACCUACAACAGUAACACAUGUGCGCCCCUCUUCUGCUACCAGCACUAGAGUCGUGCCACUCUUCCAUGCUUCCUACAAGCACCGGAGAUGUGCCAAUUACGACUGGCAAUUACAAUGCUGGUAAACUUGUUCUCAAAGAUAACUUUGCCAUAUUCCAUUUCUAAUAUUUUAGGGCUGAUGCAUAGUACUUUCUAUUUUCUAUGAAUGAAGGGGAGUGGUGGGCAACUUAUGGACUACAAACUCCCACAUUGAUGCACAUGGCUUUGAGGAUACUGAACUUAACCACAAGUUCAUCUAGUGCGAAAGAAAUUGGAGAGUUUUUUCACAAGUAAGACUCAACUUGCAAAUAUUCAAUUGUGAUCCUUAUUUCAUUCAUGACAAGAUGUGAAUCACUAACCUUCACUAUGCACUUUGUAGGUAGAUGCAAAGAGCAGAAAUAAAUUAGAUGUGUGUCAUAGGGACUAUCUAGUUUACAUUUAUUUCAAUGUAAGAUUUCUAGACAAGAUAAAGAAAUAAUACUCAUCUUGUGAUGUUCUACUUGGUGAAUAUGCAUCCACAACCCAAGAUUGGAUAUGUGAAUAUGCUUACGAUUAUGAAGAGAUGGGAGCUAUCGGAGUUGACAAUACAAAAGAGCCACGUAGAAGUCUAAGGGUGAGAGAACUCCAUGAAGUGGAAGACUUUGUUUCCAGUGAUGAAGAUGACACUGUGCCUAUCAAUGCAGAUGAGAUAGAUUUUGAGUGUGAUUAUGAUAUGGCUCGGGUGAUAGAAGAAAUUGAUGAGGAAGACCUGAUGCAGCCUUGAGUCAUAGGCCUUUUAACAAUCUCAUUCCUAGUACCGUGUGUGUUUGCUAGCAGCCUAAUGCUUUAUUUUGGUUCUGAAUUGUUAGAGAAUUAUAGGGCUAAGAACUACCUUAUUUUGGUUGAUUGGUGUUUCACCGUUUGCUAGCAAAGUAGUAACUAGUAAGACUAAGAAGUUGAAAUAGAAGUGUAGAACUAAGAUUAUUUGUGUAUUCUGGACAUGUUAUGUUUUGUUGUGUUGUCUAUUCAGUAUCCACCAUGAUACUAUAUCAGUUUAUUUGUGGAUUAAGACUAAUAUAUUUAUAUAUGUACUGCAACCUAUCUACUGUCUCCGUUUAUUUGUGGACCCAUAUAGUUAUGUAGUUAUGUACUGUCGUUCUGCCUAUUGUUGCUUGUUAUGUAAAUGAGUAAAUCUAUGCACUCUUAUCCUAUUUGAAAAUGCCCAAACAAGAUAUGUGUUGUUUAAGUGUUGUCCAAUUUUUAUUUGUUAUGUCAUAUUGUAGUAUCCAUGUACUCCUAUCAUAUUUGAAUUUCAAACAUGCAAAAACAUGACAUGUGUUGUUGUUAUAUAUUGAUGUUGUGUUAAAAGCUUAGAGUGCAUACUUGUUGAUUGUUUACAAUUUUGCCUUAUUAAUUAGUGCUUGAAAAUGUCGGUCUUGAAAGAAAACUUAUCGAUUAAUAGCCGACCGAUAAAAUUGAUUAAUCGGUUGAUUUCCCGAUUAAUCUCUAAUCCCCAACCGAUCGAGACGGUAAUGACAAGCGAUAUCCCAAACAUUGUUGACGCCGAGGACAAACGCAUGUGCUAACCUACGGCAAGCAAGGCAUAGGCAUUGUCCUCCUUCACGAACGAGCCUGCCGACGACCACUUCUUCCCCUGCUGUCACGGCGUGCUCCGGGGCGAGGAGCUCCUCAUUCACCUCUCAACACUGCAUGGUGUGGAGGUAGAGCUCUUGGUCGAGGUGAUGGAAGUUGGCCCAAGGGGGCCAACCUCUACUGUAAGAGAGGCGGCCGCGCUCCCGCGCUUGCUUGGACCGCCAGGCCUCGAUCGCGAGAGGGGGAGUUACCAGCCUCCACGUUGUUAUGCGAGAUCUUGCGUCGCAGCUACCCGCCACGACCAUGGCCACCAUGCCCCGCGUGCAGAACCCGCCAUUGCUCGCGCAAAAAAGGAACUACGUGAGGUGGAAUUUCUUGCCAAAGAUAGGAAGGGAGAUAUCUUAGGAGGUGGAUCACGAGGAGCUUUCAUGGUAUGUCUACCCCUUUUAUCUUAAUGAUGAUUGGCUUGCACAACUACUUACUUUUAUGUGAAAAAAUCGCAUAAAGUUGUUAUUUUUUCAAUACUUUAAAUUUAGUGUUCUUAUUUGGGUUAAGAUAGUGGGUCAAUGUAGCUAGCGUUCUUAUUAAUAGUUAAUUUCCUUGAUCUUAGUGUAAGUAGCACAUGUUUACUCAUUAUUUUGGCCGUCUCACUGAUUUUCUCGCUUUGUCAUAUAUUGUCGGUGUACUAAAGAGCGGGUCCGUUAGUACCCUGACUUGUGCACAAACGGCAACAACCUUUGGCCCAACAAGCCUUGGCGGGAAGAUACUGCGUUGAGGAAAACAUCAAGCAACAAGGCGAAGCCAUCGACAAGCCUCCUUCCCAAUGAAGAAGACCUGACAACAAUCUCAGCCAUCGACAAGCCUCCUUCCCAGCAUGGCCCCACUACCACACCACCGCUCCACCUCAUAGGGCUGAUUGUCGUCGUCAAUGAGGUGUCGAGCAGGCAGGCUGUUAGGUAGGCCUUGUCGAGGCACGUGGUAGCUCAAGGGAAUUACAACAACUUUAAUGACACCCGUCCUAACGAAGUGGUGGGAUAAUAAGAGGUAGCCGGGCGAACGACUCAGAAGUAGAGGCAAUCCUUGUCGAGGAGCGACGCAAGCACGAAGCCUCACGAUGCAUUUAAUGCCUCCAUCCUAAUUCGCCAGGGUUAGGUAUUUCCCAAUGUAGUUUGUGUUGGUAGUUUGACCACUGUUUACUCUUGUAUAUGUACCAUUUUAGCCAUUGUGGUAAGCCCUUUUGCCUAUAAAAGAAGGUUCAUGGCUACCUUUACAAGGGUCAAAACCAUGUUCAAUUGAGUGUGUGGUAGUGAUGACCCACAGGUAUAGGGGAUCAAUCGUAGUCCUUUCGAGAAGUAAGAGUGUCGAACCCAACAAGGAGCAGAAGGAUUUGACAAGUGGUUUUCAGCAAGGUAAUAUCUGCAAGCACUGAAAUUAUCGGUAACAAGUGAUUGUAUGGUGAGGUGAUUCGUAGCAAGCAACAAGUAACAAAAGUAGAAACGGUGCAGCAAAGUGGCCCAAUCCCUUUUGUAGCAAGGGACAAGCCUGGACAAAGUCAUAUAGGAGGAAAAACGCUCCACAGGACACACGGGAAUUUCUUUCAUGCUAGUUUUCAUCAUGUUCAUAUGAUUCGCGUUCGUUACUUUGAUAGUUUGAUAUGUGGGUGGACUGGCGCUUGGGUACUGCCCUUACUUGUACAAGCAUCCCACUUAUGAUGAACCCCUCUCGCAAGCAUCCGCAACUACGAAAUAAGAAUUAAGACAAAGUCUAACCAUAGCAUUAAACUAGUGGAUCCAAAUCAGCCCCUUACGAAGCAACGCAUAAACUAGGGUUUAAGCUUCUGUCACUCUAGCAACCCAUCAUCUACUUACUACUUCCCAAUGCCUUCCUCUAGGCCCAAAUAAUGGUGAAGUGUCAUGUAGUCGACGUUCACAUAACACCACUAGAGGAAAAACAACAUACAACACAUCAAAACAUCGAACGAAUACCAGAUUCACAUGACUACUAUUAGCAUGACUUAUCCCAUGUCCUCAAGAACAAAAGUAACUAGUCACAAAGCAUAAUCAUAUUCAUGACCAGAGAGGUAAUGAGUAUCAUCAAGGAUCUGAACAUAAACUCUUCCACCAAAUAAUCCAACUAGCAUCAACUACAAGGAGUAAUUAACACUACUAGCAACCUUACAAGUACCAAUCGGAGUCGUGAGACGGAGAUUGGUUACAAGUGAUGAACUAGGGUUUGGAGAUGAGAUGGUGCUGAUGGAGAUGUUAAUGGUGACGAGUGCCCUCCGAUGAGAGGAGUGUUGGUGAUGACGAUGGCGACGAUUUCCCCCUCCGUGAGGGAAGUUUGCCCGGUAGGAUCGUCCUGCCGGAGCUCUAGAUUGGUUCUGCUCAAGUUCCGCCUCGUGGCGGCGGCGAAUCCUCCGAAAAGCUCCCUUCUAAUUUUUUUUCGACGAAACCCUUCAUAUAGCAAAAGAUGAGCGCCGUAGGGGCAAGAAGGGGCCCCCAAGGCCCCCAGGCCCUGCCAGGGGGGUAGGCCGGGCCUUGCAGGCUUGUGGCCUCCAGGUGGCGCCCCUCUGGUACUUCUUCCGCCCAGUAUUUUUUAUAUAUUCCCAAAAAAUUCCACGUUGAUUUUCACGGCUUUUGGAGUUGCGCAGAAUAGGCAUCUCGAACUUGCUCCUUUUUCACGCGAGAAUUCCAGCUGCCGGCAUUCUCCCUCUUCAUGUAAACCUUGCAAAAUAAGAGAGGAAAGGCAUAAGUAUUGUACCUUGGAGUGAAAUAACAGCCCAAAAAGCGAUAAAUAUCAACAUGAAAGCAUGAUGCAAAAUGGACGUAUCAACUCCCCCAAGCUUAGACCUCGUUUAUCCUCAAGCAAAAGCCUAGCUCAAUAAAUAUGUCCACAUGUUUAGGGAGAGAGGUGUCGACAAAACAAGAUACGAACAUGCAGGCAUCAUGAUCAUGAUUAGAACAGCAAUACCAACAUAUAAUCUCUCAUGCUAAAGUGACAAAUUCUUCACAAAGUAAAGCAUGGAUCAAGAACCUUACCGAGAAUCAACAACCGAUAGCCUUUAGUCAUUGAAGCAAUUGCAAUUUAUCACAACAUCAGAAAGAGUCAAAUAAGAGCUUGUAAGGAAAAUCCACAUACUCAAUCAUCUUUUCGUUCUCUACAAUUGCUACUACUCACGUGGUACUCAUGAGAUUAAAGUUUCAGCUGGACACAGAGAAAGAUAGGGGCUUAUAGUUUUGCCUCCCAACUGUUUACCUCAAGGGUAAUGUCAACAAUAAUAAUUCAUGAAUACUUACCUCCAAGUUGACAUAUGAAUAUAGAUCUUUCCCUAGCAUGUGACGUUAGCCAAGAUAAAGGCGAAACAAGGAAUUGGUGCAGAUCACCAUGACUCUUUCAAGGGCAAAAAGUAAAGGUACAAGAUAGGCCCUUCGCAGAGGGAAGCAGAGGUUGUCAUGCGCUUUUGAGGUUUGGAUGCGUGUCCUCUUAGUGCGGAGGAACGUCACUCUAUAUUGCCUCAUGUGAUAAAGAACUUUAUUAUGGAGUCUGUCGCUUUUAUGUCUUCCUCAUCACAAGUUCGUACAAAGCUUAUUUUCCACACACUAAUAGAUCAUACAUAUUAGGGAGGAAUUUUUUAUUGCUUGCACCGAUGACAACUAAGUUGAAGGAUCUUAUUCAAUCCAUAGGUUGGUAUGAUUAAUUCUCAUGGUGAAACUGGGUUGAAGGUAUGUGGAUGCACAAGUAUUAUCUCUACUUGGUGCGGGAGUUUUGUCUAAUAUGAGGUGGAAGCAAUCGUCACAUGCUAUGGGAUCUCUAAUCAUAUAACAUUGUUUGGAACCAAGCAAACACAAUUCAUUAUGUUUUCUUCUGAUACGUCUCAAACGUAUCUAUAAUUUUUGAUGGUUUCACGCUGUUAUCUUGUCUUCUUUGGUUGUUUUAUGUACCUUUUAUACCUUUUUUGGGACUAACUCAUUAAUUCAGUGCCAAGUGUCAGUUCCUAUUUUUUCCGUGUUUUUGACUCUAUCUAGAUCUGAUUUUGGAACGGAGUCCAAACGGAAGAAAAACCCCGAAAAUGAUUUUUUCCCGAACGGAAGAAGAUCACGGGACUUUUGGGCCAAGCCAGGUGGGCUCUAGGGAGCCCACAAGCCCCCACUCCGCCACCAGGGGGAGGCGGCGGUGGGCAGGCUUGUGGCCUCCCUCGCCACCCCCUGACCUAGGUCUUUGGCCUAUAAAUUCCCAAAUAUUUUGCAAAAAAUCAGGGGAGCCUCGAAAAUACUUUUCCACCGCUGCAAGCUUUCGUUUCCGCGAGAUCUCAUUUGGAGACCCUUCCCAGCGCCCUGCCGGAGGGGACUUUGGAGUUGGAGGGCUUCUUCAUCAUCAUCAUCGCCCCUCCAAUGACUCGUGAGUAGUUCACUUCAGACCUACGGGUCCGUAGUUAGUAGCUAGAUGGCUUCUUCUCUCUCUUGGAUCUUCAAUACAAAGUUCUCCAUGAUCUUCAUGGAGAUCUAUCCGAUGUAAUCUUCUUUGGCGGUGUGUUUGUCGAGAUCCGAUGAAUUGUGGAUUUGUGAUCAGAUUAUCUAUGAUAUAUAUUUGAGUCUUUGCUUAUUUCUUAGAUGCAUGAUUUGAUAUCCUUGUAAGUCUCUCCGAGUCUUGGGUUUUGUUUGGCCAACUAGAUCUAUGAUUCUUGCAAUGGGAGAAGUGCUUGGUUUUGGGUUCUACCAUGUGGUGACCUUUCCCACUGACAGUAGCGGCAGCAAGGCACACAUCAAGUAGUUGCCAUCAAGGGUAAAAAGAUGGGGUUUUUAUCAUUGGUUUGAUAUUAUACCUCUAGAUCAUGUCAUCUUGUUUAAGGCGUUACUCUGUUCUUAUGGACUUAAUACACUAGAUGCAUGCUGGAUAGCGGUCGACGCGUGGAUUAAUAGUAGUAGAUGCAGAAAGUAUUGGUCUACUUGUUUCGGACGUGAUGCCUAUAGAAAUAAUCAUUGCAUAGAUAUCGUCAUGACUUUGCACGGUUCUAUCAAUUGCUCGACAGUAAUUUGUUCACCCACCGUCUACUUUCUUUUAUGAGAGAAGCCACUAGUAAACACUAUGACCCCCGGGUCUAUUCACAUCCAUCGUUUACACCUCCGCUUUUACUUUGCUUUGUUACUUUGUUGCUUUCAGUUCUCAGUUGGCAAACAAUCUAUAAGGGAUUGACAACCCCUUCAUAGCGUUGGGAGCAAGUUUUUGUGUUUGUGCAGGAUCUUGAGAUACUCCUCCACUGGAUUGAUACCUUGGUUCUCAAACUGAGGGAAAUACUUACCACCGUCGUGCUACAUCACCCUUUCCGCUUCGAGGGAACACCAACGCAAGGCUCCAAGGCCACGGGGGAAAUCAUUUUCAUACUUGCCUAGGAAGUCCCUUAAGGCAUAGCCGCAGCAGAUGUAUCAAGCCAAGUAUCCUCCCGUCGACGUGCCUAUUGCUGGUGCCAUUGGAAGGUCUUUUAUUGCAGUAACAGAAGUAUUUCUGACGCCGUUGCAAGGGAAGCACAGCUGAUAUGAGAAGUAUUUCUGGCGCCGUUGCCGGGGAGGAGAAAUCAAGAUCUAUCCAAGUAGGUCUCAUAAACUCUUCUCUUGCAUUUACUUUUGUUGCCAGUUGCCUCUCAUUUUCCUCUCCCCCACUUCACAUUUGUCGUUUUCAUUCGCCUUUCUCCUUCGCCGUUUUCUUUCGCCCUUGCCGUUUUCCUUUGCUGGUUUCUUGCUUGCUUGUGUGCUUGUUUGUUUGUUGAAGACAUCAUGUCUAAAACACCAAACUUUGCGACUUCUCGAGCACUAAUAAUAAUAAUUUUAUUUGUACUCCGAUUGCUCCCGCCACUAGUGCGAAAUCGUAUGAAAUAAACGCAGCUUUGCUGAAUCUGUUAUGAAAGAGAAAUUCUCCGGCCUUCCUAGUGAAAAUGCCGCAUCCCAUCUCAAUACCUUCAUUGAGAUUUGCGAUAUGCAAAAUAAAAGAGAUGUGGAUAAUGACGUGAUUAAGUUGAAACUUUCUUCCUUUCUCGUUGCGAGAUCGCACAAAAACUUGGUUUUCUACUUUGCCUAAAAAUAGUAUCGAUUCUUGGGAUAGGUGCAAAGAUGCUUACAUAUCCAAGUAUUUUCCGCCGGCUAAGAUCAUCUCCUUACGUAAUGAUAUCAUGAAUUUCAAGCAACUUGAUCAUGAACGCGUUGCACAAUCUGGGGAGAGGAUGAAACUUAAGAUUAGAAAUUGUCCCGCUCAUGGCUUGAGUUUGUGGAUGAUUAUACAAAUCUUUUACGCUGGCUUGAAUCUUGCUUCUCGCAAUAUCUUGGACUCCGCCUCAGGUGGAAUGUUCAUGGAAAUCACGUUAGGAGACGCUACAAAACUCCUAGACAAUAUCAUGACCAACUACUCUCAGUGGCACACUGAAAGGUCGCCUGCUAGCAAAAAGGUGCACGCUAUAGAAGAGAUUAACUCGCUUAGUGCUAAGAUACACGAGUUGAUGAAUUUAGUUGCUAGUAGAAACGCUACCGUAGAUCCUAAUGACAUGCCACUAUCUUCUUUGAUUGAGAGUAGCAACGCUAGUUUGGACGUGAAUUUUGUUGGUAGGAACAAUUUUGGCAACAACAAUGCUUUUAGAGGAAACUAUGUUCCUAGGCCUUUUCCUAGUAACUCCUCUAACAAUUGUGGCAAUUCCUACGGCAACACUUGUGGAAAUCACAACAAAUUACCCUCUGAUUUAGAGAGUAAUAUCAAAGAGUUCAUUAACUCUCAAAAGAUUUUCAAUGCAUCCAUAGAGGGAAAACUACUCAAAAUAGACGAUUUGGCUAAGAGCGUUGAUAGGAUGUCUUGUGAUAUUGAUGCUUUGAAAUUUAGAUGCGCUCCUCCCAAGAUCAACUUGGAUGAAACUUUGAAAGCUAUGCGUAUCUCCAUGAAUGAGAGCAAAGAAAGAACCGCCCAAAUUCGAGCUAGACAUGAAUGGUUUAAAAGGGUGCGUUCUAGUGAUGCAAAUCACGAAGAUCUUAAAGUGCUUGGUGUGUCUCCCCUUGAAUCUUUGUUUUCGCGUGUCAAACCUACUUAUGGAGGGGCUGGAUAUGAAGCCACUUUGGUUGAAAAACACCCCAAUGAUUCGGAGUCCACCUAUCUUGAUGAUAAAGGUGUGGAGAGUGGAGUAGAAGAAGUCAAAAUUUUGGGUAGUAAUGAAACUCCCACUUUGGAUUUCAAGGAAUUCAAUUAUGAUAAUUUCUGCUUGUUUGAAUGCAUUUCUUUGAUGCAAUCCAUUGCAAACUCUUCACAUGCUUAUAGCCAAAGCAAAGCCUUUACCGCGCAUAUCGUAGAUGCUAUGAUGAAAUCUCUUGAAGAGAAGCUCGAACUAGAAGUCUCUAUACCUAGAAAACUUCAUGAUGAGUGGGAACCUACUAUCAAAAUCAAGAUCGAAAACUAUGAGUGCAAUGCUUUGUGUGAUUUGGGUGCUAGUGUUUCCGCGAUUCCAAAUUCUUUAUGUGAUAUUCUUGGUUUUCAUGAGAUUGAAGAGUGUUCUCUUAAUUUGCAUCUUGCGGAUUCUACUGUCAAAAAACCCAUGGGGAGGAUCGAUGAUGUUCUUAUUGUUGAAAAUAAGAACUAUGUACCCGUGGAUUUCAUUGUACUUGACAUAGAUUGCAAUCCUUCAUGUCCCAUUAUUCUUGGUAGACCUUUCCUAAGGACUAUUGGUGCUAUCAUCGAUAUGAAGGAAGGGAAUAUUAGAUUUCAAUUUCCUUUAAAGAAGGGCAUGGAGCACUUUCCUAUAAAGAAAAUAAGAUUGCCCUAUGAAUCUAUGAUGAGGGCUACUUAUGGUUUGAGCACCAAAGAUGACUAUACGUGAUUCCAUCACUUUCGCCUAGCUAAGGGCGUUAAACAAAAGCGCUUGUUGGGAGGCAACCCAACGAAUCUAUCCUUUUUCUUUAUGUUUUGUGUUUUCCACACUUUCAUAAUUCUGUUAUGAUUGUGUCUUUUGUGUUUCUUUUUGCGUUUGUGCCAAGCAAAACCGUUAUGAUUAGUCUUGGGGAUGAUCGUUUGGUCAUGUUGGAAAAGACAGAAAGUUUCUGCUGACGAAAAGAAUUUUCAUUUUUGUUAUGUAAGAGCUAUCGAAUUGAUUCUUUUUGCUGCUGAUUUCAAAGCAAAUUAUUCAGACUUUCGUAAUGUUUCAGAAUUGUUGAAGUACUAGAGGUAUGCGAAAUAUACAGAUUGCUACAGACUGGUCUACUGUUAACAUAUUCUGUUUUUGUUGUGUUGGUUGCUUAUUUUGAUGAAACUAUGGAUAGUAUCGGGGGGUAUUAGCCGUGGAAGAUUGAAAGUACAGUAACCCAACAUCAGCACAAGUAGAAUUUAAGUUUACUACAGUACCUAAGGAAGUGGUGGUUUGCUUUCUUGUACUAAUGUUAUCACGAGUUUCUGUUUAAGUUUCGUGUUGUGAAGUUUUCAAGUUUUGGGUGAAGUUCUUAUGGACAAAGAGAUAAAGAGUGGCAAGAGAUCAAGAUUGGGGAUUCCCAAGGCACCCCAAGAGAUUCAAGGAUGUCGUACAAGCCUAAGCUUGGGGAUGCCCCGGGAAGGCAUCCCCUCUCUCGUCUUCAAUCCAUCGGUAACGUUACUUGGGGCUAUAUUUUUAUUCACCACAUGUUAUGUGUUUUUGCUUGGAGUGUCUUGUAUCGUAGGAGUCUUUUAUUUUUGUUGUGUCACAAUCAUCCUUGAUGCACACCUAGAGAGAGAGAGACAUGCACACACCGUGAUUUUGUCGAGCUUUACUUAUACUUUUGGUAGACAAUUCAGCUCACAUGUGCUUCACUUAUAUCUUUUGAGCUAGAUACUUUUGCUCUAUGUGCUUCACUUAUAUAUUUUAGAGCGCAGCGGUGCGUGGCUUGGUAGUUGAUCUAUGCUUUGAAAGUAGUCUCAAAAGGGGUAUUUAUCCAUAGGGAUACGAAAACUUCCACCUUCAUGUGCAUUGAAUAGUUAGAUAAGUUUGAUUCAUCUCAAUUAGUUUUGAGUUGUGGUUAUGGUAAUAUUGAAGUCAUGCUAGUAAGGUGUUGUGGAUCUAGAAAUAAUUGUGUUGAAGUUAGUGAUUCCCGUAGCAUGCACGUAUGGUGAACCGCUAUGUGAUGAAAUCUGAGCAUGAUUAGUAUAUUGAUUGUCAUCCUUUGCGUGGCGGUCGGGGUCACACGAUGAUUUAUACCUACCAACCCUUCCCCUAGGAGUAUGCGUUGAAUGCUUUGUUUCGAUUACUAAUAAAACUUUUGCAACAAGUAUAUGAGUUCUUCAUGACUAAUGUUGAGUCCAUGGUUUAGAUGCACUUUCACCUUCCAGCAUCACUAUCUUCUUAGUGCCGUGCAACUUUCGCCGGUGCACAAAACCCACCAUUAGCCUCCCUCAAAACAGCCACCAUACCUACCUAUUAUGGCUUUUUCAAAGUAAUACCGAGAUAUAUUGCCAUGCAACUACCACCAUCACAUGUGCCACCACGUCUACUUUGCCUUUGCAUGAUCGUAAGAUAGCUAGCAUGAUGUUUCCAUUGAUGUCUAUGCCAUGCUAGAUCAUUGCCACGGUACACUACCGAAGUCAUAGUUGCUCUAAGUUUUGAGUUGAAAGUGUGAUGAUCAUCAUUAAUGGAGCAUUGUCCCAUGUGAGGAAAUAAAAGAGGCCAAAUAAGCCCAUAAAAAAGAGGCCAAAGAGCCCACCAAAAUAAAAAAAAUGAGAGAAAAAGAGAGAAGGGACAAUGCUACCACUUUUUCCACACUUGUGCAUAUUAAGCACCAUGAUCUUCAUGAUUGAGAGUCUCUCUUUUUGUCACCACCAUAUAGCUAGUGGGGAAUUUUCAUUAUAUAACUUGGCUUGUAUAUUCCAAUGAUAGGCUUCCUCAAAAUUGCCUUAGGUCUUCGUGAGCAAGCAAGUUGGAUGCACACCCACUAGUUUUCUUUAAGAGCUUUCACAUACUCAUAGCUGUAGUGCUUCAUUUGUAUGGCAAUCCCUACUCAUUCACAUUGAUAUCUAUUGAUGAGCAUCUCCACAGCUCAUUGAUAUGCCUAGUUAAUGUGACUAUCUUCUCCUUUUUUUUGUCUUGCAACCUCCACUACAUUCCACACCAUCUAUAGUGCUAUAACCAUGGCUCACGCUCAUGUAUUGCGUGAGAGUUGAAAAUGUUUGAGAAAGUAAAGGUGUGAAACAAUUACUUGGCCAAUACCGGGGUUGUGCAUGAUUUAAAUUCGUUGUGCAAUGAUGAUAGAGCAUAGCCAGACUAUAUGCUUUUGUAGGGAUAACUUUCUUUUGGCCUUGUUAUUUUGAAAGUACAUGAUUACCUUGCUAGUUUGCUUGAAUUAUUAUUGUUUCCACGUCAAUAGCAAACUAUUGUUUUGAAUCUAAUGGAUCUGAACAUUCACGUCACAUAAGAGGAAUUACAAAGUACACCUAUGCUAGGUAGCAUGAAAGCAUCAAAAAUUCAUUCUUAUCACUUCCCUACUCGAGGACGAGCAGGAGUUAAGCUUGGGGAUGCUUGAUUUGUCUCAAACGUAUCUAUAAUAUUUGAUGGUUUCACGCUGUUAUCUUGUCUUCUUUGCUUGUUUUAUGUACCUUUUAUAUCUUUUAUGGGACUAACUUAUUAAUUCAGUGCCAAGUGCCAGUUCCUGUUUUUUCCGUGUUUUUGACUCUUUUCAAAUCUGAUUUUGGAACGGAGUCCAAACGGAAGAAAAACCCCGAAAUGAUUUUUCCCGAAUGAAAGAAGACCAGGGAGCUUUUGGGCCAAGCCAGGUGGGCUCCAGGGAGCCCACAAGCCCCCACUCCACCACCAGGGGGGAGGUGGCGGUGGGCAGGCUUGUGGCCUCCCUGGCCGCCCCUUGACCUAGGUCUUUGGCCUAUAAAUUCCCAAAUAUUCCGCAAAAAAUCAGGGGAGCCUCUAAAAUACUUUUCCAUUGCCGCAAGCUUCCGUUUCCGCGAGAUGUCAUCUGGAGACCCUUCCCGGCACCCUGCUAGAGGGGACUUUGGAGUUGGAGGGCUUCUUCAUCAUCAUCAUCGCCCCUCCAAUGACUCGUGAGUAGUUCACUUCAGACCUAUGGGUCCGUAGUUAGUAGCUAGAUGGCUUCUUCUCUCUCUUGGAUCUUCAAUACAAAGUUUUCCAUGAUCUUCAUGGAGAUCUAUCCGAUGUAAUCAUCUUUGGCGGUGUGUUUGUCGAGAUCCGAUGAAUUGUGGAUUUGUGAUCAGAUUAUCUAUGAUAUAUAUUUGAGUCUUUGCUGAUUUCUUAUAUGCAUGAUUUGAUAUCCUUGUAAGUCUCUUCGAGUCUUGGUUUUUGUUUGCCAACUAGAUCUAUGAUUCUUGGAAUGGGAGAAGUGCUUGGUUUUGGGUUCUACCAUGUGGUGACCUUUCCCAGUGACAUUAGGGGCAGCAAGGCACACAUCAAGUAGUUGCCAUCAAGGGUAAAAAGAUGGGGUUUUCAUCAUUGGUUUGAUAUUAUCCCUCUACAUCAUGUCAUCUUGCUUAAGGCGUUACUCUAUUCUUAUGGACUUAAUACACUAGAUCCAUGCUGGAUAGCGGUCGACGUGUGGAGUAAUAGUAGUAGAUGCAGAAAGUAUCGGUCUACUUGUUUCGGACGUGAUGCCUAUAGAAAUAAACAUUGCAUAGAUAUCGUCACGACUUUGCGUGGUUCUAUCAAUUGCUCGACAGUAAUUUGUUCACCCACCGUCUACUUGCUUUUAUGAGAGAAGCCACUAGUAAACACUACGGCCCCCGGGUCUAUUCACAUCCAUCGUUUACACCUUCGCUUUUACUUUGCUUUGUUACUUUGUUGCUUUCGGUUCUCACUUGGCAAACAAUCUAUAAGGGAUUGACAACCCCUUCAUAGCAUUGGGAGCAAGUUUUUGUGUUUGUGCAGGAUCUCGAGAUACUCCUGCACUGGAUUGAUACCUUGGUUCUCAAAAUGAGAUAAAUACUUACCACCGUUGUGCUACAUCACCCUUUCCGCUUCGAGGGAACACCAACGCAAGGCUCCAAGGCCACGGGGGAAAUCCUUUGCAUACUUGCCUAGGAAGUCCCUUAAGGCGUAGCCGCAGAAGAAGGAUCAAGCCAAGUAUCCUCCCGUCGACGUGCCUAUUGCUGGCGCCAUUGGAAUGUCUUUUGUUGCAGUCACAGAAGUAUUUCUGGCGCCGUUGCAAGGGAAGCACAGUUGAUAUCAUCUUCCUUGUCCAACAUCUACUUCUAAGCAUGUAAUAGUUUAGUGAGUGUUCACAAUCAUAGAUGGUGUCAAGGAUGAUAUAUUUAUAUGUGAACCUCUCCUUCUUUAUCACUUCCCAUUAAUUGCAACAAUGACCAAGGUCUACGUUUGUCUACCCUCAACAAGUUUGAAUCAUCAUCCUUUUUAUAUAUGAAGCCAUCACUUCCCAUAAGAUCACUAUAUGAUCUCUCAUGGUUUUUUUCUUUCUCGAUCUUUUGAUCAUGGCAAGAGGCAAAGCCCUUCAACUAAGAUACUCCUUAUUAUAUGGCUCACGAGCUCGAAUACAUCAGGGGAGACGCAAAGCAAAACUCAAGCCUAAAACACUAAGACAUUUAUUCUACUAGAGAAAGAGAAAACUGAAAAGGAACAAACUAAAACAAAGGUAAAGGCAAAAGAUAUGAUGGUGAUACGAUACCGGGGCAACUCCCCCAAGCUUGGCACAAGCCAAGGGGAUUGCCCAUACCCAUGCUCAGUUGUCUUCCUUUGGAGGUGAUGGUGGUGGAGUUGUUGCAACCUUUGGUUCCAAGAGGGCCAUUAAUCUUUGAUUUAUACCUUGGAGAUCUGUGAUAUGUUUCUCGAGCAAAACAACUUCACGAGUGAGAUAAGUAUUGCGAGCACGAGUUGUUUCACAAAACCUCAAGAGUUCAAUCAAGGAUGGAGACUGUAGGUGGAGGUAGGGUUGGAUGAAAUCCACUUCUUCAACUUCUUCCUUGUUGAGCACAGAUUGCACUUCGUCCCAUGCCUGACUCUUCUCCUUUGUUUUGCCCUUGGUUUCUUUAGGUAGCCUUUCCUUGGCCUCCAUGACUUCCAUCCUUUUCAGAUCAACAUGUACUUCUCCAUAGACUUGAGGGAGAUUGUUCUCCCCUACAGAUUCCUGAGAUGACAUCUUGCUCUAAAUCUGUGGUAGAAAACAAGCUCGAAAUGAAAACAGAGGGAAUUUACGUGAUACAGAGGUCGAACAUUUCGGGAGAAUAUAUAAUGAUUUUUUUCCAGACCAGAGGGAGUACUCCGCACGAAAACGGAGUCCGGGAGGCACACGAGGUGGCCACAAGCCCUCUAGGACCGGCGAGGGGGUAGGUCGGGCCUAGGAGGCUUGUCGCCUCCUCGUGCACUUUCCGGACUGCUUUAAAAUUUUCUAUUUUUUCGAAAAUUCCAAAACGAAGGAAAACUGCUAAGGGAAAAGUUUUGGAGUCGUUUACUUACCGAAUCACAUACCUCCUCGUUUUCAGAGUCUCAAACAGGCUGAUAAAUAUCCCUUAUGUACUCCUCCGGAGUUAUGGUAUUGAUAAUGUUGCUCUCAACAUUUAUGGGAGUACCUGAGAUGUAAUGCUUGAUUCUCUGCCCAUUUACCACUCUCGGACAAUUACCUUCCGUGUUUUUGAUUUUGAUAGCACCGGAACAAUAUACUUCCUCAACAAUAUAGGGACCUUCCCAUUUAGAGAGAAGCUUGCGUGCAAAAAAUCUUAAACGAGAAUUGUAUAGCAAGACAUAAUCACCUACAUUGAACUCACGCUUUUGUAUCCUCUUAUCAUGCCACCUCUUAACUUUUUCUUUGAAUAACUUGGCAUUUUCAUAUGCCUGAGUUCUCCAUUCAUCAAGCGAGCUAAUGUCAAAUAACCUCUUCUCACCAGCAAGUUUGAAAUCAAAGUUGAGCUCUUUGAUUGCCCAAUAGGCUUUAUGCUCUAGCUGAAGAGGUAGAUGACAUGCUUUACCGUACACCAUUUUGUAUGGAGACAUGCCCAUGGGAUUCUUAUAGGCAGUUCUAUAAGCCCACAGUGCAUCAUCGAGCUUCUUAGACCAAUUCUUUCUAGACCUGUUGACAGUCUUUGCAGAAUCAGUUUAAUCUCUCUAUUGCUUAGCUCUACUUGACCACUGGACUGAGGGUGAUAGGGAGACGCAAUUCUAUGGUUGACAUCAUACUUAGCAAGCGUCUUACCGAAAGCACCAUGAAUGAAAUGUGAACCACCAUCGGUCAUUAGAUAUAUAGGGACUCCAAAUCUGGGGAAGAUAACUUCUUUAAGCAUCCUGAUAGAGGUGUUGUGAUCAUCACUACUAGUGGGGAUUGCUUCCACCCACUUAGUGACAUAAUCAACAACAACUAGGAUAUAAGUAUACCCGUUGGAUUUUGGAAAAGGUCCCAUAUAAUCAAAGCCCCAAACAUCAAAUGGUUCAAUGAGAAGUGAAUAGUUCAUAGGCAUUUCCUGACGUUUACCGAUAUUACCUAUUCUUUGACAUUCGUCGCAAGACAAGAGAAACUUACGGGCAUCCUUGAACAGAGUGGGCUGAUACGUCUCCGUCGUAUCUACUUUUCCGAACUCUUUUGCCCUUGUUUUGUACUUUAAUUUGCAUGAUUUGAAUGGAACUAACCCGGACUAACGCUGUUUUCAGCAGAAUUGCCAUGGUGUUGUUUUUGUGCAGAAAUAGAAGUUCUCGGAAUGUCCUGAAAAUUUACGGAGAAUUUUUCUAGAAUUAAUGAAAAAUACCUGUGCAAAGAUCCACCAGAGGGUGUGAACCAGUGGGCCACAAGCCCACUGGCCGCGGCCACCGCCCAGGCCGCACCAACCAGGCUUGUGGAGCCCACAGAGCUGCACCGCCUCCAAACUCAGCUCUAUAUAUUGCGUUUCGCCCGGAAAAAAAUUAGAGAGAAGGAGUCAUCGCGUUUUACGAUACGGAGGCGCGGCCACCUCCUGUUCUUCAUGUGGAGGGCAGAUCUGGAGUCCGUUCUAGGCUCCGGAGAGGGGAAAUCGUCGCCAUCAUCAUCAUCAACCUUCCUCCAUCGACAAUUCCAUGAUGCUAUUCACCGUUCGUGAGUAAUCUCAUCGUAGGCUUGCUGAACGGUGAUGAGUUGGAUGGGAUCUAUCAUGUAAUCGAGUUAGUUUUGACGGGGAUUGAUCCGUGGUAUCCACUAUGUUCUGAGAUUGAUGUUGCUACUACUUUGCCAUGCUUAAUGCUUGUCACUAGGGCCCGAGUGCCAUGAUUUCAGAUCUGAACCUAUUAUGUUGUCGCCAAUAUAUGUGUGUUUUAGAUCCUACCUUGCAAGUUGUAGUCACCUACUAUGUGUUAUGACCCGGCAACCCCGGAGUGACAAUAGCCGGAACCACUCCCGGAGAUGACCAUAGUAUGAGGAGUUCGUGUAUUCACCACGUCUUAAUGCGUUAGUCUGGUUCUUUAUUAAAAGGAGAACCUUAAUAUCCCUUAGUUUCCAUUAGGACCCCGUUGCCACGGGAGGGAUGGACAAUAGAUGUCAUGCAAGUUCUUUUCCCUAAGCACGUAUGACUACAUACGGAAUACAUGCCUACAUUAGAUUGACGAACGGGAGCUAGUUACAUAUCUCUUUGUGUUAUAGCUUUUACAUGAUGAAUCACAUCCGACAUACUCAUCCAUAACCGAUCCAAUGCCUACGAGUCUUUUACUACUGGUCCUUGCUACGUUACUUUGCCGCUACUGCUACCACUGCUGUUACUGUUGCUCUGUUGCUACUGCCGUUACUUGCUGCUGCUGUCACUACUGCUGUUACUUGCUCUACUACUUGCUAUUGCUGUCACUACUGCCGUUCCUUGCUACAGCUGUCACUACUGCUGUUACUUGCUACUUUGUUGUUACUCGCUGCAACACUUUAGUGGCACCAUUUAUACAACAAGUUAGGAAUAGUCUGCCGUCAACAGACCUUUUUCUGGCACCGUUGCUAUCAUACUACUUUGCUACUGAUACUUUGCUUGCAUACACUAAUCUUUGAGGUGUGGUUGAAUUGACAACUCAGCUGCUAAUACUUGAGAAUAUUCUUUUGCUUCCCCUUGUGUCGAAUCAAUAAAUUUGGGUUGAAUACUCUACCCUCGAAAACUGUUGCAAUCCCCUAUACUUGUGGGUCAUGAUGGGCCAAUAGAAACCUGAUUGCAAUACCUUGUGUGCAGUUCUAUCUCCCGCAUGGUGUCCUCCGUAGGCCUCGGGGUGACACUUCUGUAGGAUCUAUCCCUGUUCAUGUUCAGGUACACAACAUCUAAUAACACCAUCUACUCCUUCCUUAUAAAGGUGAGGAUCAUCCCAAAAGUAAUGUCUCAAGUCAAAGAAGAAUUUCUUCUUUUGCUGGUACGUGAAAGUAGGUGGUAUAUAUUUGGCAACAAUAUAGUUUGUAUAAUCAGCAUACCACGGUGCACUACGUGAAGCAUUGAUGACAUUCAAUUGCUCACUGUGAAAGCUAUCAUCAAUAGGUUGUGGGUCAUCAAGAACGUUCUCCAACCUAGACAAGUUAUCUGCUACGGGGUUAUCAGCACCCUUCUUGUCGACAACAUGCAAAUCAAACUCUUGUAGCAAGAGAACCCAUCUGAUAAGUCUAGGUUUAGCGUCCUUCUUCUCCAUGAGGUACUUAAUAGCAGCAUGAUCAGUGUGAAUAGUGACUUUGGAAUGAACUAUGUAAGACCUGAACUUUUCACAUGCAAACACGACUGCUAAAAAUUCAUUUUCCGUAGUAGCAUAGUUUCUUUGGGCACUGUCUAGAAUUUUACUAGCAUAGUGAAUAACGUUCAACUUCUUAUCAACUCUUUGCCCUAGGACAACACCAACAACAUAAUCACUAGCAUCACACAUAAUUUCAAAAGGUAAGUUCCAAUCAGGUGGUUGAACAAUAGGUGCAGUUAUCAAAGCCCUCUUAAGUAUUUCGAAGGCUUCCUCACAAUCAUCGUCAAAAACAAAAGGAAUAUCCUUUUGCAAGAGAUUGGUAAGAGGCCUAGAAAUCUUAGAGAAGUCUUUAAUGAACCUUCUAUAGAAACCAGCAUGACCAAGGAAACUUCUUAUACCUUUGAUAUCUGUGGGGUAUGGCAUUUUCUCCAUUGCAUCAACCUUGGCCUUAUCGACUUCAAUACCUUUUUCAAAAAAAUUAUGUCCUAAGACGAUGCCUUCAUUGACCAUAAAGUGGCACUUCUCCCAAUUCAAGACAAGAUUGGUGUCUUUACAUCUCUACAAGACUCGAUCAAGGUUGAUGAGGCAAUCAUCAAAAGAAGACCCAUAAACGGAGAAGUCAUCCAUGAAAACCUCAACAAUCUUUUCACAAAAGUCAGAAUAUAGCCAUCAUACAUCUUUGAAAGAUGGCAGGUGCAUUACAUAAGCCAAAAGGCAUACGUCUAUAAGCAAAGGUACCAAAAGGGCAGGUGAAAGUGGUUUUCUCCUGAUCAGAUCGUGCAACUGGUAUUUGGGAGAAACCAGAGUAACCGUCUAGAAAGUAGAAGUGUGUGUGUUUAGACAGUCUUUCUAGCAUUUGGUCAAUAAAAGGUAAAGGGCAAUGAUCUUUCCUAGUGGCUUUAUGCAAUUUCCUAAAAUCGAUCACCAUCCUGUAGCCAGUAAUAAUCUUCUGCGGGAUCAAUUCAUCCUUAUCAUUAGGGACAACGGUAAUGCCUCCCUUCUUAGGGACGCAAUGCACCGGACUCACCCAACCGCUAUGAGCAACAGGAUAAAUAAUACCUGCCUCCAGGAGCUUUAGUAUUUCUUUUCUGACUACUUCUUUCUUCUUAGGAUUCAAUCUCCUUUGAUGAUCAACAACUGGUUUGGAAUCAGGAUGAGUUUUAAUCUUGUAAUGGCAUAGAGUGGGACUAAUGCCCUUAAGAUCAUCAAGAGUAUAUCCAAUAGCAGCACGGUGCUUCCUCAGAGUUUUUAGUAACUUCUUUUCUUCAUCCUCUGAGAGGCUAGCACUAAUAAUAACAGGAUAUUUCUCUUUUUCAACAAGAUAAGCAUACUUAAGAGUAUGAGACAUCUGUUUAAGCUCGAACACAGGAUCACCCUUUGGUGGGGGUGGAUCCCCAAGGAGUUCAAUAGGCAGAUUGUUCUUAAGGAUAGGAUAUUGUUCUAAGACAACUCUAUCUAUCUCAUCCCUUUCAUCCAUAUGCAUAUCAUUUUCAUGCUCAAGCAUGUAUUGCUCUAAGGGAUCGGUAGGAGGUACGACAAUAGAAGCUAAGCUAAUAGUUUCAUCCUUACUAGGCAACUCCUUUUCAUGAGGUUGUCUACCAAACUUGGAAAAAUUGAACUCAUGUGACACACCUUCAAAGCCAAAAGCGACAGUUUGCUUCUCACAAUCAGUAUGAGCAUUGACGGUAUUGAGGAAAGGUCUGCCAAAUAUGAUGGGACAAAAGCUAUCCUGGGUGGUAGCAAGAAUGAGGAAAUCAGCAGGAUACUUCGUUUUACCACAAAAAACUUCAACAUCCCUAACAAUUCCCACAUGGCAGAUAGUAUCUCUAUUGGCAAGAUGAAUAGUGACAUCAAUAGGCUCUAUCUCAAAGGUGCAAUCUCAUCUUUGAUUUCAUCAUAUUAGGAUUGAGGUAUUGCACUAACACUAGCACCCACGUCACAUAAACCAUGAUAGCAAUGAUCUCCUAUCUUAACAGAAACAACAUGCAUGCCAACAACAGGCCUAUGUUUGUCUCUAGCGUGAGGUUUAGCAAUUCUAGCAGCAUCUUCUCAGAAGUGAAUACUAUGUCCCUCAACAUCGUCGGGCAGAAGAUCUUUGAUAAAAGUAAUGCUAGGUUCAACUCUAAUUUUCUCAGGGGGUGUAGGUGUUCUAAUGUAGCCUCUACGUAUCACAGUUGAAGCUUUAGAAUGAUCCUGCAUCCUAACAGGGAAAGGUGGUUUCUCAAUGUAAGCACUGGGAAUAACAGGAUCAUUAUAGGAAAUGACUCUCUCUUCAACUGGAUUGGGUUUAACUACAUUGACUUCUAAAGGAGGAUGAUAUUUAAACCACUUCUCUUUGGGGAGAUCUACAUGAGCAGAAAAUGAUUCACACAAUGACGCUACUAUCUCAGAGUCAAGUCCAUACUUAGCGCUAAAGUCACAAAAAGUAUUUGUUUCAACAAAGGAUUAAACACAAUCAAACUGGAAAUUCAUACCUGACUCCUUACCUUCUUCAAGCUCCCAAUCUUCAGAGUUGCAUUUAAUUCUCUCCAAUAAAUUCCAUUUGAAGUCAAUAUCUCUCUUCAUAAAAGAACCGGUACAAGAAGUGUCAAGCAUGGUGCGAUCAUCCUGAGAAAGCCGAGCAUAGAAGUUCUGAAUGAUAAUUUCUCUCGAGAGAUCAUGGUUGGGGCAUGAAUAUAAAAUUGAUUUAAGCGUCCCCCAAGCUUGAGCGAUGCUUUCUCUGUCACGAGGCCAAAAAUUAUAAAUAUAAUUCCGAUCACGAUGUACUAAAUGCAUAGGAUAAAACUUUUGAUGAAAUUCCAAUUUCAAUCGAUUGUAGUCCCAUGAUCCAGUAUCAUCACAUAGCCUAUACCAUGUCAACGCCUUAUCCUUCAAAGAUAAAGGAAAGACCUUCUUAUUGACCUCAUCCUCGGGAAAACCUGCAAGCUUAAAUAAACCACAAACUUCAUCUACAUAUAUUAGAUGCAAGUCUGGAUGUGAUGUUCCAUCUCCUGUAAAAGGAUUAGCCAGCAGUUUCUCAAGCAUACUCGAAGGAAAUUCAAAGCAAAUAUUUUCAGUAGGUGAAGCAGGUUGAGGAGCAACUCUUUGUUCUUCCGUUUGAGGUGAAGAUACCCCGAACAAGCCCCUCAAAGAAUUAGUUUCCAUAGUGACAAGUGACAAUAAAUUUCAGCACACUAUAUGAAUGUUUCCUUAUCAAGUUCCACUUACCAAAGGCGCUUCACUCCCCGGCAACGGCUCCAGAAAAGAGUCUUGAUGACCCACAAGUACAGGGGAUCAAUCGUAGUCCUUUCGAUAAGUAAGAGUGUCGAACCCAACAAGGAGCAAAAGGAUCUGACAAGUGGUUUUCAGCAAGGUAAUAUCUGCAAGCACUGAAAUUAUCGGUAACAUGUGAUUGUAUGGUGAGGUGAUUCGUAGCAAGCAACAAGUAAAAAAAGUAGCAAUGGUGCAGCAAAGUGGCCCAAUCCCUUUUGUAGCAAGGGACAAGGCUGGACAAAGUCUUAUAGGAGGAAAAAUGCUCCGGAGGACACACGGGAAUUUCUGUCAUGCUACUUUUCAUCAUGUUCAUAUGAUUCGCGUUCGUUACUUUGAUAGUUGGAUAUGUGGGUGGACCGGCGCUUGGGUAUUGCCCUUAAUUGGACAACCAUCCCACUUAUGAUUAACCCCUCUCGCAAGCAUCCGCAACUACGAAAGAAGAAUUAAGACAAAGUCUAACCAUAACAUUAAACUAGUGGAUCCAAAUCAGCCCCUUACGAAGCAACGCAUAAACUAGGGUUUAAGCUUCUGUUACUCUAGCAACCCAUCAUCUACUUACUACUUCCCAAUGCCUUUCUCUAGGCCCAAAUAAUGGUGAAGUGUCAUGUAGUCGACGUUCACAUAACACCACUAGAGGAAAAACAACAUACAACACAUCAAAACAUCGAACGAAUACCAGAUUCACAUGACUACUAUUAGCAUGACUUAUCCCAUGUCCUCAAGAACAAAAGUAACUAGUCACAAAGCAUAAUCAUAUUCAUGACCAGAGAGGUAAUUUUGUCUGGACGAAACCCUUCAUAUAGCAAAAGAUGAGCGCCGGAGGGGCAACAGGGGGCCCACAAGCCCCCAGGCCCGACCAGGGGGGUAGGCUGGGCCUGGCAGGCUUGUGGCCUCCAGGUGGCGCCCCUCUGGUACUUCUUCCGCCCAGUAUUUUUUAUAUAUUCCCAAAAAAUUCCACGUUGAUUUUCACGGCUUUUGGAGUUGCGCAGAAUAGGCAUCUCAAACUUGCUCCUUUUUCUGGCCAGAAUUCCAGCUGCCGGCAUUCUCCCUCUUCAUGUAAACCUUGCAAAAUAAGAGAGGAAAGGCAUAAGUAUUGUACCUUGGAGUGAAAUAACAUCCCAAAAAGCGAUAAAUAUCAACAUGAAAGCAUGAUGCAAAAUGGACGUAUCAGGUAGCACUCUCGAGCUUCUUGCCUAGUUGUUGUGCUCCUUGUAACUUCAGCACACAAGUAAUCCACAAGACAUAGGACAUAGGGUUUUACGCCUCCGAGCGGCCCGAACCUAUCUAAACCCAGGGCAUGAUUUGGUUGGUGUUGCUCUUUACACAUGUAGAUCCCCAUAGCUUAACUGGAAAGGGGCCUUGACGGUCCCAUAGAUUGCCAUACCUUCACAUCUUUGGUGCGCCAGGCAGGGGAUUGAAUGUAUGAAUCUUCACUAUCUUCUACACGUCUUCAUCAUCUUCUUCACCGACACCCAUGGCGCCCAAGAAGGACAAGGACACGUCGACAUUUGCCCUAUCUAUGUUCAAGAUGCCAUUGCACGUGGCGCUGGGCAACACCAACGGAGGCGAACACCAUACUCACCGUACCGUUGAGUGCAACAACAACACUACGCGGAGAUCCAUGAGCCGUGACCCGGACCCAUCCGUCAUGGCGUCCAAGGAUGCGCUGGAGACAUAUGAUAACCCACAAGUAUAGGGGAUCACAAUAGUUUUCGAGGGUAGAGUAUUCAACCCAAAUUUAUUGAUUCGACACAAGGGGAGCCAAAGAAUAUUCUUGAGUAUUAGCAGCUGAGUUGUUAAUUCAACCACACCUGAAAGAUUUUAAAUCUGCAGCAAAGUAUUUAGUAGCAAAGUAGUAUGAAAGUAAAGGUAACAGUGGCAAACGUGACAACAACAGUUUUGUAGUGAUUGUAACAAUAGCAACGGAAAAAUAACUGAGGAAAGAACAAUAUGUGGAAAGCUCAUAGGCAAUGGAUCAGUGAUGGAUAAUUAUGUCGGCUGGCAUUCAUCAUGCAACAGUCAUAACAUAGGGUGAUACAGAACUAGAUCCAAUUCAUCAAUGUAAUGUAGGCAUGUAUUCCAUAUAUAGUCAUAUGUGCUUAUGGAAAAGAACUUGCAUGACAUCUUUUGUCCUACCCUCCCGUUGCAGCGGGGUCCUAAUGGAAACUAAGGGAUAUUAAGGCCUCCUUUUAAUAGAGAAUGGACCAAAGCAUUAACACUUAGUGAAUACAUGAACUCUCAAACUACGGUAAUCACCGGAAAGAAUCCCAGUUAUUGUCACCCUCGGGGAUGCAGAUCAUAACUCGUAAUAGGUGUCUACAACUUGCAAGAUAGGAUCAAGAACACAUAUAUAAUCAUGAAAACUUAAUAGGUUCAGAUCUGAAAUCAUGGCACUCGGGCCCUACUGACAAACAUUAAACAUAGCAAAGUCAUAGCAAUAUAAUUCUCAGAACAUAAUGGAUACUAGGGAUCAAACCCUAACAAAACUUACUCGAUUACAUUAUAGAUCUCAUCCAACCCAUCAUCGUCCAGCGAGCCUAUGAUGGAAUUACUCACGAAUGAUGGAGAGCAUCAUGAAAUUAGUGAUGAAGGAUGGUUGGUGAUGACGAUGACGUCGAUUUCCCCUCUCCGGAUCCCAAAUCAGACUUGAGAUCUGCCCUCCCGAGGAAGAGCAGGAGCUGGCGGCGGCUCCGUAUCGUAUAAUGCGAUGAACACUUGUUCUUAAUUUUUCUCCCCGGAUAGGAAUAUAUAUAAGUGGAAACGAGGUCGGUGGAGCCUCAGGGACCCCACAAGCCAGGUGGCGCAGCCUGGGGGGCGCCCUACAGGCUUGUGGCCAGGGGGUGGCCCGUCUCAGGUAGAUUCUUUCUCUAGUAUUUUUAUUAAUUCUAGAAACGUUCUCCGCAAAUUUUUAGGUUAAUCGAAGAACUUUUAUUUCUGCACCAAAAUAACACCAAGGCAAUUCUGCUGAAAAGAACGUCAGUCCGGGUUAGUUCCAUUCAAGUCAUGUAAAUUAUAGUACAAAACAAGGGCAAAAGAGUUUGAAAAAGUAGAUAUGUUGGAGACGUAUCAACUCCCCCAAGCUUAAACCUUUGCUUGUGCUCAAACAAUUCAGUUGAUAAACUGAAAGUGAUAAAGAAAAACUUUUAGAAACUCUGUUUGAUCUUGUUGUUGUAAAUAUGUCUAACUUAUGUUCAAAUUUUCAGCUCACAUUAUAGACUAACCACAUUCACAAUAAUAUUUUGGUCUCAUGUUUACUUAUAUAAGUGGCAUAAUCAACUAGAAAGAAAUAACAAUAAGUCUCGGAUGACAACAAUUUAAUCAAAACAAUCAUAAUACAAUAUGAUAAACUAGUAUCUCGCUAGCCCUUUCCGAGACCGCAAAACAUAAAUGUAGAGCACCUCCGAAGAACAAGGACUGACUAGACAUUGCAAUUGAUGGUAAAAGAGAUCCAAUCAUACUCAUACUCAAUAUCAAUUAAUAACAAAGCAUACAAAUGACGGGGGUGCUCUCUAACUGGUGCUUUUUUAUAAGAAGACAAUGACUCAACAGUAAAGUAAAAUAGAUAGGCCCUUCACACAGGGAAGCAUUGAUUUGCAGGGGUGCCAGAGCUCGAGCUUUUAAAACUGGGAUGAAUCAAAAUUUUGGGUGGUAUGCUUUCAUCGUCAACAUAACAACUAUGAGAUCUCAAUAUCUUCCAUGCUAAAUACAUUAUAGGCGGUUCCCAAACAGAAUAGUAAAGUUUUUACUCCCCCUCCACCAAUCGAUCACCUUCCACAGCGGGCCGAAUCCGCGGGUUCCGUCUGUUGGGGAAGGUUGCAUGGGAAACAAAAAAUUUCCUACGCACACGAAGACCUAUCAUGGUGAUGAUCAUAUACGAGAGGGAGAUCGGAUCCACAUACCCUUGUAGAUCGCUAAGCGGAAGCGUUAAUAAACACGGUUGAUGUAGUGGUACGUCUUCAUGAUCCGUCCCAUGAACCGUCCCACGAUCUGUCCCAUGAACCGUCUCACGAUCCGUCCCGAUCAAGUGCCGAACGGACGACACCUCUGUGUUCCGCACACGUACAACUCGAUGACGAUCUCCACCUUCUUGAUCCAGCAAGAGAGACGGGGAUGUAGAUGAGUUCCCCGGCAGUGUGAAGGCGCGUCGGUGGUGGUGGUGAUCUAUUCCUGCAGGGUUUCGCCUAAGCAUCGCAGAAAUAUGAUCUAGAGGAAGAACUACGAAGUAGAGAUUUAGGGUUGCACGUGUCAAAGUUGUGUCUCAAAAAUCCCUAAACCUCUAGUAUAUAUAGGAGGAGAGAGGGAGGAGGCUUGGCCUCCAAGGGAAGCCCCUAGGGCUUCUGCUGAACUAAGGAGGAGGAUUCCACCAAGGGCUAGUCUACCUCCUCUCACAGCCCAUGAACCCUUUUGGGUGGUCACACCCCUCCCGGUGGUUCCGGUACCCUCCCAACACUCCCGGUACACUACCGAUGAACCCGAAACUUUUCCGAUGACCAAAACAGGACUUCCUAUAUAUUAAUCUUCGUUUCCGAACCAUUCCGGAAACCCUCAUGACGUCCGGGAUCUCAUUCGGGACUCCGAACAACCUUCAGUCACCAACACAUAUAACUCAACUGUCGUGGUUUUAUCACGGCAGAUGUCCUCGUGAAAGGACUUAAAGAUGGAGCUAUCGCACCUUGGUGGCGACUCGAAGGGGGUGAGCGAAAGCAAGACUCAGAUUUACCCAGGUUCGACCCCUCGUGAGGAGGUAAAAGCCUACGUCCUUCUUUGUGUGGAUUGAUCAUGGUUUUGAUUACAAGGAGGGCGUAAAUCGCCUGACCUAGCUCAAGAUUCUCUCUAACUCGCGUGACCUUUCCCCGGGACUCACCUUUAUAUAUAGGUCGAGGCCCUAGGGUUUUACAAAAGUCCUUCCAUGCUACUCUUCGUAGAUUUCCCUAUCUCUGAGUUACCGUGCCCUCCAAGAUUGGGAACUCCCUUGGUUAUCUAUCAUCUACAUAACCUCUCGAACCGCCAUAUAGCUUCUGGGCCACGAGACACGCUUCGAAUGGUAAGUCGCCCAUUUGAUGACCCGGCUCACUAAGGGCGGGUUAUUCGCACGUAAUAUCCCCAACAUUAGCCCCCCAGAUUGUCUUCAAUUCAUUCAUGUCAAUAAACCUUCACCCAUUUGGGGCGACUCAUACCAUCUCUGUCUUUCGACGCACGAUAAGUCACCACUCGUUGUAAUUUAUCUAACCCACCGUGUAAUCUUUGAUGACAUCACCUUAUCUCCUUAAUUCCGGGGUUUUUAAUGCCACAACCACCCAAUGGAUCUUUAGUUCCAUAUUCACUUAUCCCGAAAACCUAGGCGCCAUCAUUACAGAUUCUGACUUGUCGCCUCGAUCUCCGCCCUGACCGCCUCGAUUCCCGUUCUGGCCGCCUCGAUUCCCGUUCCGGCCCUUUAAAUAACCGCAGGAGAAAUGGGGGGGGAGCUCCGUCACCUACCCCCAUCUUUGGCUUCGUCUGCCUCACACACUUCCCCUUCGUGCACCAGCACCUCGGCGUCGUCACCGGCUCUGAAGCUCCUUCGUCAACCGUGCUCUUCCGGGGGCCUUCAAGUCGACAAGAGGCACGAAGUCCUCUGCUUCCGUCCCCGGCGCUAUUCUCCUUCCCUCAGGCACACGCAUUCCCUCAUUAGGGUUAAACCAAGAACGCCAUGGCCAUUGUCCCAGCGAGCUAGCUUCAUGACGCGACAAACGUCCCUUCCUGCUUCAGAUCCGCCUUAUAUCUUUAUAGUAGAUUCCGACAGUAGCAAUCCAUGGUCGCUUUAUGGCGUCCUUUCACUACCUUAAGCUCUCACACUGUAGAUCCAGGCGAUAGUACUGUGGCUGCCUUAUAUUUAUAGCCUUCAUCAUUUUACCGAGCAUUAUUCCAUUAUUUUGGUCCACCGUAGAUCCAUAAUUUACUGCUUGUUUUUAGAAACAUGUUUGUUUGUCCCCGUGAAUAUCCCUAAGGAAAAAGGACCCUUGAGAGUCGCCGUUUAGCUCCUGCUUCCCUGGCGACUUAAACCUAUCAUCAUAGCUACGCCCCCUUCUUUUCCGGUUGAAGGGCGAGUUACAAUACUUUAAAGAUAUUUCCAUGAACCGCCCAACUAGCGAGUUAUGCCAUAUGCCACCAGUUGGCGAGUCAUCAAAUCCUUCUCGAACAUACUGUAGACCCAUACUGGCGAGUUAGAACACUUCAUAGUCUUCACUGAACCGUCUUGUUCCCCGUUCUUUUGUAGUCAUGGCUAUUUCGAAGUGCAAUUGGUUACCAACCAAAAUCGAUGAUGCUACUCUCGAGAAAUUUGUCAAGUUGGGUCAUCUGAACAAUAAGGAAGCCAUUGUUUAGAGAAUCGCCCCAGGCGAGUUGAUUCCCAAUCCUGUCGUAGGAGAAGUAGUCAUUUUCACCGACUACCUUGAACGAGGUUUUAAACCGCCCGGGUCAAAGUUUUUUCGAGAUGUCUUGCAUUUUCUUAACGUCCAUCCUCCAGACUUGGGACCCAACUCCAUCAGCAACCUUUGCCAGUUCCAAGUGUUUUGUGAGGUAUACUUACAAAGAGAGCGCACAGUUCCUUUAUUUUGGAACUUCUUCCAUCUGAAACGCCAGACUGAGUUUACCAACGGCCCCAAUCAUGAGCUUGGAGGAGUCAACAUUCAAAGACGCCACAAGCAUGGAUUUCCAUCAGUUCUUGUGCCCAGCCAUCCCAAAGGCUGGGCCGAGUCAUGGUUUUAUUGUCGAGACACCUCUCCACCUGGUGAGAACCCACUUCCGGGUUUCAGAGAGGAUCACCUGCCCAUGGACUUCAAACUUCCCGCGAAACUCACAGAAGAGGAAGAGUCUGAAUUUAUCCCCAUAUUCUCCAAGUUACGAUCUUUGACAAAUAACGGGCUCAUUGGGAUUGAUCUGUUCUGCUGCUGGGUGGAGUGGAAUAUUCUUCCCUUGAGUCGCCGACACGGGUUAAUGUAUGAAUAUGAUGGCACGGUAAACCAUCCGCAAUGCUUCCACCAUAAAAGACUUACAGAGAGUGAUAUUUUUGGAAUAAUCAAGAAGCUAACUGGUGAGUCUUUGGAAGAAUGUGCUAAGAUUGGGCUCAAGGCCUUCUGCCGCUCCAACCCGGUUCCGCUAGUAAGAGUCCAAGACGCCUUUCAUUUCUUUAUAAAUAUACUUACCAAUGAUUUUGGUUUGAAUUUUACUUCUGUUCAUCAGAAAAGUGAUCCAUUUUGGCGAAUGGGUCCAAAAGUGACCGCCCAAAAGAACACCAAGCCACCGCCAAAGAAGAAAAAAAACAAGCAAAGGUAAAGCUGCCGCCAAAGAUUCAUCUGUUGUCGGCGAGUCACGAGCUGUCGAAGAGCAGUCAGAGGUAAAACUUCCCCCUCACUCAUCACCUGUGUAUUCGGACUCAUGCUCAUACCAUGCGUCUUUAUGUGUAGGGCGAGGACAAUGAGAGCCAAGACGAUGCGGUCGAGGUAAUUUCUAUUUCUUCCGACUCACCUUCCCCUUCUCCUAGACCAGCCAGACGGAUCUGUGGGAAAGUGCCCAAGUCUCACCCAUAUGCUUAUAUGGACCCUGAUUUCCUUUUGAAGAAAGUAAGAUAUAUUCCCAAGCGCAAAACCCGUAGUCACUCUCGCGACUUAUUUUCCAGGCUGCCUGAGAAGACAACCGGUCGGAAGUGCACCAGCGAGGUACACUUUUGUUUUACCAUACUCUUCCUUGUGGUAAAUACGAUUCACAACUUCCUUAGCUUUUAAGCUUUUAUUCUACCAGACUUCUCCCCCUUCAUCUGGCGACUCAGCAAUGUCAGCUCUCCCACCGAUGAUUCAUGUGCAAGGGUGAGUCCCUUUGUUAACUCAAUUUCUUCUACAUAACGAUAUGUGCUUUAAUCUUGGUGCCUUUGUCUCAGAGCACAAGCGAACAAAAGGAAAACUGGAGACUUAUCUUCUGCUCCUAAGACAACUGAAGCCUUAGGCACGAGCGCCUCUGUCCCAGAGAUUGAUGAGGAGCAAGCUGCGGCUCACGACAUUCCUGUGUAUGAUAUUCCUGAUGUCCGGGAUGACUGGCCCGUAAUUUUGAAGGAACCUGUUGACAAGGUUAACCCGCCAAGCCCUCUCAAGGCGACUGAAGAUCCAGAUGCCGUCAUGAUCACCGGUACUGGCUACUCCCCACCUUCAGCCGCGAUACUAUCCAAGCAUACCUCAAAGGAAUCUCAUCCUUCCACUGAUCAAGACACUAGUAAGUUCAAGCUUCCCCAGUAUGAGACACUGGAAUUUGACCAACUUUGCUCUGGCUUUGCAAGUCGCCUAGAGACGAGUUAUGAGAUGAACAAAAGCUUGAUUCACCUUUUGAAGGUUAAGUAUGAGGUACGUCUAUUUAUGUAUUCUCUUCCACCCAUUAGCCUUCCAAGGGCUGGGUCAUCUUUUGAAAGAUGAGCCGGGUCUUGAAUAUAGUUAAAAUCUUCAACCUGUAGCCCCCAAGGGCCGGGUCAUCUUUUGAAGUAUAUAGUUAAAAUCUUCAACCUGUAGACCCCAAGGGUCGGGUCAUCUUUUGAAAGAUGAGCCGGGUCUUGAAUAUAGUUAAAAUUUUCAACCUGUAGCCCCCAAGGACCGGGUCAUAUUUUGAAAGAUGAGCCGGGUCUUGAAUGUAGUUAAAAUCUUCAACCUGUAGCCCCCAAGGGCCGGGUCAUCUUUUGAAAGAUGAGCUGGGUCUUGAAUAUAGUUAAAAUCUUCAACCUGUAGCCCCCAAGGGUCAGGUCAUCUUUUGAAAGAUGAGCCGGGUCUUGAAUAUAGUUAAAAUCUUCAACCUGUAGCCCCCAAGGGCCGGGUCAUCUUUUGAAAGAUGAGCCGGGUCUUGAAUAUAGUUAAAAUCUUCAACCUGUAGCCCCCAAGGGCCAGGUCAUCUUUUGAAAGAUGAGCCGGGUCUUGAAUAUAUUUAAAAUCUUCAACGUGUAGCCUCCAAGGGCCGGGUCAUCUUUUGAAAGAUGAGUCGGGUCUUGAAAUAUUGUAUGGCUUUGAAUAAAAUCAUACAUUGGCCCCCAAGUGUCAGGAGUAUUGCUUGCAAUAAUUUUGAAACUUGUCUCCUUAAAUUUUAUUUGCAGGAGUCUGUGACCCAGACUGAGUCAACUUUAGCCGAUUUAAGGAAGAAUCUGGAUGAACAACAAGAUGCACGAUCUGAGUCAGAAAGGAAAUACCACUUGAUUCUAGCUGAACUGGAGAGGAUGAAGGCUGAUCAUCAAAAACUAGAGAAGAAAGCCAAAGCUGACCAAGCUGCCAUCCUUAAGCGUGAUGAGCAAGCCGAGGAAAAAUUGGAAGCCGCCCAACAAGAGCUUUCCGUCUUGAAAAAACACAUCUCCAACAUGACUGUAGCUAAGUUUGGUAAGCAUUAACCCUUGCUUUUUGAAGAAAUAAUCUGGUCUCCCAAAACUAUCAAAUACUGAUGUGUCCUUUGUAGGUUCACGAGCCACCAAUCUCCCAGACGACUGCAUGCUGAAGCUAAAGGCUAUAUAUACCUUCACCGAGAAGCUAUAUACCGGGGGCAUGCUGACAAUUAAGGCGGUGAUGGGAAGCAAGGAGCUAGUCAAACCCAUCAACACCAUGCUCAGCUAUCUGUCCACAUUGCCUCCUAAAAUAGAGGAACUGAAAAGAUCAGCCGCCCAGAAAGGAGUCCUGAACACCCUGAGUCGGUGUUUAGCCUAUGCUCCGGAGCUCAAACCAGAAGAAAUAGCCGCUGGCUACCCUGAGCUGAAGGACGACGGGUCAUAUUUCAUCGAGGAGGACUACCACCGAGUUAUCAAAGAAUCCCGCAUCUUGGCGACUCAACUGGCAGCCAACUUGGAUUUGAAUAAAUUCCAAGCCGCAUAUGACAAAAAGAACAAGAAGGUGACGUCUCCCUCGUACGAAAUUGCUAGCUUCGUUCCUCAUCGGCCCAAGAAUCCUUUUGACCUUGACAUGGACCUAUGCCUCUUCCUUGAUGAUGAAGAUGAGUUCGUCGCCCUAUCCAGGUGUAACUGGAAACUGGGCGACUUACAAAUCGAAGUCGGAGAGAGCUCAAGGCAAGGUGACUCGGAGGCGGCUUCAGUCUUCCCAAGGUGUGAGUGUGACCUUAAAAAGACAAUCUGAUCAUUUCUUCACUUGGGGAUGAUGCCCGUCUUGGCCAUGUGAGCCAUGUAAUAGCUUGUUAGAUUUUGUGGAACAACAAUUGGUCAGUAGUGCCUUUUGAUGUGACCUUUCCUGAGCCACUUUAUUCCUUGAGUCUAUGCGUGAAUCGCCCGUAACUUUGAUGAACAAGGGAGUGUCAUAGUUUGACAAAAAAAAAGUCUUCACCAUAUGUGUCAGGAAAAAACAUAAGCCGACUCAGUGAGUUUACGGCAAAGAAUAGACCAGCCCCCUGGGUUAUGGCAAAAAAUAAAUCAGCCCCCUGGGUUAUGGCAAAUAGUAGUUAAAAACAAUGAGCCGGGGCGAGUUAUAACGAGAGGCCGACUCAAAGAUAUUAUGAAACCUUGUGGUCUUGCCAUCAAGAAAUAAAUUUUUGUCAGCUCAAUGAGCUACGACAAGACAAGACGAUUUUGCAAAACUCUAGUGUUAACCUUAGAAGGCUUUUUGUAAAAAAGCCUUGUUGUUUUAGACUGGCUAAUCAGGCGCGAGUCAAGCUUCCGUGAAGCAGGUUCAAUGAACCAAUGGUUUCUCUAUUCUCCACGUGUGACUCCGGCCGGUACCUUUUAUGUUUUAACCAAGGCGAGUUCACGGUCCAAAUGACGGAUUGACUCGCCCCGAGUACAUAGGUCCAUGUGGCGACUUGUUCAACACAGUACAGUAUAACCAUUUGUAAUGCGGUAAUUUUUCGCUAGCCAAGAGGGUAUUCAGACUGAACUCAGUGAGUAGAAGCCCCCAAGUGACCUAUGAUUUAGGAAAAAGCCGGGCAUAGGAUCACAGAAGCGUGUACGCUCUUACUGCAAAACGACUUGGGGACUAGUAGCCCCCAAGUAAGCCGGCUUAGUUCUCAAAACCAUAUACGGCGCCCAUGUUUGAACCGUGCAACGUGGCAACUUUGGUCCUCUUUGGCUUUAUCAAGGCCCAAUUUUGAAGUAAGUGCAGCAUGGCGGCUUACGCUCUUUGACCCUGAUAGCGUCCAUGUUUGGACGACUUAUAGAACAAUAAAGACUCAUGCUUUCAAAAGCUGAAAAGGCAAAAGACCCCGAAAUUCAUGGGUGCCGGCUUUAUUGCUUUCAUCAAUAAUGAAUUACAAUCUUCUGAAAACUGGUAAAAAAGGAGCCCAUAUCUCUAAGUGUAGUAAGGCCGCAGGUGGGCUAUGUUCCAGGGGCGAGUUGUCUCAACAUCUGUAGUUGGCCGAUCUGGGCGAAGAUCCACCAAGUAGUAUGAGCCGUUGCGAAGAUUCUUGCUGAUGACAAACGGUCCUUCCGACGGAGGUGAUAGUUUUUGCAUACCAGUGUGAUCUUGAAUCAAACGGAGCACCAAAUCGCCUUCUUGGAAAGUCCCACUCUUGACACGGCGGCCGUGGUAGCGUCGCAAGUCUUGUUGGUAGAUCGCCGAUCGUGACGCGGCCAAGUCACGUUCUUCCUCCAAGGCGUCCAACGAGUCUUGCCGUGCCAGCUCAUUGUCUUGUUCCACAUAGGCGACGACUCACGGUGAAUCGUGUCUGAUGUCACUUGGUAACACUGCUUCUGCCCCGUAGACGAGAAAGAAAGGAAUAAAGCUCGUGGAGCGAUUUGGAGUUGUCCCGAUGCUCCAUAAUACUGAAUGCAACUCCUCCACCCAACACCAUGUUGUACAUUCCAAAGGUACCAGGAGCCGAGGCUUAAUCCCCCGCAAUAUUUCCUGAUUCGCCCUUUCCGCCAGCCCAUUGGACUGGGGAUGUGCAACCGCGGAAACGUUAAGCCGGAUAUGCUCUCGUGAACAAAACUCUUGCAUUGUACCUUUGGGUAAAUUAGUACCAUUGUCAGUAAUGAUGCUAUGAGGAUAUCCAAAUCUGAAAAUUAGUUUCUUCAAGAAUUUGACGGUCGUAUCUGCAUCACAGCUGCUAACGGGCUCCGCCUCAACCCACUUGGUAAACUUGUCAACCACCACCAAUAGGUGAGUCUUUUUAGUGGAAGACAUCUUUAAAGGGCCAACCAUAUCAAGCCCCCAGACUGCAAACGGCCAAGUAAUUGGUAUCAUCCGCAAUUCCUGAGCCGGCACGUGCAUCUGACGUCCAAAUUUUUGGCAUCCAUCAGAUCGGUGAACGAUCUCCUGUGCGUCUGCGUGAGCCGUCAGCCAAUAGAACCCAUGUCUGAAGGCUUUGGAAACCAAGGAUCGUGACCCAACAUGAUGACCACAGUCGCCAGCGUGAAUCUCAUUAAGGAUCAUACAUCCUUCUUCAGGGGAGACGCAUCUUUGAAAUACCCCUGAGGUGCUUCGUUUAUGCAACUCGCCAUUGUGUAUGACCAUGGAUUUACACGGGCGGACGAUUUGGCGAGCCAAUAAUUCAUCAGCAGGUAACUCGCCUUUGGUGAGAUACGCCAUAUAAGGAGCCUCCCAAUUCGGAGUAGCACGAAGAGCCGCCACGAGUUGAGACUCGGGGCCCGACACUACUAAGUCUUCCUCUGAAGGCGGUCUUACCGAGGGGUUAUGUAAUACAUCCAAAAAGACAUUGGGAGGAACUGGCUUGCGCUGUGAACCAAGACGGUAAACAGCGUACGUUGCUUCAUUAAGUCGUCGAUCGAUGUGAUCCACUUGAUAGCCAUGUAAGUGACCCGCCACAUCUGAAACAGCACGUCUGUAAGCCGCCAUCAAGGGGUCUUGGGAAUCGCAGGUGCCAGAAACCUGUUGUGCCACCAAAUCUGAGUCGCCCAGACAUCUGACUCGCGUGAGGUUCAUCUCUUUGGUGAGUCGCAAACCAUGGAGCAAAGCUUCAUAUUCUGUAGCAUUAUUGGUACAUGGAAACAUGAGCCGAAGGACAUAGCAAAACAUGUCACCUUGAGGCGAAGUUAUCACCAUGCCAGCCCCCGAGCCUUCCAAUUGCGUGGAUCCAUCGAAAUAGAUGGUCCCAAUAAGUAUGAUCGGGCCUGUCCUCUGGAAUUUGCAACUCGGUCCAAUCAUUGAUGAAGUCCGCGAGCGCUUGAGAUUUGAUGGCCGUCUGAGGCGUAUACCACACAUGAUGGGGCCCUAACUCGAUGGCCCACUUAGCAAUCCGUCUAGUUGCUUCUCGAUUCUUUAUGAUGUCGCCAAGGGGGGCGGAACUGACGACCGUGAUCGGAUGUUCCUGGAAGUAGUGUUUCAGCUUCCGAAUUGCCAUAAACACCCCAAAGACCAACUUCUGACAAUGCGGAUAACGUUGCUUGGAGAGGGUUAGUACCUCACUGAUAAAAUAUACCGGUCGCUGGACCGGAUACUCCUUUCCUUCUUCCUUCCGCUCGACGACCGCUGCCACACUGACUGCCUUGGAAUUGGCUGCGAUGUACAGGAGCAUAGGUUCCUUGUCAGUCGGAGCCGCCAACACUGGAGGGUUAACUAAUUGCCGCUUCAAGGCUUCAAAAGCUUUGUUGGCUUCGUCCGUCCAUACGAAACGACCAGUUUUCUUGAGCAACUGAUAGAGCGGGAUGGCCUUCUCCCCGAGGCGACUUAUAAAGCGACUCAGAGCUGCGAUUCGACCCGCCAUACGCUGGACCUGGUUAUCGUUGGCCGGUUUCCCCAACGAGGUAAUUGCCUCAAUUUUGUCUGGGUUAGCUUCGAUGCCACGUUCCGACACCAAAAAACCCAAUAACUUCCCCACAGGAACACCAAACACGCACUUAGUGGGAUUAAGCCUCAUCUGGUAAACACGCAGGUUAUGAAAGGUUUCCGUGAGAUCCUCCAAGAGCGACUCCUUUCAUUGAGAUUUGACCACGAUGUCAUCCACAUAAGCGUGGACAUUACGACCGAUCUGGUUGUGCAAACAAUUUUGGAUACAACGCUGAUAAGUCGCCCCCACACUCUUGAGCCCAAACGACAUAGGCACGUAACAGAAGGCUCCGAAUGGGGUUAUGAAGGAUGUCUUCUCCUGAUCCACCACCGCCAUCUUGAUCUGAUGGUAUCCCGAAUAAGCGUCCAAGAAACACGGACGCUCACAACCCGCCGUCGAGUCAAUAAUUUGAUCAAUGCAGGGAAGGGCGAUGGGAUCCUUCGAACAUGCUCUGUUGAGGUCAGUGUAGUCGAUGCACAUACGGAAAGUGCCGUUCUUUUUUACCACCAGGACCGGGUUAGCCAGCCAUUCAGGAUGGAAAACCUCGAUGAUAAAUCUGGCGGCUAGAAGCCGGGUGACUUCCUCUUCGAUCGCCUUACGACGCUCUUCAUUAAACCUGCGAAGAUAUUGUCGAACUGGCUUAACUUUGGGGUCAGUAUUAAGAUGGUGCUCAGUGAAUUCUCUCGGUACACCUGGCAUAUCAGAAGGUUUCCAUGCAAAGAUGUCCUGAUUCUCACGGAUGAAUUCGAUGAGCGCGCUUUCCUAUUUGGGAUCCAGACCCGCCCCAAUAGUAAACUGCUUGGUGCAAUCGCCAGGCGUGAAAUCUAUGACCUUGGUAUCGUCCGUCGGCUUAAACUUGAGGGGCGGCUCAGAAUCGAUGGUUGGCCUUUUGAGCGGCGUCAUGUCUGCCGGGUCAACAUUAGCUUGGUGAAAUUUGAGCUCUUCGGCCGCGCAAGCCGACUCAGUGUAAGUUGCGUCUCCUUCUUCACAUUCUUGAGCUAUUUUCCUAUCUCCGCUGAUGGUAAUAGGUCCCUUAGGGCCGGGCAUCUUGAGUUGGAGAUAAACAUAGCAUGGGCGAGCCAUGAAUCUGGUGUACGCCGCCCGCCCAAACAACGCAUGGUAGGGGCUCUUGAUUUUGACCACCCAAAGGCCACGUUAAGUUUAAUCCGCCCAAUUAGAUACGCCGACUUAUCGGGGACGAUGCCGUGGAAGACCGUGGACGACGGCAUCAAGUCUUUCUCCAAGAGAUUCAUCCGUCGGAAGGUAUCGAAGUAUAAGAUGUUGAUGCUGCUGCCCCCAUCCGUUCGGACCUUGGAAAGGGUGUACCCUCUGACUUGGGGAGCCACGACCAAAGCCAAGUCGCUAGGGUUGUCUACUCGGGGCGUGUGGUCUUCCCUGCUCCAGGUUGUAGGCUGUUCAGACCAGUGAAGGUAUCGGGGGAGCGCCGGCUCGGCUAUGCUGAAGGUUCUAUGCUUCACCCUAUGAUCCCGUUUGGAGGUGCUGGUGGUGAACACAUGAUACUGCUCGCUGUUCAGUUGCUUAGGGUUAUUCUAAAACCCGCCACGAUCUUCCUGUCACUGGGGAUCUCCUUGCGGGGGUGGUUGCUGAAACACUCCCGGCGGAUGGUAUUGCUGAUUGUGAACUUGGUACUUCCCAGUGUUUGGGUGUGAUCCGCCAUGUGGUCCCGGGUUAGGAAACUGCCGAACUGGAUCUGGCAUGACCCGGACGCGCCGGGCUAUUCCUGUCGCUGGAACUGGUCAUGACCCUGACCUCUUAUGAGCGCCUUGGCCCGGAAUUCCUGCAUCACGUAGCAGUCCUCCGAGGAGUGAGUCGCCGGGCCCUCCACCAUGGCAUGCUGCGGACAAGGGCCUUUGAGCAUCUCGUGAUAACUGCACGGUUUCGUCCCACUGAAGCCCCGCUUCUUCUGGCGCGGGUGUCCGUUGCUGGUAUUAGUAUUAGCGACAAAAUCUGUAGGACCUUCCUGUUGUCUCCUUUUGCCGUGUCCACCAUGGUGGGCGCCAACUGUCGUGGUUUUAUCAUGGCAGAUUUGCAGACCCUGCAGGUUCGAGAACUAUGCAGACAUGACCUGAGACACUCUCCGGUCAAUAAUCAAUAGCGGGACCUGGAUGCCCAUAUUGGCUCCUACAUAUUCUACGAAGAUCUCUAUCGGUUGAACCUCUAUGUCAAGGAUUCAUAUAAUCAUGUAUACUAUUCCCUUUGUCCUUCGGUAUGUUACUUGCCCGAGAUUCGAUCGUCGGUAUCUCCAUACCUAGUUCAAUCUCGUUACCGGCAAGUCUCUUUACUCGUUCCAUAAUACAAGAUCCCGUGACUAACUCCUUAGUCACAUUGCUUGCAAGGCUUGUUGUUAUGUUGUAUUACCGAGUGGGCCCCGAGAUAAAUCCCAGUUUUGAUCCAUGCCAACCCGACAGACACCUUUGGAGAUACAUAUAGAGCACCUUUAUAGUCACCCAGUUACGUUGCGACGUUUGAUACACACAAGGUAUUCCUUCGGUGUCUGGGAGUGGCAUGAUCUCAUGGUCAUAGGAACAUAUACAUUGACAUGCAGAAAAACAGUAGCAAUAAACUGACACGAUCAUAUGCUACGUUUAUAGUUUGGGUCUUGUCCAUCACAUCAUUCUCCCAAUGAUUUGAUCCCAUUAUCAAGUGACAACACUUGUCUAUGGCCAGGAAACCUUGACCAUCUUUGGUCAACGAGAUAGUCAACUAGAGGCUCACUAGGGACAAUGUGUUGUCUAUGUAUCCACAAUUGUAUUUGAGUUUCCAAUCAAUACAAUUCUAGCAUGGAUAAUAAACGACUAUUAUGAACAAGGAAAUAUAAUAAUAACCAAUUUGUUAUUUCCUCUAGGGCAUAUUUCCAACACCGUCCAUACAAACAACAAUCCUGUGGGAGUUUUAUUUCAUUAAAUUUAUUUGACUUUUGAGCAUGGAACCGGGCAUCCCGAUUACCAACCACUUUCUCGUGAAUGAUAUUGAAUCAACACAUAUCUUGAGAAUAACCCACCUAGCGUGGAAUAUAGUAAUAGCCCCUAGUCACCACAUGAGCGAUUCGGGCAUACAAAACAGAAUAUUUAUUUGAAGGUUUAGAGUAUGGCACAUGCAAAUUUACUUGGGACGGCAGGUAAAUACCGCAUAUAGGUAGGUAUGGUGGACUCAUAUGGAUCAACUUUGGGUUUAUGGAAAUGUGUGCACAAGCAAUAUUCCCGCUUAGUACAAGUGGAGGCUAGCAAGAGACUGGGAAGCGGCCAACUAGAGAGCGACAACAGUCAUAAACAUGCUUUGAGACUAACCAACAUUGAGUGCAAGCAUGAGUAGGAUAUAAAUCACCAUGAAUAUAAACAUCGUGGAGGCUAUGUUGAUUUUGUUUCAACUACAUGCGUGAACAUUUGCCAAGUCAAGCCACUCGACUCAUUCGGAGGAGGAUACCAUUCUAUCAUACUACGUCACAACCAUUUUAAUAUGCAUCUUGGCACUCAAUACAAACCAUUAUUCACUCCUAGCUAAUUAAGCAUGUCAUAGGUAACUAUAAUCUCUAAUUUUCAUUGCAAACAUGUUCAAUCCAUAACGUGCUGAAUCCAGAACAAUGAGCUAAUCAUAUUUACAAAAACAAAAUAGGUCGAGUUCAUACCAGCUUUUCUCCAUCUCCGUCACUUCAUCAUAUAUUGUCAUUAUUACCUUUCACUUGCACGGUCGAACAAUGUCAAUAAUAAUAAUAAGAGUUCACGUGCAUGGGACUAAGCUGGAUCUGCAAACAAUAACUCAAAGGAGAAGACAAGGUAGUAUGGACUCUCUGAUAGAUAAACGAUAAUGAAUAUGAGAGCCACUCAGCUUGUCAUCGUGGUCUUCUCCUUACGAGCCCAAAGAAGAAAGAAAAACUAUUUGCACGGGAAAGCCCACAACAAGCAAAAGAAGAACGAAAAAUCUUUUCGGGUUUUCUUUUAACUCUACAACUAAACAGACUAGAAGGUAAAGCUAGAACUAUUUUUUUGGAUUUUCUAAAGCUUAAUGAAACACACAAGAAGAAAACAAAAGGAACAAAUAAACAACCAUGGAUGAUACAAGGGAAAAGUAUGAACACCGACGACUGGAAUGAGUGUGUGAACACUAAUGUAAUGUCGGUGAGAAAUACGUACUCCCCCAAGCUUAGGCUUUUGGCCUACGUUGGUCUAAGGCCAUGGCUGGCCCGGAUAAUAUCAAAGUCAUAGUUGGGGUUGUACAAGGCUGCGGCAGCUGCCGCCUGAACGGCUUCAACGUGGAGGCGAGCGGCUUUCGCCUCUCUCUCGUACUCGCCUCCCUCCUCUCUGGUUAUGAAGUACCUUUGUUUUUCCUGAAAGUUAAAGAAGGCAGGAGCAGGAAGGGUAAUAUGGACAGCAUGUUGUUUAUAAAAAGUUAGUUUAUAUAGGAGAUUUUGUUCAUUUCUCUUGAGGAAUUGGUAGCGCACCAUAGCCUCAUAAUCAAGAAAAGCAGGUGCUCAAUAUCAUUCUCCUUUAUAGGUAUCCUAAGAUAAUUGGCUACACAUGUGGCAUAAAUUCCACCAAAGGAAUCUCCGUCCUUAGCAUUUUUGUGUAGCCUUCUAGCAAUAAUAGCUCCUAAGUUAUAUGGUCUAUCACCGAUGACCGCACUCUUAAGAAUACUAAGGUCAGGUACACAAAGGUGGAUGUGCUCAUGCUUACCGUUAAUACACCUACCUAUGAAGAGAGCAAGAUAAUGUAUGGCAGGAAAGUGAAUGCUCCCCAAGGUAGCCUGUGUAAUAUUUCUAGUUUCUCCCACGGUGAUGCUAGCAAGAACAUCAUUAUAUUCGACUUUUUGAGGAUCACUAAAGCUACCCCAUUGUGGAAUUUUCCAUGCAUAGUUAAAACCUUCAAGUUCCAUAGUAUACGAUUCAUCAUAAAGAUUAAAUAGAAUGGAAUGCGUAUUACGCCUAGAUGAAAAUUCAAACCUCCGCACGAAGGAAUCACUGAGUUGAUAAUAUUGCCUGCAUUAGUCUGAAACAAAAUCUUCAAGGCCAGCAUUUCGUAUGUAUGCGUAAAAUUCUUUCUUGAAUCUAGCCUGGACCAUGAAUGAUUCCGAUGGCCAUUCACAAGGCCGCACUUGAGCUUCCCUUGGGUGUUCAAGCCCGGGCUCACGUAUCGCGAGUCUCGGGGUCUUCUUUCUCGAGGAACCACUUUGGUAUAUUUUCCUUAACAUUUUUAUUUCUCUUAAAAAUAAAUCUGAAAUUUUUAGUGACUCCACAUAAAAAUGAACAAAACUCAAUCAAAGCUUAUAGCAACUACUCCCACAAGUGCCUAGAAGCUAUAUCAUGCAUCAAAACUACUUAGGACCCUACAAAUUUUACAUUCAAGCUCAAGAACAAGGUCACCACAGCAGCAAGAUUUUGCAAAAUAUAAAGCACUAGAACAAAAACUAAUUGGACCAUUGGAGGACUCACAUACCGAUGAACAAUCCCCUAAAAUAGUUUUGCAAAUGAAGCUUUAAGCAAGGAGAUCGAAAAUGGCAGUAAUAUGAGCUAAAACACGGGUUUGAGCAAUGGUGUGAUUUUUUCUGGAGGAAGAAGGAGUGGAUGGGUACUAGAAUUAGUGAAGGUGCCCCACGUGGGACCCACAAACCAGAGGGUGCGCCCCGGGGGGAGGGGGGGGGUAGUCGCACCCUGCAGGCUUGUGGCCCACUAGUGCAGUCCCGUGAUGUAUUGUUAGUGCUAGAAAUUCUUAAAUAUUCCAGAAAAAAUCAUACUAAAUUUUCAGGGUGUUCUGAGAACUUUUAUUUUCACGUCAUUUUUCUAUUGCACGGAUAAAACGGGAAACAGAGAAAUAAUAACUUUUUUACUAAACUGAAACUAAAGAACAAAAAAUAAAAGAUUGGGUACAGAAGUUUGUGCUUUCUAAAUUCAUCCAUCUCAUGCCGUCAAAAAGAAUCCACCAAUAAGGUUGAUGAAGUCUUAUUGACAAACUUUUUCGAAUGACAUGGAACCGGAGAACUUUCGAAUAACACUAGGUUACCUCAAUGGGGAUAUGCAUGUCCCCAACAAUAAGUAUAUCAUAUUUCUUCUUUAGUGUAGGAAGAGGGAAUUCAAAGUCUCCAAUAGUGAACGUUGGAAUUUUUUCAAUGGAGUUGAUGCUAUGAACUUGAGAUUGUUUCUUCGGAAGGUGUACCGUAUGCUCAUUACCAUUGACAUGAAAAGUGAUAUUGCCUUUGUUGUAAUCAAUAACAGCCCCUGCAGUAUUCAGGAAGGGUCUACCAAGGAUGAUCGACAAACUGUCGUCCUCGGGAAUAUCAAGAAUAACAAAGUCCGUUAAGAUAGUAACGUUUGCAACCACAACACACACAUCCUCACAAAUACCGAUGGGUAAAUCAGUUGAUUUAUCAGUCAUUUGCAGAAAGAUUUCAGUAGGUGUCAAAUUAUUCAAAUCAAGUCUAUGAUAUAAAGAGAAAGGCAUAACACUGACACCAGCUUCGAGGUCACAUAAAGCAGUUCUAACGUAAUUUCCUUUAAUAGAGCAUGGUAUAGUAGGUACUUCGGGAUCUCCUAACUUCUUUGGUAUUCCAUGCUUAAAAGUAUAAUUAACAAGCAUGGUGGAAAUCUCAUCUUCAGGUAUCUUUGUUUUAUUUGUAACAAUAUCUUUCAUGUACUUAGCAUAAGGAGACAUUUUCAUAAUAUCAGUUAAGCACAUACGUAAAAAAUACAUGUCUCAGCAUUUCAGCAAAGCACUCAAAAUCCUCAUCAUCCUUCUUUUUGGAUGGUUUAGGAGGAAACGACAUUGGUUUUUGAACCCAUCAUUCUCUUUCUCUACGAUGCUUCCUAGCAACAAAAUCUCUUUUAUCAUACCUCUUAUUCUUAGGUUGUGGGUUAUAAAGAUCAACAAUAGGUUCAAUCUCCACACCAUUGUCAUUACUAGGUUGAGCAUCGACAUGAACAUCAUCAUUAAUAUUAUCACUAGGUUCAUGUUCAUUACCAGAUUGUGUCUCAACAUCAGAAAUAGAGAUAUCAUUUGGGUUUUCAUGUGACUCUAUAACAGGUUUACUAGCAGCAUGCAAAUUCCUAUCAUUAUUAUUUUUGCUUUUAUUAGAACGACCAGGUAUGUCAAUACUAACUCCCUGAGAAUAUUGCUGAACUCUCUUAGGAUGGCCCUCAGGAUACAAAGGUUCCUGAGUCAUUCUACCACCUCUAGUUACAACUCUAAAAGAAAGAUCAUUUUUCUUACUAGUCAUCUCAUUGAGCAAAUCAUUUUGUACCUUAAGUACCUGUUCUACUUGAGUAGUUACCAUGGAAGCAUGUUUACUAAUAGGCCUAAGAUCAUUGGGAGUUCUACUCAUAUAAUCACCCAAGCGAUCAAGCAUGUAAGCAUUAUGCUUCAAUUGUCUACUAACAUCAGUGUCGGUGAAUACUCACAACAUAUGCCAUAGGUAGGCUAAAGUCGGUGAGAACUGAAGGGACAAAGGUGGGCACAGGGAACGAGGUUGGUACACGCAUGGGACGCACGAUGUACCCAGGUUCAGGGCUCUCCGUAGAGAUAAUACCCCUAAUCCUGCUGGUGUGUUUGAUGUAUGGGAAUAGUGUACAAUGUUGUUCCUGGAGCUGUGUUGGGAGGAGGAAGAGGGGAGCAGCCGGCUCGUCUCUACCUCGCUCUCUGUUUGUUGGUGAGUGUGUAGUGUUGAAUGACUGGCAAGUCAUCGGCCCCCUUGCAUGGGGGCGGCCGGGGGGUUUUAUAGGCGAACCCGCCGACCUACAAUAUGGAUAAAAGGUACAGGCGUGGGACCCGGCUGGCGGCUUCGCCGGCUGGCCAGGGGCCCACAGGGGCCUUGUCUUGUCGAUGAGGGGCCCGCCGGCUGCAUGGUCUCGAUUGCUGGUGGGACCCGCCGGCUGGCCGAUGGGGCUCCCGCGUAAGGUUGACGAUCUGAUGUGACUGGUGAUCCUUGGCCGGCUAGCCUGCUUGGUUAGCCGGCUCGCGGGUGGCCGCCUCCUCCCCAGUCCGGCUGGCGGGACCAGGCCGGCUCUGAAGGGGAGGCCGCCUGCAUUCUAGCCGGCAGGGGAUGCCUGGACGUCUAGAAAGGUGGCCGCCUCGUCUUCCAGCCGGCAGGCGAUGCCUAGCCGGUCAGAAGAGUUGGGCCUUGGGAAUCUCCAUAUCUUCAUGUCCAUUGGGCCGGAAAUGAAGGAGGAGGCUUGAUGAGCCUACCCCGGGGUUAUCCCCCCGACAGUACUCCCCGAAGCUGGCGAGGUCUACCGCCUGCGGGCGGGCGGCCUCACCGGCUUGUUGUCUUGUCUUGAUAUUUUGGCUGUUGUUUGCGGCGAAGGGCGCCGGCUCCGGAGCCAGGCAGCUUCGAAGCGACGCUUCGGUCUGGUCGCAACUGCCUGGAGGACGCCACGUGCCAGGCCCCGCCUGGCCUAAUGAUGGCGAUUACUACUUGACGGGACCGGGCCUGGGCCCUGGGUCCCGCCACGACACCCCCUCGGCCUCUGCGCGGGAGAUCUUCUAUGGAUUUACUCCGCGACGGUUGGGCUUAGGGAGGCGUUACCGCCCGUAAUACACGGAAUUAAUGGGGUCCGGCACGCACCGGAUCCCCUCCCCACGAUGCUUCAUGGGGUUUUAAAUGGGAUGCGAGGGUUUCGACGAGGCCAUUCGCCCCCUCUUCUGGCCCUGCUCCAUGCUCUCUUCCUCCUUGUGCCUCGAGAAAGAAGAGCUCGUGCCUUCGUCGUCUUCAUCUUCGCUGUCGUGACCUCCGUCGACCGCUUCGAGCUUUCGCCACCCGCAAACAUGGCCGGAGGAUAUUCUUCGAAGAGGUCGUCGGCGCAGCAGGCGUCCUUGCAAGGGGCCUGGCUGGGCAGCGAUGUUGACGAGGAGCUCAUCGAUGCGCUCCGUCAUCAUCGACUUCUGCCCCCGGCCUCCCAAGUGUCGGUGCGCCUUCCUGGCUCCGAGGCCUCUCCCGCACCUGUCGCGGGAGAGGUUGUGGUCUUCGUCGAGCACUUCUACCGGGGUUUCGGGCUCCCGGCUAGCUCUUUCUUCGCCGAGUGGCUCCAGUUCUUCGGCCUGCAACCGCAUCAUAUGGUGCCGAACGCCAUACUGCAGCUGGCCGCCUUCGUGGUCCUGUGCAAGGGCAUCGUGGGGAUCGAGCCUCGCGUCGAUCUGUGGCGCAGCUUGUUCUUCUUCAAGUAGCAAUCCAUCGCCAUGGAGAAAUCCGAGGUGGAGAAGCUCAAGGGGCCGCGGCCCAUGACGCCGUGCGGGGCCGCGUUGGUGCAUCACCGCCCGAAGUCCGGCUUCCCCCAGAUGCCUUUGCAAGACUCCGUCAAGCAUUGGCAGAAGGGGUUCUUCUACGUGAGGAGCACCGACCCGACCCAGGACGCCCUCAACAUGGCCCCAUUCACCAUCGCCCCUCCGAGACGGCAGAACUGGGAUGCGAAGACUCCCAAGCCGCAUCCCGAGGUGGCGCUCAUUCGCGCCCACCUCGAUAUCUUGAGGGAGAGCGGCCUCCUCGGCCGCGACCUUCUCGCCGCCAUGGUGGUUCGUUGGAUUCUGCCUCUGCAGAGGCAGCCGCAUCUGGUCUGCCAGAUGAGCGGCCGGCUUGAUCCGUGCCGGCUGUCCAUCAAGAGGUUCACCCCGGGCGUUGUAGCGCGAAGGGUGAACCUGAUCUCCACCGCCUGCAUGGAUGAGGGAGGGGAAUGGACAUGGGGGAUGUCCCCGUUCAACCGGGCUCAUCUGCCUCCGAUGGUAGCCUUACUCCCUUCUUUUCUAUCGUUUUGUUUUGAAGUCGGUGGCGUUUGCUGAGCCUGGCUGAAUUCCUUUCUUGUAGAUGUUCAAGACCCUGCAGGGGUCCCUCCCCCAGCCUGCUCCUAACAUGGAGGCGUCCGGCGUCUCCGAGAUGGAGGAUGAGGACGCGAUGGAGCCUCGCUCAGACUCCUCCGCCAGCACGUUAGAUCCCUUGGAGUUGGAAGGGACCGAGCCGUCUGGUGAGUACCCGCAGCGCACCCUAGCAGACUGGAUGGACGAUGAUGAGGAAACCUCAUUCUGCUCUGAUGCAGCCUUCGAGGGAGAUUCCGACGAGGUGGAGGAGGUCACCGACCCACUACCGUCGUGCAGCCGGUGUUAAGGUGGCGGAGUGACCGCUGCUGACGAGGCAGCCGGGAAGAAGGGCAAGGGUGCCACAGCUUCCCGGCCGGCCUCUAUGCGACCGGCGCCGGGUCCUCCAGCCGGGCAGCGAGCAGACGGCGCCAAGACGUGCCGUGGCGGUGGCCGGAGGUAGGUCCCGGUAGUUGUCGGGUAUGGUUUCCUCCUCUUCUCCCUUCCACAUUUUGAGAUGAACUUUGUUCCUGAGAAGCUUAGCUUGACAGGGAGGUGGAGGAUGCGGAUGAAGACACCACCUCCGCAGCCGAGCGGGCCGGCUGGGCAACGGCUGAUGCUGCCGAUAGGGAGCUCGAGAUAGAAUCCAAGCGCCGGUGGGACACGACCGCAGGGAAGACCGCCGUGGGUCAGCCUUGCCCCAGCCGGGUCGAGAGGCCGGCGGAGAAGCGUGUGAAGGCUAGACAGGACCCCUCCGCACAUGCUCGUGUGGAGGAGCUAGCUAGCGAGGCCGCCUCCAGGCCGGACCCAAGGACGGAAGGGGCCCAGCCGUCUGAACCGGCAGCCCCGGAGCAGGUGGACCUGGAGACGAUCCCGGUUUCCCCGAGGGCCGAGGCGGCUCUUGACGCGCCGAUGCUGGAUCUGACCGCGCCGGACGUGGCCCCUGAUGCUCCAGGGGCGACCAUGGAUGCGUCGGACGCGGCUCAUCCGCCUCCUGCGGAGGAGGUAGCGCCGGCUGGGACGGCACCCGAGCCGGCCCUCGAGCCGGCACCAGGAGCCGGCGCCAUCGUCAUCCCCCAGCAGGGCCCUGUUGCGCCAAGGGCAGGGGGCCGGCCUGGGAGCCGGCCUAUGAGCGGGAGGCGAAUGCGGCCCGCCUGCGAAUGCCCGCCGACACCGUUCUUUCCGGCGUGCCGGAGCUGGUGACGCUGUUUGACAGCGGCCGGUCGAAGGUGGAGCAGGCGGCCCGCAUGGUAUGCAGCGACAUGGAGCGCCUGGAAGCCCGCACCCAGGUAGGCCUUGCCUUUUUUGGUUUUUCUUUGCGCUUUUUUCUCUUCUCUUGACGUCAGUGGGGGCGCGACAGCGCACCCACUGGGUGUAGCCCCCGAGAAUCGGGCGGGUUGAUUGCCAACCGGUCCGAAUCUCUUGGAAGCCUUUUUCUUCUGCAUAUUUUUCUUCAGUGGGGGCGCGCAAGCGCACCCACUGGGUGUAGCCCCCGAGAAUCGGGCUGGUUAUGCUUUUAACCAGGUCGAAUCUUAAUCCUGUUCCCUUUCUUUCUGCUUUGGCAGGCGCUUUACGAUGCUCAGGUACAGGAGUACAAUGAGCUUCAGGACCAGCACCUGGGGGCUGAUAGCCGGAUCGCCGAGCUUGAAUUCCGGCUAGGUGAGGCUGCCGUGGAGCGUGAUGCCCUUCGUGGAGCUGCCGGCCGGCUCCAAGAGAAGCUGGACCUUCUUCAGGCGGAGAAGGAGCUCGAAGCGGCCGGUCGGGUCGAGCUGGAGCGGUUGCGGGCCAUGCUGCAGGAGAAGGAGGCCUCCUACUCUGCUGACAUGAACCGCCUUGCGUCGCUCCAUAUUGAGGAGGCGAACCUCGAGGACGCCGCCUUGAGGGUGAAGGACGAAGCCCUUACCCAGAAGCAAGCACAGUUGGGUAAGGCGCUGGAGUCCGCCGCAACCCUCCAGGAGGAAGUCGCCCGCCUCACUCAUGCGAGUGAGGUGCGGGAGCGCGAGGUCCUCGAGGUCUUUCAUGAGACCGAUGACGCGUUCCAGCGUAGGUUUCCUUUCCUUGUUUUGCGUUUGGUUUUUUGGCCGUCUCCUCCUCUUGUUGUGUUCUUACGUCCCGGCUGUCUUUACCCCAGAUCUGUUCUCCGAGACCCAGGUCGUAGUCGACACCGCUGUUGAGGUGUGCCGCGAGGAGCGUCGCGCGGCCGGGCAGGAGGUAGAUACUACCUCCGGCUGGAGCGUCGAGGAGAUUGGUGUGGGCCUUCGGGCCCGCCUACACGUCCUGGGCGAGUCUGUGACUUAGCUCCAGGUUGCGGGUUCGUCGAUGGUGGCGGCCCUGUGGCCGGAGGGCGUGGAGCCAAUGACCAUGAGCCGUCUUGCACGUUGGCUCGCGGCGGGUGGAGAGCGCCUGGACGUCUGGCGAGCCUCUGCCGCGCGGUCUGGGGCUUAUAUGGCCCUGCGCUUGACCAAGUCGUGGUAUCGCAACCUGAACUUGGGCAAGAUGCCUGCCAAGCGCGACGGCUCAGAGGCGGAGUUGCAAGGCCUGGAGGAGGAGCUCCGGGUGAGAGCCAGCGCCAUUGCCAAGUACGCCGCCUGGGAUGACUUCGUCUUGGAGCGGGGUGAAGACGGCGGCGUGAUCGCUGAAGAUCUGCAUGGCCUUCAGCCCUACGACGCCGAUGGUAGCUCCAACGAGGCGGCCCGGGCUGCGGAAUCUGCAUCCGCCUCCAGCGGUGGGGCAUAUGCCGACUCCAGGAUCAGCGGAGCCGGGGGCCGCAACGGGGGAGACGGCGCAUCCACCUCGGGAGGAGCCGGAGGCGGCGACGCUACCACAUCGGGAGCAGCAGGCGAGACGACCACUGAGGUCGCUGUCCCGUGACUGAUGUCCUUUUGUGUUUUUGGUUCUACCCUCGGAGGGAUGUAACGAACACGGGCCGUGGGCCAAUGCUUUUUAUGAAUGUAUAUAUUCAGCAUUAUAUUCGUCACCAAGCGUGUUGUCGUAUGAUCCCGUCUUUUGGUUCCUGGUUGACUUCUCUUAUCCGAAGCCAUCAAGACGUAAAGAACAAGACAUAAGCCAAUCAGAGGCCGGCUUGAAUGAACCAACUCGAGCCGGUCGUCACUAGUAUAGCCGGAUUGUGCAUGUAUUCGACCUGACCCGGCGUCACAUCGCGAACCGAGCGACCGGAGCCUGCCCGCAGGUUCAAGCAAUGGACCGGGAAUCAGCCGGUACACUAUGUGCCCGACUACAAGGAUUGACCGUCCGAGUGGCUGGUGAGCCCCCAAGCUUGUUUAAAGCUAGCAAGGGGCCGCGCUGCGUAGCCCCCGAGCUUGAGCAAGCCAGCAAGAGGUGGUACGCGGUGUAGCCCGUACACUGAGUGAAAACUCUUUCAUCAUAUUUGUUGUUCUCGGCAGUCAGAUGCCGUCUUGAGUCUCCGCAGUCAGAGGCCGUCUUGAGUCUUGAAGGAGAUCGUAUAUACGAUCAAGCCGGCCCGAGCCGGUCGUCCCAAGUAUAGCCGGACUUUGCAUGUAUUCGACCUUACCUGGCGUCAUAUCGCGAACCGAGCGACCGGAGUCAGCCCGCAGGUUCAAGCGACGGACCAGGGGUUAGCUGGUACACUAUGUGUCCGUUAUAAGGGUUUGACCGUUCAGGCGGCUGGCGAGUCCCCGAGCUUGUUUUAAGCUAGCAAGGGGCCGCGCUACAUGGCCUCCGAGCUUGGUUAAGCCGGCAAGAGGUGGUACGCUGUGUAGCCCGUACACUUGAGUGAGAACUCUAGAUAAAAAGAAACAUGGAGCAUGUCCUUUUUAUUGCCUUCUUUGUUCCCUGAAGAGGGAGGAAGAUACAUGUGCAUGUUCUUUCCUUGCUUGUCUUCUGCUUUUUAGCAAUAGAACGGGCGAAGCAACGCCGCGUUCGAUGGGCGCUCCGUUUCUUGGCCGGAGUCGUCCCUCUUGCGCUUCCUUGGCUUCUGGGCAUCAAUCAGGUAGUAAGCAUUGUUGUGUAGCACCCUACUGAUGAUGAAGGGUCCCUCCCAGGGGGUGAGAGCUUGUGCUGGCCGGCAGUGCGCUGGAUUCUUCUAAGGACCAAGUCUCCCUCCCUGAAAGAGAGAGGCCUGAUCCUUUUGCUGUGGUAGUAUCUCAGCUUCUGCUGGUAGAUGGCCGUCCGACUCAAAGCCAAGUCCCUUGCUUCUUCGAGGAGAUCCACACUGUCUUCUCGGGCCUCCUUCGCCUCUGUCUAUGUGUAUAGGGUAACCCAAGGCGAGUCGAACUCGACAUCCGUGGGGAUAAUAGCCUCAGACCCGUAUACCAAAAAGAAUGGAGUGAAGCCGGUCGACCGGUUGGGCGUGGUGCGCAGGCUCCAUAGUACAGCCGGCAGUUCUUCGAUCCAGCAGCCGGCUGACCUGACCAGUGGUGCCACCAGCCUUGGCUUGAUGCCGGCUAGGAUCAGGCCGUUGGCCCUCUCCGCUUGGCCGUUUGACUGGGGGUGUGCCACUGAGGCCAGGUCGAGCCGGAUGCCUACCUUGGAACAGUAGAGCGCCAAGGCGCCCUUGGCGAAGUUGGUGCCGUUGUCGGUGAUGAUGCUGUGGGGAACGCCAUAUCGGACAGAGAUGUAUGUGAUAAACUUGACCGCAGUGGGGCCGUCAAGCUUCCUGAUAGGCCUGGCUUCGAUCCACUUGGUGAACUUGUCGACGGCUACCAGAAGAUGUGUCAUCCUUCCGCGAGCCGUCUUGAAGGGCCCAACCAUGUCCAGUCCCCAGACGGCGAAUGGCCAUGAUAAGGGAAUGGUUUUCAGCACUAAAGGCGGCAUGUGGCUUUGUGCACUGAAGCGUUGGCAGCCUUCACAUUUGUCCACCAGAUCCACAACCUCCUCGAGGGUCGUGGGCCAGUAGAAUCCAUGGCGGAAAGCUUUGGCCACCAGGGUUCUGGAGGCGGCAUGAUGCCCACACUCCCCCUGGUGGAUGUCUCUGAGGAUCUCCUGCCCUUUUUCUGAUUCGACACAGCAUUGGAACACGCCGGUCGUGCAGCGUCGCCCCAGCUCGCGAUUGAUGAUGGCGUAAGCGGCGGACCUGCGCUGGGUCUAUCUCGCCUCCGCCUCAUUCUGAGUAAGUUCGCCGCGAAGGAGGAAGGCCAGAAUGGCCUGAGCCCAUGAUGGAGCCGACACAAGGGUCGCCUCUGCUUCGUCUUGACUGUUGGGCGCUUCCGCAGCCCCCGAGCUUGAUGGCGUCUCCGGCGCUAUUGUUGCAGCCGGCUCAUCGUCUAUCUCCAUGACGCCCACCCACUAGGAGGAUUCGAGCCCGGGCAGAGCCGGGGUUGUCAUUGUUGGAGUCGGGUGGACCAAUGGAGCCGGAUUAGGAUCCGAAGCCGGCGUAGUUGGUGGAGCCGACGACGCUUGCACCGUAGACUCAGUCGGUGCCGCAUUUGGAGCCGGAGCCGUCAGUGCAGCCGGCGUGGGGUCCGCAGCCGGCAUAACUGGCGGAGCCGGCGACGCUUGUAUCGUGGAGUCGGACGGUACGAAGAUUGAUGCCGACUCGGGAGACGGCUUGAUAGACGUCUUGUGGAGUUGCUCGAGGGAGACGCUGGCUGGGAUGGCCUGCCUUGUGGAGCCGAUCUUUGCCAGCGUAUCUGCCGCCUCAUUUUCCGCCCUGGGAACAUGGUGGAACUCACAACCCUCGAAGGGGCCGCUAAGCUGCUGGAUGAGGAAGCGGUAGCUUGCCAUGUUGGCGUCCCUGGCGUCCCAUUCGCUAGAGACCUGCUGCACCAGCAGGUCCGAAUCGCCGAAGCAUACGAGCCGCCGGAUGCCAAUCUCCUUGGCCAGCCGGAGGCCGUGAGCCAGUGCUUCGUACUCGUCGACGUUGUUGGAUGCGGCGAAGUGGAUCUGGAGAGCGUACUUGAGGUGGUCCCCUUUCGGGGACGUCAAGAUGAUGCCGGCUCCCAGUCCUGUCCGCAUCUUCGAGCCGUCGAAGUGCAUCCGCCAAUGCGUGGAGUCUGGAGGCGGUGGCUCGAACUGGGUCUCGGCCCAGUCGACUAAGAAGUCACCCACCACCUGUGAUUAGAUGGCAGUGCGAGGCUCGUACCGAAUAUCGUGGUCUGCCAUGGUGAUGGACCAUUUGGCAAUUCUGCCUGUGGCAUCACGGUUGCCCAUGAUCUCUGAGAGCGGAGCAGUGCUCACCACAGUGAUGGCAUGCUCUUGGAAGUAUUGUUUUAAUUUCUUUGCAGCAAGUUAAACACCAUAACACAUUUUUUGAUAAUGAGGGUAGUACUGCUUAGAGGCGGACAAGACCUCACUAAGGUAGUAGACAGGGCGCUGCACUGGCAGGGCCUUGCCUUCCUCUUUGCGCUGAACUACCAACACUACGCUGACCACGCGAGUGGUCGCCGCGAUGUAUAUGAGUAUGGGUUCCCUUUCAGACGGGGCUGCCAAGAUUGGUAGGCUCGAGAUUACCCGCUUGAGGUCGCGGAAGGCUUCGUCCGCCUGGUCGUUCUACUCGAACUUCGUCGUUUUCUUCAUGAGCUGGUAGAGUGGAAGGGCCUUCUCGCCAAGCCGGCUGAGGAACCGGCUGAGGGAUGCCAAGCAGCCGGCGAAUUUCUGGACAUCGAGGAUCCGAGCCGGCCGCACCAUCCGCUCGAUGGUGCUGAUCUUCUCAGGGUUCGCUUCGAUGCCGCGGGUGGAUACGAAGAACCCCAAGAGUUUGCCGCGUGGGACCCCGAAGACGCACUUCUCCGGAUUGAGCCAGAUCUUGUACUCGCGCAGAUUGGCGAAUGUCUCUCGCAGGUCGUCGAGGAGGCUGAAGUGCUGCUUCGUCUUGACGAUGAUGUCAUCCACAUAGACGUGGAUGUUUCUGCCAAUCUGUGGCAGUAGGCACUGCUGCAUGCAGCGUUGGAAUGUCGCACUUGCGUUCUUCAGACCGAACGUCAUGGUGGUGUAGCAGUAGGCCCCGAAGGGCGUGAUGAAGGAGGUCUUCAGGCGAUCAGCUGGAUCCAGCUUGAUUUGAUGGUAGCCUGAAUAAGCAUCCAAAAAUGACAGCAGUUCGCAGCCUGCAGUGGAGUCGAUCACUUGAUCUAUCCUAGGCAAUGCGAAAGGGUCUUUCGGACAGGCCUUAUUCAGGCUAGUGUAGUCGAUGCACAUUCGCCAUGUGUUGUUCUUCUUCAGCACCAGGACUGGGUCCGCCAGCCAGUCCGGGUGGAAAACCUCCAUGAUGAAGCCAGCUGCAAGGAGCCGGGUGAUCUCUUCUCCGAUUGUGCGCAGCUUCCCCUCGGCGAAGUGGUGCAAAGGUUGUUUCACCGGCUUUGCAUCCGGUCGCACGUGAAGUUUGUGCUCGGUGUACUUCCUCUGAACACCCGGCAUGUCCUUGGGGGACCAUGCAAAGAUGUCCCGAUUCUCAUGGAGGAAGUCGACGAGCUCGCCUUCCUAUUUGGGGGUGAGGCCAGCCCCGAUGGUGAUGCACUGCUUUGGGUUGGCAGGGUCGAGUGGGACCUGCUUGGUCUCUUUAGCCGGUUGAAAGAGCCCUCGCCGGCCGAUUGGGAUGGAGGAGAAGGAAUCGCCGGCUGCUCGGUAGCCUGGGGCACGAGCCGGUCGAUCUGCCGCUUCUCCUCGGCAAUCACCAAGGCGUCGGCGAGGCGGCUGCUAUCUUGGGCGCACUCGAGUGACUUCUUGUAGUCGCCAACAACAGUGAUGAUGCCCUUGGGACCCGGCAUCUUCAUCUUUAGGUAGGCGUAGUGCGGAAUAGCCAUGAACUUGGCGAGAACCGGUCUCCCCAGCAGCGCGUGGUACGGGCUACUGAGGUCCACUACCUCGAACCAUAUGGACUCUCGGCGGAAGUGAGCCUUGUCGCCGAAGAGGACGUCCACCUGGAUCUUGCCGAUGGGCGAGCAUGACUGCCCAGCACGAUGCCAUGGAAUACAGUGCUGGUUGGCAGGACGUCCGUCUCCUUGAGCCUGAGCUUGCGGAGAGUGUCGAGGUAGAGGAUGUUGAUGCUGCUGCCGCCAUCAACCAGCACCCGGGAGAAUCGGCAGGUGAGCCUCUUGGAGGCGAAGGUGGGGUCGAGGACGAGUGCGUAUGACCCCGGGUUGGGCAUCACCGCAGGGUGGUCCACCCGGCUCCAUGUAAUUGGUUUGUUAGACCAAUGCAUGUACUGGGGAACCGGGGGGACAGUGGCGUUUACCUCGCGCCGUCUUUGGCGUAGGCCGUGCUUGUCAUCGCCUUCACUGGUGAAGACGACGAACGCUCCGUCUUGAUGCGGGUAGUCGUCAGGGUGUGGGCCGUUGCCGCGAGGCGGCGGUGGCGGAAGCAGAGCAUGAUUGGGAGCCGGUGCACGGGGCGCCGCCUGCGCACCCGGAGGAGCUGGCAGGCCCUCCCCUUGCGACAGCCGACAUGCAACGGUGCACUGUCGAAGGGUAUGGGUAGACGGCACCUCCCCCGAAUGUAUCUUGUAGGGGGCAUCGAGCAGCUGCUCGAGAGACUGCUUGGGCAGCCAGUUGGGGUUGCCCUGAUUGCGAUGCUUUCGUGGAGGGCCGGCUUUGGAAGCCGACGCCUCGCCAUCCAUGUUGGCCACUAGCUUGUUGUUGGCCAUCUGAUCCGCCUUGCGCUUGUAGUUGUUCUGGCCGCCUCGGUUGUCCCCAGCCGGCUUGGCAGUAGCCGACGCAGGCACAACCUUGUCCGAGGCGGUCAUCUUGAUGCCCAUUGCGGAGUCGGCCGUGGCGUACUUGUCCGCCUUGGCCAUGAGCACCGCCAAGGAGGUGGGCUCGGCGCACAUGAGCUUGUGCUUGAGGAGGGUGCCGUCUCGGCAUCCGUCGAUGAAGUACUGUAUGGCUUGUACCUCAUGCACCCCCUCACAGGAGUUGCGGAGCUCGGUCCACCGGGUGACGUAGUCGCGGAGGGGUUCGUCGGCCUUCUGGACGCACAUGGCCAGCUCGCGAGGCCCGCGAGGGCGCUUGUAGGUGCCGGUGAAGUUGCGGACGAACGCCUCCUCGAAGUCCACCCAGGAGUUGACACUGCCGGCCGGGAGGCUGUUAAGCCAAGUCCGGGCCGAGCCGGCCAAUAUGAGUGGCACGUAGCGAACCGUACGCGCUUGUUGCCCCUGGCGAUGCCUACGGCCGUAGUGUAGUCGAUCAGCCAGCCUUCUGGCUUGGCCGUGCUGUUGUACUUCGACGUAUCCCGAGGCAGGGUGAAACCUCCGGGGAACGGCUCCCCUCGGAUCCGGGGGCCGAAAUAAGCCGGACCGACGGGUCCGUCUUCCUCUAGGAGGGUCAAAUGGGCCAGGGCGAUGAUACGCUGGCGGGCGUCCCGCUCGUCCUGGGAAGCGGGAGCACCAGCCCCGGUGGCGAGAGGGGAGGCUCCUCGAGAGCCGGAGGCAUGAGUUCUUCGCGGGGGAAGAUCCCCGUACUCCGAGUCGCCCUCGUCGCCUCCGCGACGUAAGCCCGAGGUUUGCUCGCUCUGGUGCUGCGAGCGCCGUCCUUGGCUUCCCUCGCCCGUCCAGCCGGAAGGGUGAUGCGAGGAAGAUCCUUCGGCGUGGUGCUGGCCGCUAGGGUCGCGAUGAGCCCCCGAGUUCGGCCUGGGGGACUCUGAAUAAGCCUGGCCGGGGUCGAACCGAGCGUGCUGCUGGUUAGCGUCGUCAAGGAGAUCCUUGACAUGCUUCUCCUGGAAGGCGUGCUCCUCGCCCUCCAGGAUUGCCAUCUCCUCCGUGGCCGCCUGCGCCGCCCGCAUGUUGGCCGCAGGAGUCUCGUAGGUGGGCAGGUCCCCGCCUAGAACCUCAGCGACGAACUGUCCGCGGCUGCGGACCGAUCCAAGCCGGCUGGGGUCUCGGGAAUCGGAGUAAGACCGUAUGCGGAGUUAUACUCACGAUGUGUGGCCUCCAACCGACGUUUCGCCGAGGCCACGGCGAUGCCCUCCUCCAAGAUGCGCUUGUGAGCCUCCACAAGUGAGGCCCGAGCGUCUGUUGGAUCGGCGGAAGCGGCGACCGGUGUCUUCAGGCCGGCGAUGGCGUCCUGAAGAGUGUCGGCGGCGGCCGCAGCGGGCUCGCCAGCACCUGCGGAGGCCUUGCCGGGAGCCGUGCUGGUGCCAGCGCCGAUAACCAUCACCUCCACGGUGUUGGAGACGGCAGCGACGUGGUGUGGGGUGAAGAACCCCACCGACGGUGGAGGGCCGUCGAAGAUGAGGACGUUACUGGGGUAAACGUCGAGGGCAUGCAUCUCUGCGAUAGAGAGCCCGCUGAAGCUGGCGCAGAGCGCCUCAACGUCGUAGUCCUCGCCGAAGUAGCGCGGGCCGUCGUUGAGGCGAAGGUCGCUGAAGAGAACGCAGAGGUUGUCCAUAGCAGCGACGACGAUGCUAGGAAGUGCCUCGUCAUCAGAACCUUCUUCCGAAUCCGCAUGGCGGACGGGGACGUCGAUCAUCAUGGGCGUCGCCUCGUCGAAAGAGAGGUUCACGGGCAUGCAAACUGAUCCGGAUGCGGUGCAUCCGGUGGUGUAGGUGCGGGGCCCCGCCCAGCGCGUGAAGCCAGCCGAUGUCGCGAUCGGCCCCACGGUGGGUGCCAAAUGUCGGUGAAUACUCACAACAUAUGCCAUAGGUAGGCUAAAGUCAGUGAGAACCGAAGGGACAAAGGUGGGCGCUGGGAACGAGGUUGGUACACGCAUGGGACGCACGAUGUACCCAGGUUCAGGGCUCUCCGUAGUCGAACCCGCCGACCUACAAUAUGGAUAAAAGGUACAGGCAUGGGACCCGGCUGGCGGCUUCGCAGGCUAGCCAGGGGCCCACAGGGGUCUUGUCUUGUCGAUGAGGGGCCCGCCGGCUGCAUGGUCUCGAUUGCUGGUGGGACCCGCCGGCUGGCCAAUGGGGUUCCCGCGUAAGGUUGACGUUGAGCACGCGCUGUACGUCGAGCGUCACCCCGCGAGAUUCUUCAUGGGCAGGCUGUACGACCACCUCCACUGUUCCCCACACCGACUGCAGUAAUGGAGUGGGAGUGUGACGGUCCGACAUCAAGCUAGGUGAUGGAUCAGAGCCGCGGUAGGUCAGCGGCGUGGCCGCCAACGCUCGUACCUGUCGGGCGCCCCGAUCCAGUACCUUUGCUGACGUGUAGCUACCUUUAAUCGUGAUGUCCUUUCCUGACCUAUGAUCUGAUGUGACUGGUGAUCCUCGGCCGGCUAGCCUGCUUGGUUAGCCGGCUCGCGGGUGGCCGCCUCGUCCCCAGUCCGGCUGGCAGGACCAGGCCGGCUCUGAAGGGGAGGCCGCCUACAUUCUAGCCGGCAGGGGAUGCCAGGCCGUCUAGAAAGGUGGCCGCCUCGUCUUCCAGCCGGCAGGAAAUGCCUAGCCGGUCAGAAGACUUGGGCCUUGGGAAUCUCCAUAUCUUCAUGUCCAUUGGGCCGGAAAUGAAGGAGCAGGCUUGAUGAGCCUACCCCAGGGUUAUCCCCCCGACAAUCAGCAUUGAAAUUUUCUUGUUCAAUAACAAAGUUAUCAAAUUCAUCCAAGCAUUGGCUAGCUGACUUAUUAUAAGGAAUAUCACCUUCAUCAAAUCUACGAAGAGAAUUUACCUCUACUACUUGUGUUGGGUUAUCAAGACCAUGUAUUUCUUCAAUAGGCGGUAGAUUCUUAACAUCUUCAACUUCAAUACCUUUUUCUUUCAUAGAUUUCUUUGCCUCGUGCAUAUCUUCAUGACCGAGGAAUAAAAUACCUAUUUUCUUCAUAGUUGGUUUUGGAGGUGGUUCGGGAAUAGUCCAAUCAUUAUCAUUGCUCAAUAUAUUAUUCAGUUGCAGUCCAGCUUGUUCAACAGUCCGUUCCCUAAAAACACAACCAACACAACUAUCUAGGUGGUCCCUAGAAGCAUCGGUUAGUCCAUUAUAAAAGAUAUCAAGUGUUUCAUUUUUCUUGAGAGCGUGAUCAGGCAAAGAAUUAAGUAACUGGAGAAUCCCCCCAAGCUUUUGGGAGACCCUCUUCUUCAAUUUGCACAAAGUUAAAUAUUUCAUGCAAGGCAGCUUGUUUCUCAUGGGCCGGAAAAUAUUUUUCACAGAAGUAGUAAAUCGUAUCCUGGGGACUACGCACACAAUCAGGAGCAAGAGAAUUGAACCAUAUCUUUGCAUCACCCUUUAAUGAGAACGGAAACAACUUGAGAAUAUAGUAAUAACGAAUUUUUUCCUCAUGAGUAAAUAGGGUGGCUAUAUCAUUCAAUUUAGUAAGGUGUGCCACAAUAGUUUCAGUUUCAAACCAUAAAAAGGAUCAGAUUCUACCAAAGUAAUUAACUCACGAUAGACAGAGAAUUCAUAAUCCUUAUUAGUAACAUAGAUAGGUGAAGUAGCAAACUUGGGAUCAUAUUGCAUUCUAGCGUUCAAAGAUUUUUCCUUCCACUUGCAUAGAAAUUUCUUAAGAUCAUCUCUAUCCUUACAAGCAAGAAAGUCCCUAGAUACUUAUCCUUCCAUAACAUAACCCUCACGUAUAUCAAGCAAUUCAUAUCUAGGAGACCUAGGUCUAGCGGGUGAAUCACAGUGUUCAGUUUCAGCAGAUUCAACAAUAUUAUCAGUUUCAGCAUUCACUCUAGGAAUUUGUUCAUCAAGAAAUUCACCAAGUGGCACAAUAGUAUCAAGAAAAGUAUCAUCAUAAGCAUCAUGCAUAGCAGAAGUAGCAUCAUCAGUUACUAGCGACAUAUCAGAUUCAGUAGCAGGUGGCGGUGUCGCAAAUUUACUCAUAACAGACGGUGAAUCAAGUGUAGAGCAAGAUGACAGUUCUUUACCCGCCCUCAUAGUUGAGGAGUAGAUCUUGGUCUUAGCAUCUUUCAGAUUCUUCAUUGUGAUCAACAAAUAUAAAUUCCAAGUGACUCAGAGAGUAAGGCUAUGCUCCCUCGCAACGGCGCCAGAAAAAGGUCUUGAUAACCCAUAAGUAUAGGGGACCGCAACAGUUUUCGAGGGUAGAGUAUUCAACCCAAAUUUAUUGAUUCGACACAAGGGGAGCCAAAGAAUAUUCUCGAGUAUUAGUAGUUGAGUUGUCAAUUCAACCACACCUGAAAGAUUUAAUAUCUGCAACAAAGUAUUUAGUAGCAAAGUAGUAUGGAAGUAACGGUAACUGUGGCAAACGUGAGAGUAGCUGUUUUGUAGUGAUUGUAACAAUAGCAACAGAAAAGUAACUUAGCAAAGACCAAUAUGUGGAAAGCUCGUAGGCAAUUGAUCGGUGAUGGAUAAUUUUUUCGGGGUGCAUUCAUCAUGCAACAGUAAUAACAUAGGGUGAUACAGAACUAGCUCCAAUUCAUCAAUGUAAUGUAGGCAUGUAUUCCAUAUAUAGUCAUACGUGCUUAUGGAAAAGAACUUGCAUGCCAUCUUUUGUCCUACUCUCCUGUGGCACCGGGUUCCUAAUGGAAACUAAGGGAUAUUAAGGCCUCCUUUUAAUAGACAACCGGACCAAAGCAUUACCACUUAGUGAAUACAUGAACUCCUCGAACUACGAUAAUCACCGAAAAGAAUCCUAGUUAUUGUCACCCUCGGGGAUGUGGAUCAUAAAUCGUAAUAGGUGUCUACAACUUGCAAGAUAGAGUCAAGAACACAUAUAUAUAAUCAUGAAAACAUAAUUGAUUCAGAUCUAAAAUCAUGGCACUCGGGCCCUAGUGACAAGUAUUAAGCAUAGCGAAGUCAUAGCAACAUCAAUCUUAGAACAUAAUGGAUACUAGGGAUCAAAACCUAACAAAACUAACUCGACUACAUGAUAGAUCUCAUCCAACCCAUCACCGCCGGGCAAGCCUACGAUGGAAUUACUCAUGAACGAUGGAGAGCAGCAUGAAAUUGGUGAUGAAGGAUGGUUGGUGAUGAUGACGUUGUCGAUUUCCCCUCUCCGGAGCACAAAUCAGACUCGAGAUCUGCCCUCCCAAGGAAGAACAGGAGGUGGCGACGACUUCGUAUCAUAAAACGCAAUGAACUCUUCUCCUUGAUUUUUUUCCAUCCUGGAUAGGAAUAUAUAGAAGUGGAAACGAUGUCGGUGGAGCCUCAGGGACCCCACAAGCUGGGGGCGCAACAUAGGGGGGCGCCCUACAGGCUUGUGGCCAGGGGGUGUCCCCUCUCCGGUAGAUUCUUUCGCCGGUAUUUUUUACUAAUUCCAGAGACGUUCUCCGUAAAUUUUCAAGUCAAUCUGAGAACUUUUAUUUCUGCACAAAAAUAGCACCAAGGCAAUUCUGCUGAAAACAACGUCAGUCCCGGUUAGUUCCAUUCAAAUCAUGCAAAUUAAAUUCUAAAACAAGGGCAAACGAGUUUGGAAAAGUAGAUACGUUGGAGACGUAUCAACGUACAAGGACAAUGCUGCAGUGACAACACCGGCAACAAUGACAGCGGCGGCGACGGCGGUGAAACAUUAGCCGCGUCCUUCACAAGACAACCAUGGCAAACACAUGUGGGACAACAACGACCCCGGGCGAUGUGCGGACAAGACCCUUGUGCGUCACUCCCAAGACGCACAGGGCCAAUCUCAUCACCAACCUCCUGGCAAAAUUAGACAACGUACAUCAGGAAGGGGCAGCACUCGUGCUGACAGUGUGAGAAGCAAGAGCGAUUCCCACACCUCACAUCACACCAUGCCAAAAACUAUGGAGGAGGCUAUAGCGCAAGCCCAAGUGUUGCUCGACUUUCUGCCUGCACCGGAGAACAUGGAGGGUUGGAGGGACACCAUCCACAGCCAGCUAAGCUUCACUAACCGUGACAAGCCAGAUGCAUCGGCGCCCUCAUGGAAACGCCAUACAGAGCCAACAAAACGUGCUACUGGGCGCACCGCUGGCAGAGCACCCACAUUGUAGUCACCUCUAGAGCAUCAACAACCAUCCCGCCAAAUGGAUGUGCAAGACGAGAUGUCUUGUGAAUUAUUGGACCCAUGACAACAACAAUAUCAGCAUCAAGUCUUGAAGGAAUGAUGGAAGGACGAUGCCCACACCACCACCGAACGGCGACUGGAGGCCCAACAUCAAUCGAAUGACCGUGUCAGACCAAGCAUCGACGACCCUGCGCUAGACGUUCCCGGUAGCCUACCUUACGAGAUAGGCUUCUCAACAUUCAUCCGUCGGCUGCGGCAGGUCCGCUCACCCUCCACCAAGGCCUUCAAUCCUGACUUGCUAGAAAAGUAUGACAGAAAGAUCAGCCCCUUAGAGUUCCUCGGCAUUUACACCAUCGUGGUGCAGGAUGCCAGGGGACACGACGAGAAAGUGUUUGCCAACUACUUCCCAUUGGCGCUCAAGACCAAUGUGAGGAGUUGGCUGAUGAAAUUGUGAGAAGGAUCCAUAUCUUCUUGGGUGGAUCUAUGCAACAAGUUUGUUGGCGCAUACCAUGAGGGCCACAAGUUCCCGGGGCAGCCGAGCGACUUGCAUGUGCUUCCCUAGAGGGAUGGUGGAUCCCUUCGCAAGUAUAUUAAAAGGUUUAGCCGUGUGCAUCACAACAUCCCCGACAUCCAUCCUGCCGCAAUGUCUGUCGUGUUCCAUACGAACAUGCGCAAUGGGCGGAUGCAUGAGGACAUGAGCAUCAACAAGGUGCGUGAUAUCGUUGCUAAAUGCGCACAUGCUGAGGUAGGGAGAAGACUUCUCAGAGAGGAUGCUGGUGUAGAGGUUAACACAAACGAUGAAGACGCGUCCAAAUCCAAGAAGAAGGACCAUAAGCGCAAUCGCAAGCGCAAAGGCAAGACCGUUAUGGCAAUCGAAGGCUCUGGCAACUCAAAUGCCGACAAGAAAGCCAAGACCGAGGGCUCUGGCACAGAGGUUGUCGCGUGCUCCGGCGAUGACAAAGACGCAACAAGAGAGAAGAACGACAUGCCAUACUGCAAGAUCCACCUCACCAAGGGUCACAACAUCACCUAGUGACACCAAGUUGAGUAGCUUGCUGAGAAGCAGAAGCAAGAGUAUGAGAUGCAGGACAAGGAGAAGGGCCAAGAUGGUGCCGGUGAUUCUGGUAAGAAGAACCAUGGCGGACGUGGUGGUCGUCGCGGCAAGGCCAAGCAACAGAAGGAGAAGCCUGCUAGAGGUCGCAAUAAGAAGUCUGCUGAUGAGGACAGUGUGGACGAGGAUGAAGAAGGAUGUGAGGGCCAAGAGUUCCAGAAGGCAGUAGAUACCAUGUGCAUUGACGGAGGCGCAUCUUUGCACUCCUCUCACUGGUAGUUCAAGCAAUGCACCCGUGAGAUCAAUGCAGAAGAACUGGCAUUGGAGGUACAGAAGCCCCUCAAUUGGUCCAACACACCCAUCAUCUUCGAUGCCGAAGAUCACCCUGGUCGUAUUAUUGCCAUCGGGUGUUUGUUGUUGUUGGUUUCACGAAUGGUUCUCAAUAUCCACGUGACAAAGAUGUUGGUUGACAGUGGGGUCGGCUUGAACUUGACAUCGCCUAACAUGAUCAAGAGGCUACAGAUCCCUCACACAGAUCUCAAACCCAUGGGGAUAUUUCAGGGGAACAACCCCGGAAGAAGGCAACCAAAGGGAAAGAUCACCAUGCUGGUGAUGUUCGGCAGCAAGCUCAAUUUCAGGAUAGAGAAAGUUACAUUAGAUGUCACUAAGAUACCACUCUCGUGCAAUGGAUUCCUCAUCCGCCUUGCACUGGCGAAGUUCAUGGAGGCCUUGCACUACGCCUACAAAACAGUGAAGAUGCCAGGGCUGAUGGGCAUCAUCACAGUCCAUGCUGACAAGAAAAACAUAGUACCCUCCAUCGAUAAACUCUACCGGGAGGCAGUGGCAAUAUCUGCCGACAAGGAACCUACUCCUGUCAUUAAAGCUCCCGGGGGGGAUAAGAACAAGAGUUCGGGCAAGACCUCUAGCGAGGACCCCGGGAUGCACACUACAGAGUGCAGCACGCCCGACGAGGAUUUUUCUGAGAGCUUUGCCACCAAGAGAAAGAAGAGCAAGCUGACCAUCCCCAAGACGAAGCAAGUGGAUGCACACGAGGACGUUGAGGGAGGCACUUUCACCAUAAGUGCCCACCUCAAGAGCAAAUAGGAAAGCACGAUCAUCUCCUUCGUGCGGGCGAAUGUCGAUGUGUUUGAGCAGAAACUAUGUGACAACCCCGACGUUCCCAGGUAGGCGAAUGAGCACCACCUUGGUGCAUGUCCUCACGCACACCCCAUAAAGUAGAAGAUCAGGAAGCAAGCUCUUGAACAUCAAGAGUCUAUUGCCAAAGAGAUCAAGAAACUAGAGGCAACAGGCUUGAUUAGAGGUGUGAUCCACCCCACGUGGUUGGCAAAUCCAGUGGUAGUGCAGAAGGCAAACGGAAAGUGGAUGAUUUGUAUUGACCUUACUGAUAUCAAUAAAGCUUGUCCAAAAUACCACUUUCCCUUGUCGCGCAUUGAUCAAAUAGUGGACUCCACCGCCGGCUGCAAUAUGCUUUCCUUCCUUGAUGUCUACUCUAGUUAUCAUCGGAUUUUCAUGACGAAGGAAGAUGAAGAUAAAACCGCAUUCCUUGCCCCGUGUGGCACAUACUACUUUAAGCGUAUGCCUUUCGGGUUGAAGAGUGCUGGUUCAACAUUUCCAAGAUCCAUCCAGAUUGGUUUUGAACUACAGCUACACAGAAAUGUGGAAGCAUAUAUGGAUGAUAUAGUGGUCAAGACCAAGGACAAGGCUACACUAAUUCAAGAUUUAGAAGAAACAUUUGCAAAAUUGAGAAAGAUCAACUUGAAGCUCAACCCCGAGAAGUGUGUGUUUGGAGUCCCAUCCGGCAAGCUCCUCGGGUUCUUUGUGUCGCAGCAUGGGAUUGAAGCUAACCCCACCAAGAUAGAGCAAUUGAGCAGCUAGAGGCACCAAAGCACGUCAAGGAUGUGCGUCGCUUGGCGGGUUACAUCACCGCCCUCAGCAUAUUCAUUUCUAAGUCUACGGAACACGCCCUGUCGUUUUUCAAAAGUUUGAAAAAGGCAGGUCCAAUGAAAUGGACUUCGGAAGCGGAGGCAUUGCUGCAGGAGUUGAAGAAAUACAUGUUCUCAAUGCCAGUACUAGUCGCGCCUAAACCGCAAGAAUAGUUACAACUAUAUUUUGCGACAACGAAUCAAGUAGUUAGUGCUACACUCAUGGCAGAGAGGGAAGGUGAAGCUGAAGAGGCGGCAACCCCCAAACUGGCAAUCGACAAGCCCGAUUCAACCCUCGCUAACCAAGGAGUCGCUCACACAAGUACAACGCAAGAAGCAGACCAAUAUAUUGUGCAGAAGAACAAGAUGGUGGAGCCCCUAGUAUAUUUUGUCAGCUCUCUCCUCCAUGGUGCUAGAUCAAGAUAUCUAGGUGCACACAAGUUGCUUUUUGGCCUUGUCAUGGCCUCCCGGAAACUGCGCCACUAUUUCCAUGCACAUCACAUUACCGUCGUCACUUGCUUUUGUUGCAAGGCACCGAUGCCGAUGUGCUGCUUGUCGCACCCACUGGAGAGCACCUCAAGUACGUAACCAGAUGGAUUUUCCCCGGGAGGUGUGGACAAACAACACAAUUGAAUACGAAGGAGUGCUUGCCGGCCUGCGGAUAGCAGUUGAUCUUGGCAUUAGAAAGUUUAUAGUCCGAGGGGAUUCACACCUGGUUGUGUGUCAAGCGAACAAAUAUUAUCAUAUCCCUAUGUUGGAAGCAUAAGUAGAUGAAGUGAGGAAGUUAGAUGAGCAUUUUGACGAUCUACAAAUAGAGCACAUCCCACGUGCGGAAAAUAGCAUUGCUAAUGACUUGUCAAAACAAGUUGCAUAAAAGCUACAUGUGGAGCUAGGUACUUUUGUACUUCAACUGAUUGAACCGUUCAUCACACCAUCACCUCGACAGGCAGAGAAAAGAAAAUUAGUUCUGGUGACUACUUCCCGGCAAAGCUACUAGCCGGCCCCAGGAAGGUUGCCGAGGACAAUGAAGCGCUUGCCAGAGGGCGGCAAGCUCUGACAAGCCCCAUGGACCUUGCUGUACAAGCUAGCGCUCCCGCGGCGGAAGAGAUGCCUUUUGUCCUUGUCAUGGAGGCACAAGCUCUGGCAUGGGCACAACUAAUUGUCGAGUACCUUCAAACAGGAGAACUUCGCGAAGAGCAGGAAGAAGUUGAAAGAGUAGCCCGACAGUUGAACAUGUACCAAUUUGUGGACAAAAGUGUGUAUAAGAGGAGACCAAAUGGGGUGAAAUUGAAGUGCAUUUCCCGGGAAGAUGGACAAGAGUUGUUGAUGGAGGUACGUGAAGGGAUCUCUGGCUCCCACAUCGAGUCGUGUGCUCUCAUCGAAAAAGCAUUCCUUCAAGGCUUCUAUUGUUUGACAAUCCUUCAAGAUGCCUUGGUGGUGAUAACUGAUACGUCUCCAACGUAUCUAUAAUUUUUCAUGGUUCCAUGCUAUUAUCUUGUCAACUUUGGAUGUUUUUUAUGCAUGAAUGUGCUAUUUUAUAUCUUUUUUGGGACUAACCUAUUAACUCAGUGCCAAGUGCCAGUUUCUGUUUUUUCCGUGUUUUUGACCUUUUUCAGAGAAGAAUAUUAAACGGAGUCAAAACGGAAUAAAACCUGCGGAAUGAUUUUCUCCAUAACAGAAGAUACGCAGGGGACUUGAGAACCAAGGCAAAGGACCCCGGGGGAGGUCACAAGCCCCCUAGCCACGGCCUGGGGGCCGCGCCUAGCAGGCUUGUGGGCCCCCAGUGGCUCCUUUGCCCUACUUCUUCCAUCUAUAAAUUCUCUAAAAAUCCAAAACUGCCAUAGAGAGCCACAAAAAUACUUUUCCGCCGCCGCAAGCUUGUGUCUCCGCAAGAUCCCAUCUCGGGAACGUUCUGGUGCCCUAUCAGAGGGGGGAUUCGGACACGGAGGGCUUCUUCAUCAACACCAUUGCCUCUCCGAUGAUGCGUGAGUAGUUCACCACAGACCUUCGGGUCCAUAUCUAGUAGCUAGAUGGCUUCUUCUCUCUCUUGGAUCUUCAAUACAAAGUUCUCCAUGAUCUUCAUGGAGAUCUAUCCAAUGUAAUCUUCUUUUGCGGUGUGUUUGUCGAGAUCCGAUGAAUUGAGGAUUUAUGAUCAGAUUAUCUAUGAAUAUUAUUUGAGUCUCCUCUGAUCUCGGAUAUGCAUGAUUUCGUAUCCUUGUAAUUCUCUUUGAGUUGGGGGUUUUGUUUGGCCAACUUGAUCUAUAAUUCUUGCAAUGGGAGAAGUGCUUGGUUUUGGGUUCAUACCGUGCGGUGUCCUCACCCAGUGACAGAAAGGGUAGCGAGCUACACAUCGUGUUGUUGCCAUCAAGGGUAAAAAGAUGGGGUUUAAAUCUAUUGCAUGUAUUUAUCCCUCUAUAUCAUGUCAUCUUCCUUAAGGCAUUACUCUGUUUGUUAUGAACUCAAUACACUAGAUGCAUGCUGGAUAGCGGUCGAUGUGUGGAGUUAUAGUAGUAGAUGCAGACAGUAUCGGUCUACUUGUCUCGGACGUGAUGCCUAUAUGCAUGAUCAUUGCCUUAGAUAUCAUCAUGACUUUGCGCGGUUCUAUCAAUUGCUCGACAGUAAUUCGUUCACUCACAGUAAUACUUGCUAUCAUGAGAGAAGCCUCUAGUGAACACUAUGGCCGCCGGGUCUACUUCACAUCAUAUUUUCAGCUCUACCCUUUUACUUUGUUGCACUUUCCACCUUGAGAUCUCACCUUGCAAUUAAUCGUGAAGGGAUUGACAACCCCUUUUUUGCGCAGGUACAUUGGUGACUUGUCUUGAUACUCCUACUGGAUUGAUACCUUGGUUCUCAAACUGAGGGAAAUACUUACUGCUACUGUGCUGCAUCACCCUUUCCUCUUCAAGGGAAAAACCAACGCAAGCUCAAGAGGUAGCAAUAACCACAUGUGAAGCAUGCGUGUUCCACACCAAGAAAAUAAAUCAGCCAACGCAAGCCCUUCAAACAAUACCACUCUCCUAGCCCUUCUCGGUCUGGGGCCUUGACAUUGUCGGCCCUUUUCUUUGUUCUAUCGGAGGCUUCGAAUUAUUUUUCGUUGCAACUAUAAGUUUACAAAGUGGACUGAGGUGGAGCUGCUGAGAAAGGUGACAUCACAAGCAGUCGUCAAGUUUUUCAUAGGAAUAGUUUGUCGUUUCAGUGUACCCAACAUGAUCAUCACAAAUAACGAGACACAGUUCACUAGUAACACCUUCAUGCGUUGCCCCGAUAUCGGAGCCAAAAUUUUCUUCAAAUUAGUUGCUCACCCCAGAAGCAACUAUCAAUUAGAGAGAGCAAAUGUUGAAGUGUUGGAUGGCCUCAAGGCAAGAACUUUUGACAAGCUACAUAAGCAUGGAAGGCACUGCAUUGAUGAGUUGUCGGCAGUUCUUUGGUCAAUCAACAAGACACCAAAUCAAGCCAUCAAUGAGACACCCUUCUCCUUGUUUUAUGGUUCAGAGGCGGUGCUAACCACAGAACUCACCUACGGGUCACCUCGAGUGCAAGCCUUUGAUGAGGAACUACAAGAGCAAUUGCGGCAAUACAAUGCCACGCUCCUUGAGGAAGAUCGUAUUCAAGCUGCACUGUGUGCCGCUCGGUACCAGCAAGCCUUGCACCACUAUCACAACCGCAAGGUGCAUGCGAGGAGCACUGAGGAAGGCGGCCUUGUUCUUCAUCGGAUCUAGUCCACAAAGCGAUCAAACACGUUGACGCCAAAGUGGGAAGGCCCUUACCGGGUGUACGAGUCACUAGGCGUGGCGUGGUCUGCUUAAAGACCGAGGAUGGCACUCCGGUGCAAAACUCCUAGAAUAUCGAGCAUCUUCGCAAGUUCUACCGGUGAGUCGCGAUUGUCGGGCCUCCUAACAACCUCUUUUGUACAAGUGUGCCGGCAAGGCAUGUAAUCCUUUCUACAAAGCCAGGCGAAGACCCUGUGCAUAAUCAAUAAAGCUAAGUUUCCACAACUUUCUGUUAGAGUACAUAUUUAUCUUAUGUAUAGUGCAUGAAAUGUUGUGAUUAUUUUAACUUGCAUGAAAUGAUCAUUGAACCGCCAAGGUUCUUAGCCUCCUCUUUUCUCUUCUUUCUUUUUCUCAAGAGAUAGGAGGAACCCUCGUGUACAUGUCUUCUCGGGGGGAGUGAUGGUAUGGAUACCUACAAAUGCGUUCAAGGUUGAUCGUUUCGCGAUCAACAUUUGUAUGAGAAACUUUCAAAAAUCUUUGUUAGAGUACAUCAAAGAAAAGCUAAGUUACAGAAACUUUCAAAAAUCUUUUUUAAAUCCAUUUUACCUUGAACGAUGUCAACAUUUGUAUGAGAAAGCCUGUACACAAAGGACCCUUGUUGAAAUUGUUUGUGCUCCUAGGUCAUUUCGAGUCUGCUCAGCAACCGAAGUAGCUGCGGCAAGGAGGACAAGGUGGUCUUACUGAUAGCAACAUCAUCGGUAGGCUGCUGAGGACCUAUUCCUAAAGCGCUCGUGGCAAAUAUGUGCGCACCAGCAAGCGUUUUUUGGCAAGCGUAGGGAUUGAAAAUUAAGUGUGAAAUUAUACAUAAGGGAAAGUAGCCAUUCAUUCUAGCAAAUUGAAUAUAUUAUAUUCAAAAGCAAAGUUGCGGUGCUAAUUCAAGACAAAUGUUUUCAAUACAUGCGCCACGGUGAUAGGAAAUUACUUGCUCAAGGUCACAUAGCCCGCCCUCUCGGAGAUAGGAGCGACAAGGGUGUUAAGGGCGUUGGUGUCAAAGCAUUUCGGUAGCUUGGAGAACGCCUUGCUCACGUAAUGGUCGGGGUUUUUGUAGGCGAUCUUCACCAAGACUUUAUGGAGAACCCCGUGGCAGAGCACUCGAGAAUCUUGAAGGAAGUUGUUCGCUCGACCUUCCUCAUGCUUCGCUAGUGCCCCGACAAGCUUCUUGAAGAAGAUGGACCGUCUUGCGCUCGCCACCUCCCUGUCAUUGUUGGAGAAGGCACAUUCCUCCAAGCCUAUAGUCGCAAGCUGGGCGGAGAGCCCGCGGAUGACGUUCACAAGUUAUUCCGUCCACAACCCAACAUUCUUCUGCAGCUCAUUGGAAGUAUAUAUGCGUGGUGGAAGCGAGAAGCUCCUUCUCCUUCUAGAGCUCUUCAAGAAGACCCCACUCCUUAGUCCCGACAGCCUUGAGGUUGUCCUCGUAGGUGCUCACCUUCACCUGUAAAUCAAUGUUGACGUCUGUGGCAGCACUCAUCUCCUUGGUGUUGUCAAAGAGCCCCACUUGUUUAUCUGCCAAGGUCUAGAGCAUUUUCUCGAUGUCAUCCUUCAGUUUCAAGACCUCCUUGUCGGAAGCGGUGAGGUUCAAUUCUAGCUGCUACAGUUUUCCUUCAAGCUCAGUCUUGGCGGACUGAGUGGCCUCGGCAACACUAAUGGCUUCCUCGAUCUUGACCGCAUGCUCCGUCGCCUCCUUCUCUAGGACAUCGUGGUGCUCCAACUUCAUCUCUUGGAUCUGCUUCUCCAAUUCAGUUCCAAGCUUGGCGGCAAGGGUCUUUUCCCAAGCGGAGAGUUCCUCUUCAUGGGAGUCCAAGUGAGCCUUGCGCACAACAAGUCCGUGUUGGCAACGAUAAUGCUCUCGUUGGUUUCCUCCAAAUCUUCUAGACCUCGAACUUCUGAUUGAUGAAUUCAGCUACAACCUUCGUAAGACCUGCUUGCCACUUGAUGAGAUCCUUGUAGCUGUAAGUAAACCAGUGAUACGUCUCCAACGUAUCUACAAUUUUUGAUUGUUCCAUGCUAUUAUAUUAACAACUUGGGAUGUCUUAUAUGCAUUCAUAUGCCAUUUUAUAUCAUUUUUGGGACUAACCUAUUAACUCAGUGCCUAGUGCCAGUUUCUGUUUUUCCGUGUUUUUGACCUUUUUCAGAAAAUAAUAUUAAACGGAGUCCAAACGGAAUAAAACCUGCGGCAUGAUUUCUUCCAUAACAGAAUAUACCCAGAAGACUUGAGAACCAAGGCAGGAGGUCUCGUGGGAGGACACAAGCUCCCUAGGCACGCCCUAGGGGGGCGCCUAGCAGGCUCGUGAGCCCCCUUGCCUCCUCUUCCCUACUUCUUUUGCUUAUAAAUUCCGAAAAAUUCCGAAACCUAAAGAGAGAGCCACGAAAAUACUUUUCCGUCGCCGCAAGCUUCUGUCUCCGCAAGAUCCCAUCUGGAGACCGUUCUGGUGCCCUGCCGGAGGAGGAUUCAGACACGGAGGGCUUCUUCAUCAACACCAUUGCCUCUCCGAUGAUGCGUGAGUAGUUCACCACAGACCUUCGGGUCCAUAGCUAGUAGCUAUAUGGCUUCUUCUCUCUCUUGGAUCUUCAGUACAAAGUUCCCCAUGAUCUUCAUGGAGAUCUAUCCGAUGUAACUUUCUUUUGCGGUGUGUUUGUCGAGAUCCGAUGAAUUGUGGAUUUAUGAUCAGAUUAUCUAUGAAUAUUAUCUGAGUCUCCUCUGAUUUCUUAUAUACAUGAUUUCGUAUCCUUGUAAUUCUCUUCGAGUUAUGGGUUUCGUUUGGCCAACUUGAUCUAUAAUUCUUGCAAUGGGAGAACUGCUUGGUUUUGGGUUCAUACCGUGCGGUGUCCUCACCUACUUACAGAAGGGGUAGCGAGGCACGCAUCGUGUUGUUGCCAUCAAAAAUAUGGGGGUUAUAUCAUAUUGCAUGAAUUUAUCCCUCUACUUCAUGUCAUCUUGCUUAAGGCGUUACUCCGUUUGUUAUGAACUUAAUACACUAGAUGCAUGCUGGAUAGCGGUCAAUGUGUGGAGUAAUAGUAGUAGAUGUAGACAGUAUCGGUCUACUUGUCCCGGACGUGAUGCCUAUAUGUAUGUUCAUUGCCUUAGAUAUCGUCAUGACUUUGCACGAUUCUAUCAAUUGCUCGAUAGUAAUUCAUUCACCCACCAUAAUACUUGCUAUCAUGAGAGAAGCCUCUAGUGAACACUAUGGCCCCCGGGUCUAUUUUACACAUCAUAUAUUCAGAUCUACAUACAAAAAUACCAAAAAUACCUUGCUGCCUUUUAUUUAUAUUUACCUUUCAUCACUAUCAGAUCUCACCUUGCAAGUAAUCGUGAAGGGAUUGACAACCCCUUUAUUGCAUUGGGUGCAAGUUUGUUUGUUUUUGCGAAGGUUCACUGGUGCCUCAUCUUGAUACUCCUACUGGAUUGAUACCUUGGUUCUCAAACUGAGGGAAAUACUUAUCUCUACUUUCCUGCAUCACCCUUUCCUCUUCAAGGGAAAAACCAAUGCAAGCUCAAGAAGUAGCAAGAAGAAUUUCUGGCGCCGUUGUCGGGGAGUAUUCAAGUGAAGCAUCUCUACCAAGUAAAUAUCGCAAACUCAUCUCUUGCAUUUACAUUAUUUGCCAUUUGCCUCUCGUUUUCCUCUCCCCCACUUCUGAAAAACAAAAUUUACAAAAAUAUUUGCCUUUUUCGUUCGCCCUUUCUUUUGCUUGCUUUCUGUUUGCUUGUGUGCUUGUCCGCUUGCUAAGUCACCAUGUCUGAAAAAACUAAAUUGUGUGACUUCUCCAAUACUAAUAACAAUGAUUUUAUGUAGCGACCCGACUCAAGACGAGUCAAGCCUCUGUGUUUCUGUGCCAUCCCUGGAUCAGUAUGCUGGCACACACAGUACAUCAAUGUAUAUAUCAAAGUGCAAUCACAUGUAAAAUAGCGUAAAACUGAUAUAUACCUUAAAUAUCUCAGUGGAAGCGGUCAAGGGAGUGGAGUCCCAAUAAACACCAACGGCAAGUUGAGUGUAGACCGUAACCCUGAAUCGUACUCUUACUCGUCGAAGAAAAUAUCUGCAACAUAAGACGUUGCAGCCGUGUAGGUCAGCAUAUUGAAUAUGCCGGCAAGUCACAUAAGAGAGGGGUGAAAAGUAAUCAUCUAUACUAUAUGCAUAUAUGGCAGGUGGGGCUAUAAGUUUUUAGCGAAAAGCAAGUUUUCUCCUACAUCAAGAGGGGCUAAAAGAAAAAUGUUACUACAUUGUUGGUUGUUAACGAGAUGGUUCCGCCAACCAGUUCUCGUACCCGAGUUGUCAAUAAUUACCCUCAUCAAAUAUAUUUAAUGGUGUUGAGAAAUCCAGAUAACUUCAGUUCCUUUGGCUCAAGUUGUCCAUGACCGUGGACACGGCUAAUCGAUUAGGUUUGAGUACUCUGCAGAGUUUUGCACACGUUCCCCACAAGAUUUGAUCGCCUCCGAGUAUGUCCUCGCACUUCAGGGUGUUUGAAGACCGGAUGAUCAAAACAUGGUCUUUCAACGGGUCCCUCUGAAUCCCUGUCGGUGCCCAUCCAAUCCUACCGUUCUUCUACAUCUGCUAGCACCGCCUGUCCAGAGUCGCCGCGUUGUCCAACCAAGCCAGAGCCCAUAAUGACUUGUGGCUGUGCAGGUAAGCCUUGGGUCUUGAAAAUAUCCGUCCGUCUCUUUGAGCCUGGGUGAAGCUUUCCGCAGGAUGACAUGGCCUCUCCAGCAUCCCGGGCAUCCACUGGGUUUUCCAGGGAGCCGAUCAACCGUCCUUCACCCAGUGUUGCAUUGCGUCCGAGGUCUUGAAAAUCUUGUCUUAGUCCGGUCUUGAUUAUUAUAUCAACCUCGCAUCACUCGUGGUAUACACUCAACCGAUAACCCGUCUACUUAAGCAUAGCAAAUAUAACAUUGUCGUCCCGGGGCCAAGUGUCGGGGUUGUUGUGUUCCUACCACAUGAUACUACAACUUACACUAAAGUUUCCAAGUACCUAGGCAGCAUGCAAUUGGGCAAAGAAGGUGAUCUACCAUGCAAUGAAAACAUAGGUAAAAUAUGAUCAAAGUGACUUGCCUGGUAUUACUUGAUGAAGAUAGUCGCUCUCAAAAUCCUGAUAAUUCUACUCGCCACACUCCGAGCAAUCUAUCGUAAACAAAUAGCAUUCAAUAAACAUUCAUGCCAAAAAGGAAGAACCAAGAGAACAUAAGAACAAAGCAUGUCUUGGUACAAAAUAACAACGUACUAAGGUUUAAUAAAAAAAUAUAGGGCCUUAUGGUGUUGUAAAAGGUACGAUGAAAGGGGUCAACUCAAAAGAGUCAAAGGAUGAUCAACUAUCGGUAUAUAAGCUCGACUUGCAUACACUAUGGGAGAUGAUAAAAAAUAUUGGGAGAACAACAUGAAUGUUGUUUGACAAAUAGUAUAAGACAUAAGAAUUUAUUUGUAGAAAGAAUUUCUUGAAAUGGAGCACUACAACGCAAGUUAUAGCGAAUUGAAGUAUGAAUUGAAUUUGCAUUCAAAAGGUCAAGAGAAGUUGAACUGAAGUACGAUGGUUACGUACAAAAAUAUAUGACAUGAGUGUUUAGGGGUAAAAGGAAUCAAUUGAAAAGGUGGUACGAUUUGCAAGAUAAGAUCAAAUGAAUGUUCGAAUACAAAUUUGAAUCGCUCAAAUUUGUAAGGUUCAAAGGUCGAAACUAAUGAUGCUACUGGAUAUAGGAGAUCAAUAUGAGCGUGUAGAAAAAAGAAUUACUAGAUUUGAACUAGCGGAUCAAAAGAUACAAAUACGUCAAUAUAACAUUGAAUCGGCUUAGAACGAUGUGAAAACUUUUGGGCACUAAUAGAUAAAUCUGAUUUGAUCAAAAUUAUAAGUUGAAAAGUUAAAACUAAUGAUACAAACGGAAUGAUUACUUUGAUACGAAUCCGACGCAAUUGAAUUCAUCUAAGACGGAGCUACGGAUAAAAAGAUAUGAUCAAAAGAAGUUUGAAUAUGAAUAUGAACAAAUUUCGAAAUUUGAAAAUUUCGAAAAAGUUGAUAUGAUAGGUUCAUCGGAUAGGUGGGAUCAAGACGAAACUCUAGGCGUUGGUUUCAUCUAAUUCGGAUAAACGAGUAAAAAGUUAUGGCUAUUUGAAAAAUCAGGGCCAAGCUGUUUUACGGAAGAAAAGUGCUAUGUCUAAAAGAAUUCUAGUACUAAUGUGGAAAUACAAAGACUAAUUAAUAUAUCUAAUUACUCUACCGUAUACUAGUGUAGGAAUACUAAUCUAGAAAUAAUAAACUACGGGAGUAUAUAAAAAAAAAUACGAAGAAAAAUACCUUUAGAAUGCAGAGUAAGAAUUAAUUCCAAUGAGGAGACGACUUCGAGAAAUCCCGCCGAAGAGAAGAAAAAUAUAUUUUUAUUUAAUAAAUCUAGUUAAACCAAAAGAUUGAUUUAACCCGAAAUAGAUGAUUUUUUGGAUGCUCCUAUGGGUCUAUAUUUAUAGGUGGAAGGGAGGUCUAAUGGUCCAUAGAUAGGCAAUGUGGGACUAAACAUAUACGUAACGUGGAGAGAAAAUAAAAAGAAAGGAAGAGGGGUGCCGCAUGGGCCAAAGAGUUUCGGCCAGCCACAUGAGCAGGUUACCGCCGGCCGUGGCCUUUUUUUUUUGCGAACGAAUUUUUUUUAAAACAAAGAAGAAAAACGUAUAAAUGAAAAAGAAAGAACAUUUUAUAUAGACAUAUUAUAUAUCAAAAUUUUCAGAAUAAAAUUUUCUAAAACAUGAACAUAUUUUUAAAACCAAAAAAAUACUUUUUAAAAAAAUAUUUUUUUGCAAUAACUUUAAAAUGAAAAGGAAUUUGAAUUUCAAAUAAAUUGCAAAUACUUAAAAUUUGAAUCAAGACAUUGUCUCUGAUUUUGGAGGGUCAUUUUCCUCCUCUCGUUUGAUUUUUUUUUAAUCAAAGGGUUUGAAAAUAUUCAAACUCAAAAUUGAAAAGGGAUUCAAAAUAGAAAAUUUUGGGAAAGUCAUUUUAUUCCCUCUCAUUUGUUUGAGAAGUUUCAAAUUCCACUCAAGUUUCAAUCACUCAAACAAACAAACAAACAAUCUAAUAAUUAUAUUAACAUUCCAAAAUUUAUUAUUUUGGGAUGUUACAUUUUAUUAGAACUCCAAUUGCUCCUGUCACUAGUGCGGAAUCAUAUGAAACUAAUGCUACCUUCUUGAAUCUUGUUAUGAAAGAGCAAUUUUCCGGCCUUCCUAGUAAAGAUGCCGCAUCCCAUCUUAAUACCUUUAUUGAGUUAUGCGAUAUGCAAAAGAACAAAGAUGUGGAAAAUGAUAUGAUUAAAUUGAAGCUAUUUCAGUUCUCAUUACGAGAUCGAGCAAAAACUUGGUUUUCAUCUUUACACAAAAAUAGCAUUGAUUCAUGGAACAAGUGUAAAGAUGCCUUUAUUUCCAAGUAUUUUCCACCAGCUAAGAUUAUCUCUCUCCGUAAUGAUAUCAUGAAUUUUAAGCUACUAGAUCAUGAACAUGUGGCACAAUCUUGGGAGAGAAUGAAAUUGAUUAUUAGAAAUUGUCCCGCUCAUGGCCUGAGUCUUUGGAUGAUUAUACAAAUUUUCUAUGCUGGUUUGAAUUUUUCUUCUAGAAAUAUCUUGGAUUCCUCCUUUGGUGGAACUUUUAUGGAAAUCACACUAGGAGAAGCUACAAAACUCCUAGAUAAUAUCAUGACAAAUUAUUCUCAAUGGCACACUGAAAGGUCACCUACUAGUAAAAAAGUUCAUGCUAUAGAAGAAAUUAACUCUUUGAGUGCUAAGAUGGAUGACUUAAUGAAGUUGUUUGCUAGUAAAAGUGCUCCUCUAGAUCCAAAUGAUAUGCCUUUAUCUUCCUUGAUUGAGAAUAGAAAUGAAAACUUGGAUGUUGAUUUUGUUGGUAGGAAUAAUUUUGGUAACAACAAUGCUCAUAGAGGUAACUUUAAUCCUAGCCCUUUUCCUAGUAAUCCCUCUAAUAAUUUUGGCAAUUCCUACAACAAUGCUCAUGGAAAUUAUAAUAAAGUACCCUCUGAUCUUGAGAGUAAUAUGAAGGAGUUUAUUACUUCGCAAAAGAUUUUCAAUGCUUCCAUAGAAGAAAAACUGCUUAAAAUUGAUGACUUGGCUAGGGCUGUUGAUAGAAUGUCUCUUGAUAUUGAUGCUUUGAAAUCGAGAUGUGUUCCUCCCAAGAUUAAUAUGGAUGAAACUUUGAAAGCUAUGUGUGUUUCCAUGAAUGAGAGUAAAGAAAGAACCGCCCAAAUUUGUGCUAGACAUGAAUGGCUUCAAAAGGCAUGUUCUCUUGAUGAGAAUCACGAAGAUCUUAAAGUGCUUGGUGUGACUCCUAUUGAAUCCUUGUUUUCUAAUGUCAAUCCUAAUGAUGACGGGGCUGGAUGUGAAUCCACUUUGGUUGAGAAACACCCCAAUGAUUUGGAGUCUAUUUAUCUAGAUGCUAAAAACACCAUAAGUGGAGUAGAGGAUAUCAAAACUUUGAGUAGUGAUGAAACUACUACUUUGGAUUUCAAGGAAUUUAAUUAUGAUAGUUGCUCUUUGAUUGAAUGUAUUUCCUUGAUGCAAUCCAUGCUAAACUCUCCACAUGCUUAUAGCCAAAAUAAGGCUUUUACCAAUCAUAUCGUUGAUGCUAUAAUGAAGUCUCUUGAAGAGAAACUUGAGUUGGAAAUAUCUAUUCCUAGAAAACUUCAUGAUGAGUGGGAACCUACUAUACAAAUCAAGAUUAAAAAUUAUGAAUGCCCUGCUUUGUAUGAUUUGUGUGCUAGUGUUUCCACAAUUCCAAAAUCUUUAUGUGAUGUUCUAGGUUUCAGUGAGAUUGAUGAGUGCUCUCUUAAUUUGCAUCUUGCAGAUUCUACUAUUAAGAAACCUAUGGGAAGGAUCAAUAAUGUUCUUAUUAUUGCAAAUAGGAACUAUGUUCCCGUAGAUUUCAUUGUGCUUGAUAUUGAUUGUAAUCCGACAUGUCCCAUUAUUCUUGGUAGACCUUUCCUUAGGACUAUUGGUGUUGUUAUUGAUAUGAAGGAAGGGAAUAUUAAAUUUCAAUUUCCAUUAAAGGAGGGCAUGGAACACUUUCCUAGAAAGAAAAUAAGAAUGCCCUAUGAAUCCAUUAUGAGAGCUACUUAUGGUUUGAGCACUAAAGAUGAUGAUACUUGAUUCUAUUGCCUUAUGCCUAGCUAAGGGCGUUAAACGAUAUCGUUUGUUGGGAGGCAACCCAAUGAAUAAAUUUAUUUUUUCUUUUCACUUUCUGUUUUGUUGAGUCCACACCAUCAUUAUUCUGUUAUGAUUGUGUUUUUUAUGUUUCAAUUAGUGUUUGUGCCAAGUAGAACCUUUAUGAUUAGUUUUGGUGAUAGUUGUUUAAUCAUGCUAAAAAAGACAGAAACUUUGUGCUCAUGAAAUUAUUUUUAGUUCCUAUCAAUAAAAAGCUUUGGAGUUGAUUAUUUUGCUGCUGAUUUACAUGCAAAUUUCCCUAAUUGACAUAAUUUCACAGAAUUUUUGGGAUAGCAGAGGUAUACGAAAUAUACAGAUUGCCUCAGAUUGUUCUGUUUUUGACAGAUUUUGUUUUUGUUGUGUUGAUUACUUAUUUUUAUGAAACUAUGGUUAGUAUCGGGGGGUACGAGCCAUGGAAAAGUGAGAAUACAGUAAUAUAACACCAAUCUAAAUGGAAAUCAAGUUUACUAUAGUACCUAAAAAGUUGGUGGUUUGUUUUCUUAUGCUAAUGAUAUCACGAGUUUCUGUUUAAGUUUUGUGUAGUCAAGUUUUCAAGUUUUGGGUGAUGUUCUUAUGGACAAUGGAAUAAAGAGUGGAAAGAGCCUAAGCUUGGGUAUGCCCAAGUCAUCCCAAGUUCAAUUCAAGGACACCAAAAAGUCUAAGCUUGGGGAUGCCCCGGGAAGGCAUCCCCUCUUUCGUCUUCAAUCCAUCAGUAACGUUACAUGGAGCUAUAUUUUUAUUCACCACAUGAUAUGUGUUUUGCUUGGAGCAUCGUGUAUUAUAGGAUUCUUUGCUUUUUGUUUUAUCACUAUCAUCCUUGAUGCACACCUUUUUUAGAGGGACAUGCACUCAUCGUGAAUUUGUUAGAAUGCUCAAUGAGCUUCACUUAUAUCUUUUGAGCUAGGCAAUUUAGCUCCCAUGAGCUUCACUUAUAUCUUUUGAGCUAGAUAAUUUUGCUCCCAUGAGCUUCACUUAUAUCUUUUGAGCUAGAUAAUUUUGCUCCCAUGAGCUUCACUUAUAUAUUUUGAGCUAGAUAAUUUUUCUCUAGUGCUUCAUUUAAAUCUUUUUAGAGCACGGCGGUGUCAUAUUUUGUAGAAACAAAAACUCUCGAUCUUCACUUAUAUCAUUUUUAGAGUGCUCUCUCUAAGUAACUUGGUAAUUGGCGUGUGUUAUGAAACUAGUCCUAAAUAUGAUAGGCAUCCAAAGAGGAUAUAAUAAAAACUUUCAUAUUCAAGUGCAUUGAUUAGUAAGAGAAUUUUGAUUCCUCACAAUUAGUUUUGAGAUAUGGCUAUGGUAAUAUUAGAGUCAUAUUAGUAGGGUGUUGUGAAUCGAGAAAUACUUGUGUUGAGGUUAGUGAUUCCCGUAGCAUGCAUGUAUGGUGAACCGCUAUGUUAGGAAGUCGGAGCACAAUUGAUUUAUUGAUUGUCAUCCUUUGUGUGGCGGUCGGGAUCGCGCGAUGGUUAACACCUACCAACCCUUCCCCUAGGAGUGUGCGUUUAGCACUUUGUUUUGAUUACUAAUAAAACUUUCGCAAUAAGUAUAUGAGUUCUUCAUGACUAAUGUGAGUCCAUGGUAUAGAUGCAGUUUCACCUUCCACCAUUGCUAGCUUGUCUAGUAUCGCGCAACUUUCGCCGGUGCACAAACCAACCAUAUACCUUCCUCAAAACAGCCACCAUACCUACCUAUUAUGGCAUUUUCAUAGCCAUUCCGAGAUAUAUUGCCAUGCAACUUCCACCGUUCCGUCUAAUGACAUGUGCCGUCAUUUUCAUUUUGCCAUUGCAUGAUCGUAAGAUAGCUAGCGAUAUGUUUCAAUGUCAUAUGCUAAGCUAGAUCGUUGCACAUCCCGGUACAUUGCCGGAGGCAUUUCACAUGGAGUCAUCAUUGCUCUAAGUAUCGAGUUGUAAGUAAAUAAAAGUGUGAUGAUCAUCAUUAUUAGAGCAUUGUCCCAUGUGAGAAACUAAAAUAAAAGAGGCCAAAGUGCCCACCAAAAAAAAUGAAAUGAAAAAAAAAGAGGCAAGAGAGCCCAAACAAAAAAUGAUGAGAGAAAAAGAGAGAAGGGACAAUGCUACUAUCUUUUUCCACACUUGUGCUUCAAAAUAGUAUCGUGUUCUUCAUGAUAGAGAGUCUCUUGUUUUUUCACUUUCAUAUACUAGUGGUAAUUUUCAUUAUAUAACUUGGCUUGUAUAUUCCAAUGAUGGGCUUCCUCAAAAUUGCCCUAGGUCCUCGUGAGCAAGCAAGUUGGGUGCACACCAACUAGUUUUAUUUUUGAGCUUUCAUACACUUAUAGCUCUAGUGCAUCCUUUGCAUGGCAAUCCCUACUCAUUCACAUUGAUAUCUAUUUAUGGGUAUCUCCAUAGCCCAUUGAUACACCGAGUCAAUGUGACCAUCUCCUCCUUUUUUCCUCACAACCUUCACCACACUCUAUUUUACCUAUAGUGCUAUAUCCAUGGCUCACGCUCAUGUAUUGCGUGAGAGUUGAAAAAGUUUGAGAAAGUAGGAGUGCGAAAACAAUUACUUGGCCAAUACCGGGGUUGUGCACGAUUCAAAUUCGUUGCGUGGAGAUGAUGGAGCAUAGCCAGACUAUAUGAUUUUGUAGGGAUAACUUUCUUUGGCCUUGUUAUUUCAAAAGUUCAUGAUUACUUUGCUAGUAUGCUUGAAGUAUUAUUGUUUUCAUGUCAAUUUUAAAAUAUUGUUUUGAAUCUUAUGGAUCUGAGAAUCAUGCCACAAUAAAUAAGUUACAAAUAACAAAUAUGUUAAGUAGCAUUCCACAUCAAAAAAUCGGUCUUUAUCACUUCCCUACUCGAGGACGAGCAGGAGUUAAGCUUGGGGAUGCUUGAUACGUCUCUAACGUAUCUAUAAUUUUUGAUUGUUCCAUGCUAUUAUAUUAUCAACUUGGGAUGUCUUAUAUGCAUUUAUAUGCCAUUUUAUAUCAUUUUUGGGACUAACCUAUUAACUCAGUGCCUAGUGUCAGUUUCUGUUUUUUUCGUGUUUUUGACUUUUUUCAGAAAAAGAAUAUUAAACGGAGUCCAAAGGGAAUAAAACCCGCAGGAUGAUUUUUUCCAUAACAGAAGAUACCCAGAAGACUUGAGAACCAAGGCAGGAGGUCUCGUGGGAGGUCACGAGCCCCAUAGGCGCGCCCUAGGGGGGCGCCUAGCAGGAUCGUGGGCCCCCCUUGCCCCCUCUGCCCUACUUAUUUCGCCUACAAAUUCUCAAAAAAUGUGAAACCUAAAGAGAGAGCCACGAAAAUACUUUUCCGCCGCCGCAAGCUUCUGUCUCCGCGAGAUCCCAUCUGGGGACCGUUCUGUUGCCCUGCCGGAGGGGGAUUCAGACACGGAGGGCUUCUUCAUCAACACCAUUGCCUCUCCGAUGAUGCGUGAGUAGUUCACCAUAGACCUUCGGGUCCAUAGCUAGUAGCUAGAUGGCUUAUUCUCUCUCUUGGAUCUUCAAUACAAAGUCCUCCAUGAUCUUCAUGGAGAUCUAUCCGAUGUAACUUUCUUUUGCGGUGUGUUUGUCGAGAUCCGAUGAACUGUGGAUUUAUGAUCAGAUUAUCUAUGAAUAUUAUCUGAGUCUCCUCUGAUUUCUUAAAUGCAUGAUUUUGUAUCCUUGUAAUUCUCUUCGAGUUAUGGGUUUCGUUUGGCCAACUUGAUCUAUAAUUCUUGCAAUGGGAGAAGUGCUUGGUUUUGGGUUCAUAUCAUGCGGUGACAGAAGGGGUAGCGAGGCACACAUCAUGUUGUUGCCAUCAAGGGUAAAAAGAUGGGGUUUAUAUCAUAUUGCAUAAAUUUAUCCCUCUACUUCAUGUCAUCUUGCUUAAGGCGUUACUCCGUUUGUUAUGAACUUAAUAUACUAGAUGCAUGCUGGAUAGCGGUCGAUGUCUGGAGUAAUAGUAGUAGAUGCAGACAGUAUCGGUCUACUUGUCUCGGAUGUAAUGCCUAUAUGUAUGAUCAUUGCCUUAGAUAUCGUCAUGACUUUGCGCGAUUCUAUCAGUUGCUCGACAGUAAUUCAUUCACCCACCGUAAUACUUGCUAUCAUGAGAGAAGCCUCUAGUGAACACUAUGGCCCCCGGGUCUAUUUUACACAUCAUAUAUUCAGAUCUACAUACAAAAAUACCAAAAAUACCUUGCUGCCUUUUAUUUAUAUUUACCUUUCAUCACUAUCAGAUCUCACCUUGCAAGUAAUCGUGAAGGGAUUGACAACCCUUUAUUGCGUCGGGUGCAAGUUUGUUUGUUUUUGUGCAGGUUCAUUGGUGCCUCAUCUUGAUACUCCUACUGGAUUGAUACCUUGGUUCUCAAACUGAGGGAAAUACUUAUCUGUACUUUGCUGCAUCACCCUUUCCUCUUCAAGGGAAAAACCAACGCAAGCUGAAGAAGUAGCAACCAGGUCUGCGUUUCGGCAAGGCAUUCCCGGAACCUGGCCUCUGCCUCAACAAGGAGAGCUUCCCCUCAGUCUAGCUUCUCCAAGUGGUUGACGUAGUGCCCGUGUAGUUCCUUGAAGUUUGUUCUCAUGGAGGACAAAAUGGUGUGCUCCUUAGCUUCAUCAUUUCCACCGAAGGGAUUGACUGACACCACUCUUACGACUGUGGCAGGUGCAUCGUCAAGAACUCCUUCUUUGGAGAAGGCCUUGAGGAUUGCAUCACCGAGGAAGCUGAUGAACUGCAUAUCGCCGACCUUGAGGUACCGAAUUGGUGGUGCCGUCUGUGAUGUCGAUGGGACGGCACCAGCUCCGCUAGCAGCCCCCGUGACGACGACCAUGCCUGUUCCUAGCGCUUCUGAGGCAGAAGUGCCCUCAGUAUAUCCCGCCACCUCCACAGAUGGCUCUUCGGCGGUUUUAUUGCCGUCUUCCUUGGCGGCCCUGCAGGCAGCCUCACCCUGUGUUGCCACCCGGCUUGCCUCUUCGGCCUUGUCCAUGGCGAUCUCCCCAGCGCUGGCAUCAAUAUUCAGAUCCUCUGGCGGGGGCAUAUCUGCAUUCCCAAGGAAGGAAAGAAGAUUGAACUUAGAAGAAAUUCAAGAAGACAAAAAAGAGGAAAGCAGAACAUAAGUUUUGCCAACAAGGGACUUAGCCAUGGGCUCCUGUUGAGGAGGAAUAUCUCCUCCUUCGACAACAUAUGUUGUCGUCGCAUGACUACCGACAGUACCGCCUACGAGUGUGUUUUAAGUGCGGAUGGGCUUGUUAGUAGAAGUCCUUGCCAGAGAGCUCCUCUCUCGAGUUGAGCGCUCGUGAGCUACUUGUAGGGACUCCAUAUCAAUUUGCACGGGGGUGUAGGUAGUGGUGCCAGCGUCCAGAUCAGUACUCUCCAUCAGGUACUGGGGAGGGGUCUCCCGUUGGGGGCUGGUAGAAAGACUGAUGACGAUGACUUCCUGCUCCAGCAGGGAGCUUGUCGUGCUCUCUGUGGUGGGAGUAGGUUUCAACCUCUUGGCCAUCCACUGUGCCAAGGCCUCCUCAUCCCCGCAAAAGCAACAAUAACAAGAUUUAGUAAAAAUCAAUACACAAGUGAAGAUCAACACAAUUGCAAGGACAAGCGCUUACUCUUCCUCCUCCUCUGACAAGCUAAAGGUAGACAAGUCCCGCAUUCCCUUAUGGCGAGCGACAGGACAGGGUGGCGGGGUAGGGGUUCUGGAGCAUGUCGCUGGGUCGGCGGAGCUCGAGGAUCCAGCCACCUUGGAAGAAGCACUUGCUACACACUUCACAACAGCCAGCCUCGUCCUCCGCGUGCAAGAGACGUUGGCGGUCGGGUCCUCCUCCUCUUCUUAUUUAGAUUGUGGUGGCGAAGAAGGGAAAACUUGUUCCUUGGUGGCGACCUUGCGGAGGACACAUGAAAGGAUUGAUAUGGUUGACUAGAGGGGGUGAAUAGGCAACUAACAAAUUUUGAAGUUUUUUUAAACAAAUUAGGUUUAGCAACAAAUAGGUUGACUAGAUAUGCAACUAAGUGAGCGACAUAUAUGAUGCUCACAACAACAAUAAUAAGCAAGAACUAAAUACAAGUAAAGGUAAGUAAUAACCACAAGUGGAACCGAUGAAGACGAGGAUGUGUUUCCAAAGCCCUUCCCUUUGAGGGGAAGUACGUCUCCGUUGGAGCGGUGUGGAGGCGCAAUGCUCCCCAAGAUGCCACUAAGGCCACUGUAUUCACCUCACGCCCUCACACAAUGUGAGGUGUCAUGAUUCCACUAAAUGGUGCCCUUGAAGGCGGCGACCGAACCUUUACAAACAAGGUUGGGGCAAUCUCCACAAAUUAAUUGGAGGCUCCCAACAAGACCACGAAGCUUCACCACAAUGGAAUAUGGCUUCAAGGUGACCUCAACCGUAUAGGGUUCUCAAACACCCAAGAGUUACAAGAUCGUAAGGGAUUAGUGGGGGAAUCAAAUUUCUCUUGGUGGAAGUGUAGAUCUAGGCCCUCCGAGUUUUGUUGGCUAGGGAGAGAGAUCAGGCUAAAAUGGAGCUCGGAGCAACAAUGGAGCUUUGGGGGGAAAAUAUUAGUAUCCACGGGGAAGAAGACCCACUUAUAUAGUGGAGGGACAAUCUGUCUGUUUUCUGCCCAAAAACUGUGCAGGAGUGGUAGUACCGCUUGGAGGAGUGGUACUUCCGCUUGCAUGAAAGAAUCAGGUCGGACAGUCAAACAGAUAGAAGAAGAGGAGCGAAAGUUUUGCUCGAGCGGUACUACCGCUCCGGUCAGCGGUACUACCACUCAGCAUAUAUAGGGAAGAAACAGAGCAGAAGUACCGCUUAGGGUGAUACUACACUACAAACUUCCGCUAAAAAACAAUUGCUAAACAGAAUCGAAAUAUCGGGAAAGUUAAGCAGAAGUUGGGACGGAUGUAGGGAGCGGCAGUACCGCGCAAGAGGUACUACCGCCCGACUCCGAGCGGCACUUCCACUUACUAAACAACAAGAUGAUAUCUCCAAAGAGAUGAGAAGGAAAGGCGGUGACGGAUGUGUACUGAAUGAUUCUCCCAACUUCUGCAAAUGUGUACCCCCUCUUGAUAGUACAGACUAUCCUACGACUCGGGUCCACCAACACUAAAUCAUACGAAGCACUCCAUCUUCUCGUUUAACAUCCGAGGGGAAGAAUAACUGUCUUGUGCCAUGUGGUAACCUCUGAAAGCUCAAAGCACAUGAUUAGUCCGCAAAGGUGUUGUCAUCAACCAUCAAAACAACUUAGGGAAGAUUAUGCUCUUACAUUCUCCCCCUUCUUGGUGGGUUGAUGACAAUACCAAAUUUGCCACAAGAAUGUAAGAGAAAGGUUAGGAAAACCCAAUACCUACAAAAUAUAGACGGGCUCCUGAUACGUCCAUUUUACAUCAUGCUUUCAUGUUGAUAUUUAUUGCUUUUUGGGCUGUUAUAUUACUUGUGGUACCAUAUUUAUGCCUUUUCUCUCUUAUUUUGCAAGGUUUAUUUGAAGAGGGAGAAUUCAGGCAGCUGGAAUUCUGGACUGGAAAAGGAGCAAAUCCUAGUCCACUAUUCUGCACAUCUCCAAAUGCCCUGAAAACUUACGUGGAUUUUUCUGGAAUAUAUUAAAAAUAUUGGGCGAAAGAACUACCAGAGGGGGGCCACCAGGGCCCCACAAGCCCCCACUCUGCCACCACCCCCCUAGUGGCGGUGGGCAAGCUUGUGGCCUGCCUGAAGGCCCACUAGCCCCCCUCUUUUUCUAUAUGAAACGUCCUGAUCUGGAAAAAAUCAGGAGGGAGCUUUUUCGUGGUUUCGCCGGCGCCACGAGGCGGAACUUCAGCAGAUCCAAUCUAGAGCUCCGGCAGGACGAUCCUGCCGGGGAAACUUCCCUCCCAGAGGGGGAAAUCGUCUCCAUCGUCAUCACCAAAACUCCUCUCGUCGGAGGGGGGCAUCUUCAUCAACAUCUUCAUCAGCACCACUUCCUAUCCAAUCCCUAGUUCAUCUCUUGUAAUCAAUCUCCGUCUCACGACUCUGAUUAGUACUUAUAAGGUUGCUAGUAGUGUUGAUUACUCUUUGUAGUUGAUGCUAGUUGGAUUACUUGGUGGAAGAGUUUAUGUUCAGAUCCUUGAUGCUAUUCAUUACACCUCUAAUCAUGAUUAUGAUUAUGUCUUGUGAGUAGUUACUUUUGUUCCUGAGGACAUGGGAUAAGUCAUGCUGAUAAUAGUCAUGUGAAUUUGAUAUUCGUUCGGUAUUUUGAUAUGAUGUUGUUGUCUUUUCCUCUAGUGGUGUUAUGUGAACGUCGACUACAUAACACUUCACCAUAUUUGGGCCUAGAGGAAGGCAUUGGGAAGUAGUAAGUAGAUGAUGGGUUGCUCGAGUGACAGAAGCUUGAACCCCAGUCUAUGGUUGCUUCGUGAGGGGCUGAUUUGGAUCCACUAGUUUAAUGCUAUGGUUAGACUUUGUCUUAAUUUUUCUUUUGUAGUUGCGGAUGCUUGAGAGAGAGGUUAAUCAUAAGUGGGAUGCUUGUCCAAGUAAGGGCAGUACCCAAGCGCCGGUCCACCCACAUAUCAAACUAUCAAAGUAACGAACGCGAAUCAUAUGAACAUGAUGAAACUAGCAUGACAGAAAUUCCCGUGUGUCCUCGCGAGCGUUUUUCCUCCUAUAGGACUUUGUUCAGGCUUGUCCCUUGCUACAAAAGGGAUUGGGCCACUUGCUGCACCGUUGCUACUACUUGUUACUUGUUACUCUUUGCUUGCUAUGUUUCACCUCGCUACACAAUCACUUGUUACCGCUACUUUCAGUGCUUGCAGUUAUUACCUUGCUGAAAUCCGUUUAUUAGAGUCUUCUGCUCCUCGUUGGGUUCGACACUCUUACUUAUCGAAAGGACUACGAUUGAUCCCCUAUACUUGUGGGUCAUCAGCUCCCCCUUGAUGUGUACUCUAUUUGAAAGCUUUUGGAAUGCAAAUAGAACACACUAGGAUCAACACCCCCCCUAUAUUUUAUAGACAAGGCUAUAUACUUGCGUGAGCAGAAGAAGAGUAAAACAAGUAAGAAAGCAUAUGAAACACGGGAUCUCACAACAUAGAGAUAAUAUACAUAAUAGGAUAGGCAUGGUAGCGUAUUUCUUACACCAUACAUAAGUUCACACGAGUCUUGGACAAACAUAAACCAAAGUUCACGAGGAAGAGAAAACACGUGCAAAUAAACACACUCGUAACUCAGCAAGGCAAAUCCCUAACUCUCCCCCUUUGGCAUUGAGACACCAAAAGGGACAAAGAGAACGAAAAGCGAGAGAAGGUGAUGACAAGCCCAAAGAGAUUAGUCUUCCUCAUCAUCAUCCUCUUCAUCAGUGGCAGCAGGAACAUCCUCAUCUAACUCAGCCCACGGAAAAUUCUUCUUGACCCAUUCCUCCUCAUCAAUAAUCAGGUCCUCAGACCCACAAUCAAUAGGCAGACCCAUCUUCCUCAUGAUGAUCUUGUCACGAGUGCGAGCUUUCUUGGAGUCCACAUGAGCCUUAUACUGCCCUUUGACUUGAAAGCACAGAAGGUUCUGCAACUUCAUCUUGAUCUUGGCUGUCCAAGAUGGAACGUGCUCAGAAGAAGGAGCAUAAGUUUCAUCAAUGUAGUCCGGCUCAGGCUCAUCAUCAGAGUCGGUGGCAGCAAUUUCUGUACCCGAGGGUGGACUGUCCCAGUUUUCCUUCAAACGGAGUUUAAGGACACCAUGAGACACCAUAUGAUCAGCCACCAUGAGCUCAUCAGGAAACGUAGCAGCCCAGGUAUCCUCAGUGAUCUUGAACAGAUAUGGCACAUAGAUGGGCACUUUCUUGCCAAGAACCGCAAUCCGAAGCUCAAUCCACAUGAUGUGGGAAACAUCCAAAGAAGAAUCACGACCUUUCUCUUUGAUGCACAUAAGCAGAAGAUUCACAAGAUAGGAGUGAACCUGAUCCUCGUUACCAACCCUAGGAAACAGGGUAUUGCGGAAGAUGCGAUGCAUAAUAACCAAAAAACAAACAAGCUUAGUGUGAGUACCCUUGGCAGCCUGGACAACCUUGGAAUAUAGAAUCAUCAUGUUCUUGUGAAUGGGCCUCUCCUCGGUGUGUGGCCUCAGCCCAAUAGGCUCAUUCAGUCCACGAUCUUCAUAGCCCAAAGAGAGCAUGAAUGUUUUCCAUUCGAAGUGAAGAACACUGCCGCCAGUCAUCCAAGUCAAGCGGCGUUUCUCAUGAGCGUGAAAGUGAACGGUCUCAUAAAAUUGAACCACAACUUUGCAAUCGAAAUCCUUGUAGAAGCUGAUGAUUUGAUCGAGACCCCAUUGAGUACACAGAGCCCGGGCCUCAGCAAAGUAGGCAGUGUGGGAAUUGUUGCCCAUAUGCCGUGUGUCGAUGGACGUGACAUCAGGCACGAACAGGUCGGUUUUGUUCUUCAGAAUCCCUUUAAGGAUGAUAGAUUGCUCUUUGGUCCAGAAGGGACGACCAACCAUGUUCCCGUCCUGAGGAAGAUGGCAUGGGUUACGCUUGCAAAAUUCCACAAAUUCAGCAUUGGUCAUCUCAUCAGGGCCUGUGGGAGCCUUUGUCUUGCGAACAACCCGCUUCACCUGUUGCUCAGGUUGCUGAAAGGAUCGAUAUGGUUGACUAGAGGGGGGGGUGAAUAUGCAACGACCACUUUUUAAUUAAUCUUAGCAAGUUAGGGUAAACAACAUACUGGUUCACAAAUAUAACAACAAUGGGGGUGAACCGUAAUGAAGCUAACAACGAGAGCUGCUAAGACAAGUAAGAGAUAGACAACAACAUAAGCAUACACAAAGUAAAGGUUAGAGAUAACCACAAGUGGAACCAAUGAAUACGAGGAUGUGUUACCGAAUUUCCUUCUCUUUGACAGGAAGUACGUCUCCGUUGGAGCGGUGUGGAGGCACAAUGCUCCCCAAUAAGCCACUAAGGCCACCGUAUUCUCCUCACGCCCUCGCACGAUGCAAGGUAUCGUGAUUCCACUAUAGGUGCCCUUGAAGGCGGCGACCGAACCUUUACAAACUAGGUUGGGGCAAACUCCACACAAAGCUAGGAGGCUCCCAACAAGACCACGAAGCUUCACCACAAUGGAAUGUGGCUUCGAGGUGACCUCAACCGUCUAGGAUGCUCAAACACCCAAGAGUAACAAGAUCCGCAAGGGAUUAGUGGGGGAAUCAACUUUUCUCUUGGUGGAAGUGUAGAUCUAGGCCUUCUCAACCAAUCCCUAAAGAAUCAACAAGUUUGAUUGGCUAGGGAGAGAGAUCGGGCACUUUUGAGCUUAGGGAGCAACAAUGGAGCUUGGGAGGGUAAGAGAUAAGGUUCCACAGCUAGAAGAACCCUUUAUAUAGUGGGGGGGGAAUCCAACCGUUUUCCCACUCACAGCCCGUGCCUAGCGGUACUACCGUUGGGCCCAUGGUAGUGCAUAGGCACUACCACCGCCAAGAAAGUCUUCGCAAAAAGGUCCAUCCAAGUACUACCGUUAGGAAGGCGGUACUAAGCACCUAGAGCGGUACUACCGCUGACCAGGGACGGUACUACCGCCAGCUAGCGGUACUACCGAUGGCUGCAGCGGUACUACCGCUAGGCCCAUCGGUACUACCCCUGGGGGACCAUUUGCAAAGAAGAGAUAAACACAAAGGCGGGAGCCACUCCAAAGUUGUCGGCAAGGGGGAAAAGAGGUGUAGUGUGCGCGUGCAAGAUUGAUUCCACCCAACCCUUUCCACUACGGUUCCCCUCUUAAUAGUACGGCUUUCCUAUGACUCAAAUAAAGAGAAUCGUAGAGAACACCGUGCUUCUGUUCCAUAAAAGAGGGGGCGAGUCGUCUUGUGUCGUUGACGUGUGUUAUCUGAAAUCUUAACACACACGGUUAGUCCUUUGUGGUACUGUCAUCAAUCACCAAAAUUACUUAGGCAUAAACUAUGCCCUAACAAUCUCCCCCUUUUUGGUGGAUUGAUGACAAUACCGGAUUUGCACAGUGAAUAAUAUGUGAACAAAAAGAUAGAGAUAUAUGGAAAUAAGGAGCAUAUGACUCACAGCAUAUGAUGGAAAUAAAUCUCACACUAGUUUAUGUCUCACGUCACACAAAGCAAAGAUAGCAAACUCGAAGCAAACCAAGUUCGAAGCAAACACGAUAGAUAAGCAAAGCUAAGCAAAAGUUCAACUCUCAAAUCAAAUUCAGCUCCUAGACUUUCUCCCCCUUUGGCACAAGACACCAAAAAGGGGCACACCUAACGCCACAGGUGGUCACUCCUCAUCCUCAUCAUCCCCAGACUCGUCCGUAGCAUCCGGAUCGUCCUGCUCCUCUUUAUUGUCCUCCUCGUCCUCUGCAUCAGACCACUUGUAACCUUGAGCCCGCAUCCAAGCAGACUCUGGAGUGACGUCGUCCUCUGAUCCGCUGGAGAUGUCAAUGUCAAGUGUCCUCAGGACACGCUUGUGCCUCUGACGGUUCUCCUUCUGGGCCAUGUGCGUCUGAUACUGUCCCUUAGCCUGGAUAAAGAAGAGAGUCUUCAUCUUAUCAUGCAGUUUCACGGCCCAAGAUGGCAUGGCAGAAGAGCGGGACUCAGAAGCGGUACCUCUGCCAACAGCAGUCUCUGUGUCAGUGUCCAUAUGCUGGGAUGAAGUUGAUGGGUUGGCCCAUUUGUCCUUGACGAAGCUUGAUAGGAUCGUGCACAAAGUAGUCAGCCUGAAUGUUGAACUCCUCAAGCGGAUAGGUGUCUUGCCACUUCUGACGGAUAUAAGCAAACAAGUAGGGCCCGCUGUGGUCCUGGCGGUAGUACCGCUGGUUGCAGUGGUAGUACCGCUGGGGUCCUGGCGGUAGUACCGCUACCCCUGGCGGUAGUACCGUUGGGGUCCUGGCGGUAGUACCACUGCAAAUGUCACAACGGGACCUAGGAGAUGAGAAGAACGUGGGCAAAUGACAAGUUAGUGAAAAUAAGAAGAUAGCACCAGCAAGAUAUACUGACUUGUCAUUUUGUAACCUUUCUUCCAUAUGAGAGAAAGGUGGGGGGGCGGUGGCCGAGGCCACCUAUGUUUGAGACAAAGGUAUGACACCGCGAAGAAUUAUCCUUGGGUUCAUGACCAACGCUAGUCUUUGAAGCACAAGUGCCAUUUGGCAAUGGCUAAAGUGAAAGACUAGAUCGAUUUAUGCAUAAUGGGGGGAGGAAGAGUUCAUUGAGAGAACAACACUCCCCCUAUGUCCAUGCCUACAUCUAGAACAAGAUAGAAUGCAUAGUAAGGUGCAACGUGCCUAGCUUCAAUCCACAUUACUUGAAUCAAUGAUAUUUAGCUCAUGCCUUAACUCCUGGAACCUUGCUUCAUCUAGGGGCUUAGUGAAAAUAUCUGCAAGUUGCUCUUCAGUGUGGAUGAAGUGAACCUCAAUAUCACCUAGCUUGAUAUGUUCACGAAUGAAGUGAUGGCGAAUAUCAAUAUGCUUGGUUUUGCUAUGUUGCACUGGGUUGAGGGAAAUCUUGAUAGCACUUUGAUUGUCACAUAUAAGAGGCACUUUGUCAUAAGUGACACCGUAAUCCUUUAAGGUUUGCCUCAUCCAUAGCAAUUGUGCACAACAACUUGCAGCUGCCACAUACUCAGCUUGGGUGGAUGAUACAGAGACACAAUUCUGCUUCUUUGAAGACCAACUUACCAGUGAGCGACCAAGGAAUUGGCAUCCUCAAGAAGUUGACUUCCUCUCCACACAAUCUCCUGCCCAAUCUGAGUCAGAAUAGCCCACUAGGUUGAAGUUUGCUCCUUUGGGAUACCAUAGGCCAAAGUUUGGGGUAUGAGCCAAAUAUCGAAAGAUUCGUUUAACAGCCAUAUAAUGACUUUCUUUGGGUGCGGAUUGAAACCGUGCACAUAUCCCUACACUCAACAUAAUAUCCGGUCUAGAUGCACAAAGGUAAAGGAGGGAUCCAAUCAUGGAGCGAUAUACCUUUUGAUCCACUCCUUUACCGUUGGGAUCACUGUCAAGCUUGCAUCUUGUUGGCAUGGGAAACUUGACCAGCUUGACAUCCUCUAGGUCGAACCUCUUGAGCAUGUCUUGAGUGUACUUGGCUUGUUUGAUGAAAGUCCCUUCUAAGCCUUGUUUAAUCUCGAAUCCGAGGAAGAACUUCAACUCACCCAUCAUAGACAUCUCAAAUUUCUCGGUCAUUAGUGCAGCAAAUUCUUCAUUGAAAGAAUCGUUAGGAGAACCAAAAAUGAUAUCAUCAACAUAUAGUUGGCAUAUGAACAAAUCCCCUUUAACCCUCUUAGUAAAAAGAGUGGGAUAUAUCUUCCCAAUUUCAAACCCACGAUCUUGUAACAACUCAGUAAGGUACUCAUACCACGCACGUGGGGCUUGUUUAAGGCCAUAGAGUGCCUUAUUAAGUUUGUACACAUGAUUGGGGAGCUUGGGAUAUUCGAAUCCCGGGGGUUGUUUGACAUAGACCAAGUCAUUUAAAGGACCAUUAAGAAAAGAACUUUUCACAUCCAUUUGUUGUAAUUUGAAAUUAUGAUGAGAAGCAAAUGCAAUCAGCAUGCGAAUAGAUUCUAGACGAGCAACAUGGGCAAAGGUUUCACCGUAGUCGAUACCCUCGACUUGGGAGUAGCCUUGGGCCACCAAUCUUGCCUUGUUUCGAAUCACAAUCCCAUUGGCAUCUUGCUUGUUUUUGAAAAUCCAUUUGGUCCCGAUGACAUUAUGUUCCUCCGUUGGCCUUGGCACUAAAUCCCAGACUUGGUUACGCUCGAAGUUGUUAAGUUCUUCAUGCAUGGCCAUGAGCCAAUCCUCAUCAUCGAGCGCUUCCUGUACCUGUUGAGGUUCACAAUACGAAACUAACGCGUGAUGCUCACAAUAAUUCCAAAUCUGUUGACGGGUGGAUACUCCCCUUUUUAAACUGCCAAGUACAUUCUUCAUAAGAUGUGACUUGACUCUGAGCUUGUUCGCAAUCUUGGCUGCUCGACGCUCCAAGAGUUCUUCAUUGGAUAACUGGGGAGCAUCGACUUGUUUACUUUGCUUGCCCUUGCGUCUUGAGCCUCCCUUGGCACCGGCUGUUGGUGCUGUAGAAGGAAAUUGUGAGACAGUAUCCUAAUCAUCUUGACUUUCGACUUGAGCAGGUUCACUUGUUUGUUAUUGUAUUAGUGGUUGCUCUUGAUCUUGAUCUUGUGCUUCUACUUGGUCUGGAUCUCGCGGUUGCACUUGAUCUUGAUCAUGAGCAGGUUCAGAGCCUUGGGUGAGUGCUUGGAUAUCAUGGGACACAUCAUCAUUGUUGGGCAAUUUAUCUUGACCUUGAGCUUGUUCAUUUUGUUGAGAGUCUUCUCUUUGUUCAUCGGAAGCGUGUGGGGCUUGUGGAGAUGAUAGCUCCAUUUGAGUAGAGCAUUGUUCUUCUCCUUCGGCCACAAGGGGUUCCUCAAUGGGGAGUAUUUGACCAAUCCCCAUUCUUCUUAUGGCUUGGGGAGGAAUUUCAUCACCUACAUCACAAAGACCACUUUGCUCCACUUGGGAGCCAUUAUUUUCAUCAAACUCCACGUUACACGUCUCCUCAAUGACUCCGGUGGACUUGUUGAGGACACGGUAAGCAUGAGAGUUUGUAGCAUAACCAACAAAGAUGCCUUCAUGUGCUCUAGAAUCAAAUUUAGCUAAACGUGCACCUUUCUUGAGAAUGAAACACUUACAACCGAAUAGCCGGAAGUACUUGAGAUUGGGUUUGUUUCUAGUUAGAAUCUCAUAUGGAAUCUUGUUCAAGCCUUUGCGAAUAUAGAGCCGAUUGGACGCAUGACAUGCUGUGUAGAUGGCCUCUGCCCAAAAGUUAUAUGGAGAUUUGAAUUCCGCCAUCAUUGUUCUUGCAGCGUCUAUCAAGGUCCGGUUCUUCCUUUCUACCACGCCGUUUUGUUGAGGGGUAUAUGGUGCUUAAUAUUGAUGUUUUAUUCCCUCAUCACCUAGAAACUCAUCCAAGGUGUAGUUCUUGAACUCGGUGCCGUUGUCACUUCUAAUCGUCAAGAUCUUUGCUUCAUGUUGACGUUGAGCUUCAUUAGCAAAGUUGAUGACAGUUUGUUGAGUUUCACUCUUCCUUUUGAAGAAAUAUACCCAGGUGUAUCUUGAGUAGUCGUCAACAAUCACCAAGCAGUACUUUCUGCCUCCAAGACUAUCAAAUGAUGGAGGGCCAAACAGAUCCAUAUGGAGGAGCUCCAAUGGCCUCUUAGUGUAGAUGAGAGUCGUUGGACGAUGAGCAGUUUCAUGAAUCUUUCCUUCAAUGCAGGCACUGCAAACACGAUCUUUAGCAAAGCUCACAUUUGUUAGUCCACGAAUAUGGUCCCCUGUUAGAAGACUUUGCAAAGAUCUCAUAAUGACAUGAGCUAAACUACGAUGCCAAAGCCAGCCCACAUCAACUUUAGCCAUUAAACACGUCGCGGUCUUAGUGGGUCGCUUUGAGAAGUUCACCACAUAAAGACCAUUUUUGACGUAUCCAGCAUAGGCUACUUUAAGAGUCUUGCUCCACAGAAGGACCACAGUAUCAAGAUUAAAGAAUGUGGAAAAACCCAUAAUUGCAAGUUGACGAACCGAAAGUAAAUUGUAGGCAAGUGACUCAACAAGCAUGACCUUCUCAAUAGAUAACUCUUGAGAGACGACCACCUUACCAAAUCCCAAUACCUUUGACGAGGAUGCAUCGGUGAAUUGUACAUGGGUGGGCGUAGAUGGAGAAGGAUGCACAUCCACCACUAAGUCCUUGCUUCCGGUCAUAUGAUUUGUUGCUCCACUAUCGAGCAACCAUGACACCCCACCGGAAGAAAACUCCUACAAUAGAUCAAGGCUUGGUUUUAGGUACCCAUUUUUUAAUGGGUCCUUUCAUGUUAGAUACAAGGGUAUUAGGAACCCAGAUAGCCCAUUCAAUGUACUCAUCGUAGGAACCAACAAAUCUGGCAUAAACAUGCCUAUCACUAGCACGACAUAAGACAUAAGAAGAAUUGAGUUUGUCGGCUUUGUUAGUAGGAACGGUUUUGCCCUUCUUGAGAUUUCCAUAGUCCACGUUGUUCCUGUUCACCUUCUGAGUCCCCUCACCCUCUUUGACAAAGAUGUCCAUGAGGGCAGGAGAUCGUUUGUUCCUGUUCCUCCUUUUACCUUUUGACUUGGAGGUAAGUCCAAGUCCCUCCUUUCCUACAACACCUUUUUGAGUGCUCAAGAAGUCGUUCAGGCUCUUCUCAACUUGUAUGCAUGCCACAAGGCCCUUCUCAAGUUUCUCCUUUAACUUGGCAUUUUCCUCCACAAGAUGUACAUGCUCACAACAGGGAUUAGUUGCACAAGCAUUAUCAAUUAACACAAAGGGAGGACAAGUAGAGAUCUCCUUGGUAAGCUUUGCUUGGAGUUGAUCAUGAGACUCUUUCAGAGAGAAAUGAACACCUUUUAAGACCUUGUGGGCCUUGUCAAGUGUGUCGAACUCCACUUUGAGUCUAUCAUGGCCAACCCCAAGAGCAUACUUUUCAGACUUAUGCAUAAGAGUAAGAACAACAUCAUGAUCUAGUUUCUUUUGCAUUUUAGCGCAGUCAUCGUUAUAUGACUCCUCAAGAGCCAAACGAAGAGUGCGCUCCUUUUCUAGAGCAAUCGAUAAUUCAGCAAUUUCAUCGGCAUAGUCACGACUGUGUCCCUGAAGCUUGGAGAUGGUCUCCUCAUGAGACUCAAUGAGGUCAUUGGCCUCACCCAGUUGUUCCAAGAGAGCAACAAAGUGCUUCUUGGAUUCUCCCUUACUAGUGCACAAAAACUUGUCAAGAUCAUGCUCAUUAAGUUCCCCAACAUCACUAUCAUCAACACAAUUUAACAAUGAAGGAGCAGUAGCGAUGUUGGUCUUAAUGAUGGGGGUUACCUGAUUGAUACCAUUUUCCAUGAGGCACUUGGUGAUGUGGUUCUCGUUGGGGGCGUUGAAGAGAGACACCUUCUGGGGAGAGGUAGUGGCAAUAGCAACAGUUGUCGUUGCCACUGUAUCAUCAUCAUCAUCAUCGGAAGGGUACUCUUCAAGGGCCACCAUCCCUUUUGGGUGGGGUUUCUUCACAAAGUUGUUCUUGAUUGGAAAUGAUUUGGUUUUGUCUUUGCGAAUGAGCUUGCCCCCGUUGUCUUCCCUUUUCUCAUAGGGACAUUCGACCACGAAGUGGCUCACGUUACCACAGUUAUAACAUGUCCUCACUCGUUGCUUGGGUUUGAAUCCACUCGAGUUGUUCUUGGUGAAGGUGGGUCUUGAGUUCCUCUUGUUGCCCCAGAAUUGCCUUGACGCAAGAGCCAUGUGCUCAUGAUAGGCAUACUUUGUGUCUUCAGGGCAGCUCUCCUCUUCCUCAUCCUCUUCUUCUUCUUCAAACAUUGCUUUUGCUUUUAACGCAAAGUUGGGUGAAGUUGUCUUUGAGCGAACACGAGCAAGUGCAUUGUCGUUUGUUUCGUUCAUGAUUGACAUUGCGAUAAAUUCAUCCAACACCUCACUGGAAGACAAGGAGUGGAAGUCUAGCCGCUGACGAAUGAUAGAUGACAUGGCUUUGUUGAAAGGCAUGAUGGCUUUGAGAAACUUGCGCUUGACCCAUGUAUCAUCCAUAUCCUUGCUCCCAUGAUCCUUGAGUGCCACGGCAAUAGCAGUCACCCUCCGAUAGAGAUCACGAGGGUCCUCGUCUUCCUUCAUCACAAACUCAUCGGCCUUAUCAAGUAUCACUUCAUAGUUGGAUCGUUGAAUGCUUGAGCUUCCCUUGUACAACACCAUAAUAUGCUCCCAACAAUCCUUGGCCAAAGUGAAGGGACGUAGGUGAGGAAGAUCUUCAGGUGGCACUGCGGACUGGAGAAUGAACAAAGCAGAGUGAUUGUAUUGAUUGUAUGCAUCUUCUCUUGGAGUGAGGUUGCUUGGAUCAUGGGGAUAAUAUCCUUGCUCGAUGAUUCUCCACAAAUUUGUUGAGCUGUGAUUCAAAUGAGACUUAAUAGAAAAUACCCAGUUAGAAAAGUCACCUUUCACAAGCUUAGGAGGAGGACCAACAGGGUUAAGACGCGGUAUGGGAACGGAUCCUCCAUAGACCAUGGGGGGUGGAACUGAGGCAUAGGUUCUAGUCCCAUCCUUUUCGUGAGAUGAGGAAGGUCGCAUACCUUUAGCCGCUUCCUUAGAGGAAUUGGCCUCCGAAUAGCUGAUGGUGGGUUUAACCACUAACGCCGGUUCGGGUGGACUUUUAAAUCCCUCAAUUAACUCUUUAAGCAUGGUCUUGACUUCGUUCGUCAAGGACGUCUUGAGGGCGGCCAUAGCCGUAUUCAAGUCGUCCCUUGUGACCGAAGUGAAGUCCAUGGCCUCGGGUUGCCCAUGGUUAAUUCCCUCUUCACCUUCCAUACUCUUCGGGUGGUGAAACCCUUAAUAAAGAGACGUGGCUCUGAUACCAAUUGAAAGGGUCGAUAUGGUUGACUAGGGGGGGGUGAAUAGGCAACGACCACUUUUUAAUUAAUCUUAGCAAGUUAGGGUAAAGAACAUACGGGUUCACAAAUAUAACAACAAUGGGGUGAACCGUAAUGAUGCUAACAACGAGAGCUACUAAGACAAGUAAGAGAUAGACAGCAACAUAAGCAUACACAAAGUAAAGGUUAGAGAUAACCACAAGUGGAACCAAUGAAGACGAGGAUGUGUUACUGAAGUUCCUUCCCUUUGACAGGAAGUACGUCUCCGUUGGAGCGGUGUGGAGGCACAAUGCUCCCCAAUAAGCCACUAAGGCCACCGUAUUCUCCUCACGCCCUCGCACGAUGCAAGGUACCGUGAUUCCACUAUAGGUGCCCUUGAAGGCGGGGAUCGAACCUUUACAAACGAGGUUGGGGCAAACUCCACACAAAGCUACGAGGCUCCCAACAAGACCACGAAGCUUCGCCACAAUGGAAUGUGGCUUCGAGGUGACCUCAACCGUCUAGGACGCUCAAACACCCAAGAGUAACAAGAUCUGCAAGGGAUUGGUGGGGAAUCAACUUUUCUCUUGGUGGAAGUGUAGAUCUAGGCCUUCUCAACAAAUCCCUAAAGAAUCAACAAGUUUGACUGGCUAGGGAGAGAGAUCGGGCACUUUUGAGCUUAGGGGGCACCAAUGGUGCUUGGGAGGGUAAGAGAUAAGGUUCGACAGCUAGAAGAACCCUUUAUAUAGUGUGGGGGGGAAUCCAACCGUUUUCCCACUCACAGCCCGUGCCUAGCGGUACUACCACUGGAUACAGCGGUACUACCGCUAGCACUCCAGCGGUACUACCGCUGGCUGCAGUGGUACUACCGCUGGCUGCAGCGGUACUACCGCUGGGCCCAUGGUAGUGCAUAGGCACUACCACCGCCAAGAAAGUCUUCGCAAAAAGGUCCGUCCAAGUACACCCGUUAGGAAGGCGGUACUAAGCACCUGGAGCGGUACUACCGCUGACCAGGGACGGUACUACUGCCAGCUAGCGGUACUACCGCUGGCUGCAGCGGUACUACCGCUAGCACUCCAGCGGUACUACCACUAGGGCUAGCGGUACUACCGCUGGGGGACCAUUUGCAAAGAAGAGAUAAACACAAAGGCGGGAGCCACUCCAAAGUUGCCGGCAAGGGGGAAAAGAGGUGUAGUGUGCGCGUGCAAGAUUGAUUCCACCCAACCCUUUCCACUACGGUUCCCCUCUUAAUAGUACGGCUUUCCUAUGACUCAAAUAAAGAGAAUCAUAGAGAACACCGUGCUUCUGUUCCAUGAAAGAGGGGGCGAGUCGUCUUGUGCCGUUGACGUGUGUUAUCUGAAAUCUUAACACACACGGUUAGUCCUUUGCGGUAUUGUCAUCAAUCACCAAAAUUACUUAGGCGUAAACUAUGCCCUAAUAGUUGCUUUGUACUCGCACUAUCUUCGGCAACAUCAGACGUACGGGACCGCUUGUAACCACCGGCCCGGCCAGGAUUCACGUUACAAGGAGGAACAUAGUCACCAUCACCUGGAACUUGAACAGAAAGGCGGAAAAUAGACAAGACACAAGUGAAUACCAAGCAACAACCAAGAAAGCAACAACAAAACAUAAAAUAAAGAGAUCCCUUAAGAAGAAACACAUAAAAGAGAGGUUCUGGAGGACAAGCGGUUGUACCGCACUUCGUGAGCGGUACUUCCACUUGUGUGGUAGUAACGGCCACCUAGAAGCGGUACUACCGCUCGGGCGGCAGAAACAGCUUCCGCGGCACAACAAAUCUCAUGCAAAUGACUAUACCCGGAACGACUACAGACUCAGGAAGACAAAUGCUGACCUCCUUAUGCCAAUACUCCGCUAAAUAAAUUAGAAACACAUUGCAUGUAUUGCCCUAAAACAAGAUGUGAGAAGCUCAACACAAAAAGGGGAAAUGAAGAUGGGCAAUACCAGAGUCCAUGGCGUAAGGAGGCAGGGGGAGGAGGCCCACCGACCAGAAGAUUGAGGAACGGCCCAGAGGGGGAGAUCCGAAGCUGGCCUCCAUGGGGGUUGCGGCCGCCUAUGAGAGGGAGAACGAGAGGGAGGAAUAGAGGAUGGGUAUGGGGGAGUUAGAACCUCCCCUUGGCAUCUCAUAACUCCCCAGGCGGUUCCUGAAGCGGUAGUACCGCGGACAUGAGCGGUAGUACCGGCCACGCGAGAGCGGUAGUGCCUCUUGUGUCACAGGAUCAUCCUAGCCCCAAACUAUGAAGAACAACAAGGCAAAAAUUCAAGAUAAUUCAACCAAGACACAAGAUGAGAAAAAUCUCCAAGGUAAUAACAAUACACACAAGGAAGAGUUAAAAAGAGCAAAGGUCUCACAAGGAACGGGCGGUGGCUGAGGCCACCUAUGUUUGAGUCAAAUGGUAUGGCACCGCAAAGAUUUUAACCUUGGGCCCAUGACAAAAAAUCGUCUUUGAAGCACUAGAACCAUUCAAAAUGGACAAAGUGAAAGACUCGAUUGAUUUAUGGAUAAUAGGGGGAGGGAGAGUUCGUUGAGAGAACAACACUCCCCCUAAAUCCAUGCCCACACCUAGACAAGAUAAAAUGAUGAGAGUGGUGGGGUGUGCCUAGUUUCAAUCCACAUUGCUCAAAUGAAUGAUAUUUAGCUCAUGCCUUAACUCGCAAAAUCUCACUUCAUUCAAAGGCUUCAUGAAAAUAUAUGCAAAAUGAUCAUUAGUGUUGAGGUAAAUGAGAUCAAUCUCCCCACGCUUGAUGUGAUACCGAAUGAAGUGGUGACGUAUGCUGAUGUGCUUCGUCUUGCAAUGUUGAACCGGGUUAUUGGAGAUUGAGAUAGCACUUCUAUUAUCACAAUAAAGAGGCACUUUGUCACAUGUGACACCGUAAUCCUUUAAAGUUUGCCUCAUCCAAUGUAACUGAGUACAACAACUUGCAGCAGCUACAUAUUCAGCCGUAGUGGGCGAGAGAGAAACACAAUUUUGUUUCUUGGAAGACCAUCUUAUCACAGAGCAACCAAGGAUUUGGCAACCUACGGAAGUUGACUUCCUCUCCACGCGGUCCCCCGCCCAAUCGGAGUAUGAAUAUCCUAUGAGAUCAAAUGAAGCACCUUUGGGAUACCAUAAGCCAAAGUUUGGGGUAUGAGCCAAAUAUCAAAAGAUUCGCUUGACCGCCACAUAGUGGCUUUUCUUAGGUGCCGAUUGAAAUCGUGCAAAAAUUCCCACGCCGAACAUAAUAUCCGGUCUAGAUGCACAAAGGUAAAGCAAAGAGCCGAUCAUAGAGAAAUAUACCUUUUGAUCGAGAGCUUUACCAUUGGGAUCAAGGUCAAGAUGGCAGUUGAGAGGCAUGGGAGUGUUGGCCUUGGCCGGUUUGAGAUCAUCCAUCUUGAACCUCUCGAGCAUGUCUUGAGCAUAUUUUUCUUGAUUGAUAAAGGUUCCUUGACUUUGUUGCUUGACUUUGAAUCCAAGGAAAAACUUCAACUCUCCCAUCAUAGAAAUCUCAAACUCUUUAGUCAUUAGUGCGGCAAAUUCUUCAUUAAAAGCUUUGUUAGGAGAACCAACAAUAAUAUCAUCAACAUAUAAUUGGCAUAUGAACAAGAUCCCCUUGACCUUCUUAGUAAAAAGAGUGGAGUCAAUUUUCCCAACUUCAAAUCCACAAUCAUGUAACAUCUCGGUAAGGUGCUCAUACCAUGCACGUGGGGCUUGUUUAAGGCUAUAGAGUGCAUUUUCAAGAACAUACACAUGGUUAGGGAGCUUGGGAUCCUUGAACCCCGGGGGUUGCUUAGCAUAAACCAACUCCUUAAGGGGACCAUUAAGAAAAGCACUAUUCACAUCCAUUUGAUAUAGUUUGAAGUUAUAAUGAGAAGAAAAUGCAAGCAACAUGCGAAUAGAUUCAAGGCGAGCGACUGGAGCAAUGUUUUCACCGUAGUCAAUGCCCUCGACUUGGGUGUAGCCUUGUGCUACCAAACUUGCCUUGUUACGAGUGUUGACACCGUUCACAUAUUGCUUAUUCUUAGAGAUCCACUUUGUCCCAAUGACAUUGUGGUUCUCCUUUGGUCUUGGGUACCAGUCGCCACACUUUGUUACGCUCGAAGUUGUUGAGUGCUUCAUGCAUGGCUUCAACCCAAUCCAUGUCUUCGAGGGCCUCUUGUACCUUUAGGGGUUCAAUGCAAGAAACAAACGCGUGAUGGGAACUAAAGGUUGAUAAUUGACGAUGAGUGGUUACCUCUCUCUUUAAGCUGUCGUAGACAUUCUCCAGUAUAUGAGAAUUCCUUAUGAGCAUUUUGGCAUUCUUGCCGCUCGUCUUUCUUGAAUCUCCUCAGGGGUAAGCUCGGGAGCUUGUUUGAGACUUUUACUGCUCGAGCGGUACUACAGCUCCGGUCAACGGUACUACCACUCAUCAUAGAUAGGGAAGAAACAGAGCAGAAGUACCGCUUAGGGUGAUACUUCCGCUACAAACUUCCGCUCAAAAACAAUUGCUAAACAGAAUCAAAAUACCGGGAAAGUUCACCGAUAUUUGGGACGGAAGUAGGGAGCGGCAGUAGCGCUUGCUCCGAGCGGUACUUCCGCUUACUAAACAACAAGAUGAUAGCUCGAAAGAGAUGAGAAGGAAAGGUGGUGACAGAUAUGUAGAUGAAUGAUUCUCCCAACUUUUCCUAAUGCGGACCCCUCUUGAUAGUACGUACUAUCCUAUGACUCAGGUCCACCAACACUUAAUAAUACGAAGCACUAUGUCUUCUUGUUUAACAUCCGAGGGGAAGAAUAACCAUCUCAUGCCACCUGAUAACCUUUGAAAGCUCAAAGCACACGAUUAGUUCGCAAAGGUGUUGUCAUCAACCAUCAAAACAACUUAGGGAAGAUUAUUCUCGGGAUGCCGCGGACUUGGAAUUCCUCAAAUUCUUGCCCCCGGCAGCUUCAGGCUCUUCUGUCCCAACAACCUCGGGCUCUUCUGUCGCAACAGCCUCGGGCUCCUCACCCCUGACAAGAUCCUUUAAGAGGUCGGUUGCCGGCGGUUCUUCGUUAUCCUCCUCUUCAUCGUCGGUCUCCUCCUUAUCACAUCAUGUGCGGUAGCAUCAGAGCUACUGUCGUCCACAUCAAAACCCGCCUCCAUGACCCAUGUGUCGAUAAAAUCAUUUUACUCCUUGGUGGUGUUGCAGAUUAACACACCUUCGUCCCUGACGCACACCUCCGUCAAGUUGUCGAACCACUUCUAUGCCAACUCCUUUGCUAGCGGCUCCCAUAAGGGAUCAACCCCAUGUGCAUUGCAUGCUGGAAUCAUAGCCAGGAUCAUAUCCUUCGCAGUGUUGUUGUAGAGUGUGAUGAAGGUUGCCGGAAGCUUGAAUUUCGCAUCACGACAGAAGAGUUGGUGGCAUAGGGUGGAGAGUUGUAGCAGCAUAAAAUUGUUGGGGAGUCCUAGACGCAUCUGCAUGAUGUCGGCAACGUUGUCAUACUCCGAGGCAAAGUGUUUCCGGUAUUAUAAGGGUGCGAUGCGCAUGGCAAGGAAAUCCGCGCCCAUCAUCUCUAUUGUGAGCCUGAUAGCCCUCAAUGGGAGCAUGCACGUGAUGACGAUCUCCAGCUUCUUGUCAUUGCAUGCGAGGGUGCUCGAGUGCUUGUUGUGGACCGGCUUGGAUCUCUAAAUCUCGCAGAACACCGGGGGCUCCUUGUCCACGAUGUAACACCACUCGACCACCAUUCCUCCCACUCCUUGUGCAGGUUGUGGGGAGGAUAUACCUCCUUAUGGGUGGCCCGAGGAAUCCACAUGAUGUUACCGAAGUGAGCAUCCGCUUCUAUACAUGGAUAAUAGAAGUGGUGAAGGAGCGAUACAUUGGGAACUACUCCUAUGAAGUUUUUGCAGAAAUGCACAAAGACCAACAAGGUGGUCAUGGAGUUUCGCGUGAAAUCUAAUAGCCUGAAGCCGUAAGUUAACAUCAGGUCUGUAAAAAAGGCAGAGAAAGGGGGUCCAGCCUGCAGUAGAAGGUCACCAUGAAGAACGGGUACUUCUCCGUGUUGGGUCGGGAAUCACCAAGAAUCACCACCGGCAUAGGGUGUGUCGUGGUCUCUUUCCCCCACAAUCAGACCGUACCUCAAGAUGAGGUCCUUACCCGUCAGCAUGGAGGGGAAGAAGACGACGCCCGUCCUCUGCGUUGUUGCUAGGGUGUCCUUUGAUACGUCUCCAACGUAUCUAUAAUUUAUGAAGUAUUCAUGCCAUGUUUGCCUAUUUUUACAAUAUUUUUAUGUGGUUUUGCUGCACUUUAUAUGAUUUAUUUAGAACUAACACAAAGUGACGUUGUUUUCAGCAGAACUACCAUGAUGUUGUUUUUUGUGGAGAAAUAAAAGUUCUCAAAAUUGGACGAAACUUUUUGACGAUUUUUUUGGAAGAAAAGCGAAAUACUGGAGCAAAGAACCACCAAGGGGGGGCCCUGGUGCCCACUAGACACCAGGGCGAGCCAGCCCCCCUGGUGUGACAUGGUAUCUAGUGGGAACCUCGUGACCCAUCUUGGCAUGAUUCCAAUGCCCAAAAAUCCUAUAAAUAUAGAAACCUCCAGAAAUAACCCUAGAUGAGAAGUUCCGUCGUGCAAGCCUUUGUAACCACGAAAAACCAAUCGAGAGCCCGUUCUGGCCCCCUGCUGGAGGGGGAGAUCAUCUCCGGUAGCCCUCUUCAUCAUCCUGGCAGAGGCCAUGACAAGGAGGGAGUAGUCCACCCUCGAGGCUGAGGGUUUGUACCAGUAGCUAUUUGUUUAAUAUCUCUCUCUCGUGUUCUUAAGAUGUCAUGAUUUUGAUAUAUCACGUGCCUUGUUAUUAUAGUUGGAUCAUAUGGUGUUUGUGCCAUGCUAUUAUUUUGGUGAAUUGAAUAUUUUACUUUAAGAUCUUGUUAUGUUGGAUUGAAUAUGCAGGUUUGAGAGCACAUGAUAUAUGUCUUACAUGUGGAUACCCGUAGUGACAUUGGGGUAUGGCAUCAACUCGCGGAAUCCCGAGGUGACAUUGGGGUAAUCUAGGCAUAGGGGUUGAUUACACAUUUUCAUACUAUGUUCUCUGGUAGAAAUCUUGGUGUGCUCCUUGAAGUUCUUUGUGUUGGAUUGAGUAUUAUGAAUCUGAAUUUGUUAUGGUGUUAUUUUCGUACGAAGUCUUGAUACAUCGAUCGGAAAGGAUAACUUUUUAUCUUAGCACGAACUCUUGGAAAGAUUUAUUGGAAAUAAUAAGUUUGAGGUGGUUUCGUACCCUACGAACUAUUUCUUCUCAUGUUCUCUACUAGAUAGGAACUUUGGAGUGAUUCUUCAUCGCACGUUUAGGGAUUGUUAUGUGAUCCAAUUAUAUUAGCAUUGUUGAGAGAUUGCACUAGCGAAAGUACGGACCAUAUGCCUCAUUUUCAAGCAUUGCAAUACCGUUUAUGCUCACUUCUGUUACUUGCUACAUUGCUGUUUUUAUGUUUUCAUAUUACAAAAAUCAAUAUCUACUAUCAUUACUACACUUGUAUAACCACCUCUUCGCUGAACUAGUGCACCUAUACAAACUACCAUUGUAUUUUGUGUGUUGAGGACACAAGAGACUUUUUAUUAUUUGGUUGCAGGGUUGUUUGAGAGAGACCAUCUUCAUCCUACGCCUCCCAUGGAUUGAUAAACCUUAGGUCAUCCACUUGAGGGAAAAUUGCUAGUGUCCUACAAAACUCUGCGCUUGGAGGCCCAACAUAGUCUACAAGAAUAAAGUUGAGCAGUAGACAUCAUCCUUUCUCAUGUUUGUGUCGGGGUUGGUGGCUCUUAUGGCCCUCUUUGUCGGGCCGGAGGCAGCGGCAGACGGUGCUCUCUUGGGUACCAUAGCAAUCUCGGAGAAGGAUGGCGAUAAAUACGAUGAAGCAGCACGGGGUCUCUGCGCUGUGCGAUAGGGAAAGCAAAGGCGACAACAAAAUGGGAGACCAGUUGGUUGGGAUGAGCAACACAUCUGUGAAUCCCCCUCUUAUAAUGUGGAAUGCGUAGAGGCCAUCUCUCCCUGUCCGACGUGGCCGCGUCUUUUUAGGCGCUCCCCUCACGUGCAGUUUUGCUCCACCUCUCCCAUGUCCCGCAUUUAAUGCACGUCGUGGGGUAAAGUUUGACGACGUGUUUGUGACUCCUUUGGGCCUAGCCCAACAACAUCAUGGACUUUAUUGUGGACCAGUCCCCGGGGCUCAUGUCGGUUUACGAAAGAACGGGUCCUUUAGUACCCUGACUUGUGCAUAGACGACACCGACCUCUAGCCCGGCUACUGUCGUCUAGCCCGGUGAUAAGUAUCCUGCGUAUCUAUAAUUUUUUAUUUUCCCGUGCUAUUAUAUUAUCAUCCUAGGAUACUUUUUGGGUCAUAAUUCACCAAUUUAAAUUAUUUUCGAGCACUAACCUAUUAAACCAGUGCCCAUGGCUAGUUGUUGUUUUCUCCAUGUUUUUGCUUUUCAUGUUUUCAGUACCAAACAUAGUCCAAUUGAGACGAACCAUUUUUAUGAUUUUUUUCUGGACCAAAAGAAGACCUGGAAGCUUCGGGAGGAGACUUGAAUCCACACGAGGGGGCCACAAGCCAACACGGGGUGUCCACACCCUGAUGGUUUGUGCCUCCCCGGUGGCCCCUCUUGCUACAUUCUCUGGCCUAUAAAUUCAAAUAUAUUCCAUAAACCCUAAAAAUAGUCGCCAAACACUUUUUACACCGCCGCAAGUCUCUGUUCCAUGUUGGUCCCAUGUGGAGCUCCAUUUCGGCACCUCGUCAGAGGGGGGUUGAUCAAGGAGGGCCUCUUCAUCAACCUUGUUGCCCUCGUGACAAUCUGUGAGUAGUUCACCGCAGACCUAUAGGUCAGUAGUUAGUAUCUAAAAUGCUAUAUCUCUCUCUUGAUCUUUGAUACAAUGAUCAUCGCAUCUUCGCUUUGAUCUAUCCGAUGUAUUCUUUUGUAUGGUGUGUUUGUUGGGAUCUGGUGAAUUGUGUGUUUAUGUUUAGAUUAUUCAUGAAAGUAUUUGAGUCUUCUCUGAGUUUUAUGAUACAUAUUUUUAUGAUCAUCAUAGCAUCGUAAUUCUCUUUGAUCUAUUGAAUUGCUUUGGCCAAGUAGUUUGGUAUUUAUUCAAUGGGAGGUCCUUUUGCACCAACCCAAAACCUCAUAGGUUGCUGCAAAAGGACCUCCCAUUGAUCCAUCCACUCUAACAAGCUUUGUAUGUGAAAUGUUUUAUUCCUCUGAUGAGUCAUUUGACUCCAACUAUAAACUGUUCAAAAAUCAAGCCGGUGAAGUAUUUGCUCGAUAUGUUGGAACUAACUGCAGGAAUGGACCACCACUAAGAAAAAUCUGGGUUCCCAAAAGCUGCUUGGAAAGACUUCAAGUGAAUGUCCUCAUGACACCACAAGUGAAGAACGGGAACCCCAGAACAAAUUCCUCACGUGGACCUAAGUCUUCACGGGGACCAAAUUCCUCAAAUGGUGAAAACUACAAUCGUACUCACACUAAUGCUUCUGAUAUGCAGGGAAACUAUAAGGGACAUGAAUAUGUGCACUAUUCCUCAAAUCACUAUGUUCAUAGGUCUUCAAAGAAUUUUUCUGCCUAUUCAUUUGAGUACUCUAACCCCCCUACUAUGAAAAGAAGUGCAUUAGCUUCAAUGUCUCCAUUCUCAUAUGGUGCUCGCAGGAUGAUGAAAUCUUUACCACCCCUUCAGAUGUGGGUGGUGAAGAAAUCGAACUAAUCACUUCUGCACGUAAGGUCUCCAGAUGAAAGUCAUCAUCUGAAGAAUUUGUUGGAGACGCGAGAAAAUUGCUUGAUAGGACGCAAGCUAAAUCAUGAUGAAAUGAUCUAUCAUUUCACACGUCCUCAUUAUGUCCUCAAAUUUAUUUCUAUGAGAAAAUUCAAGUCUGAUGAAAUUGAUAUCAUAUUCUUCAAUAUGAAGCAUAUGAGAUGGUAAGCAGUACUAAUUCAUCUACAAGAUGAUCAACCCAAGAACACGGAGUGGGUUCUUGAUAGUGGAUGUAUAAAUCACAUGACUGGUGAUAAAAGCUUCUUGAUGAAUAUCCAACUGACUCCAUCACCACUGAAGCAUAUCACUUACGCUCACACAGGUAAAAGCAAGGUAUUGGGACUUGGUAAAGUGGCUAUCUCUAAGGACCGGCACAUGGACAAAGUCAUGCUUGUCGAAUCCCUUGGGUUUAACUUCAUGUCAGUCUCAAUGCUUUGUGAUCUUGAUAUGAUUGGCAUCUUUGGAAAAUAUAGAUGUGUAGUCAUCAUGGAAUCUGACAAAUCCAUAGUAUUCGAAGGCUUUGGGAGAGGAGACUUGUAUACUAUUGACUUCUCUACAGGUCCUCAAUCAGCCAAUUGUCUACUUGCAAAAACCUCAGAAGGCUGGCUAUGGCAUCAACGACUUGGUCAUACAGGCAUGAGGAAUUUACACACACUGGCGAAGAAGAAGCAUGUCAUUGGCAUCGAAACCAGCAAAUUCCUGAAGGACCAUCUCUGCGGGGCUUGUAAGUCUGGGAAGAUGACCAGAUCGAAACACCCCUCGAAGACUAUCAUGAAUACUACUCGUCCAUUUGUAUUGCUUCAUAUGGAUCUCUUUGGACCUACUCAUUAUACUACUCUAACAAAUGCAGCAUCUCUAUAUGGCUUUGUCAUCGUUGAUGAUUAUUCUCGAUAUACUAUCAUUUUGUAUAAAACUGAAUUUAGGAAGUUUUCAAACGAUUUCCCUGAAGGACCUCGACGAACUUCGGCGUCAAGAUCAAGCACAUCAGGAGUGACAAUGCGACAUAAUUCAAGAAUACCGGCCUUGAUGAUUAUCUUGAUGAACUUGGUAUUACUCACGAAUUGUCUCCUCCUUAUACUCCUCAACACAAUGGCGUUGUUGAGCGCAAGAACAGGACUCUGGUUGAAAUGGCACAGACUAUGCUUGAAGAAUAUCAGACUCCUCGUCGCUUUUGGACUGAGGCAAUCAACACUACUUGCCACAUUUUCAACAGGGUAUAUCUUUACAAAUUCCUCAAGAAAACUUCAUAUGAACUCCUCACUGACAAGAAACCCAAUGUAAGUUAUUUCAAAGUCUAUGGUGCAAGAUGAUGGAUUAGAGAUCCUCAUCAUAGCUCAAAAUUUGCACCUAAAGCACAUGAGGGUUUUAUGCCCGGCUAUGGAAAGGACUCACACACCUACAGAGUCUUCAACACCUAUCACAACAAGGUUGUUGGAACUGUAGAUGUGUCGUUCGAGGAAACUAAUGGCUCGCAAUGAGAGCAACUGCCUCCUGUGCUAGAUAAACUGAAUCCUGAGGAAGCUACUAAGCACAAGGCUAUUGAAGAUAUCAUUCCUACUGAGGAACAACCCCUUGUUUAAGAAGUCGUCCCCAACAAUGAUGAAAUACAAGGGGGUGCACCUGAGGAAAAUGCUCCAGAUCAAAUUCCUCGGCCCAACCAAAGUCUUCAACCAACACAUUCGAGGAUUGCAAAUGAAGUUCAAAUUGACAAAAUCCUCCAUGACAUCAAUGCGCUAGGUCCUCCCACUCGCUCAAAAGCUUCACAUUUAGUGAACUUUUGUGUGCAUUUCUCAUUUGUGUCUAUUACAGAACCCUCAAAAGUUGUUGAAGCCUUCGUGGAACCUGAGCGGAUUCAAGUCAUGCAAGAUGAACUUCUUCUGUUCAAGCUAAAUGAUGUUUGGGAACUCGUCAAAAGACCUGAUCCUCGCAAGCACAAUACCAACGGCACCAAGUCGAUCUACCGAAACAAACAAGAUGAGGAUGGUCAGGUUGUGAGGAACAAGGCACGACUUGUAGCCCAAGGCUACACGUAGGUUGAAGGAAUUGACUUUAAUGAAAGUUUUGCACAUGUUGCUAGACUUGAAGCUAUUCGUAUAUUGCUUGCUUAUGCUAACCAUCACAGUAUUACUCUCUAUCAAAUGGAUGUGAAAAGUUCAUUCCUCAAUGGUAAGCUUGAGGAAGAAGUAUGCGUUGCUUAGCCCCCUAGGUUUUGAAGACCCGAAGCAUCCAGACAAAGUCUUCAGACUAAAAAAGGCACUCUAUGUCCUCAAGCAAGCCCCUCAGGCGUGGUAUGAUACAUUGAAGGAAUUCCUUGUGAAGAAAGGCUUCAAACCCGGUUCACUCGAUCCCACUUUUUUCACAAAAUUGUAUGAUAAUGAACUGUUUUUAUGCCAAGUAUAUGUGGACGAUAUUAUCUGUGGUUGUACUGACAAACACAGUGAUGAAUUUUCCUACAUGAUGAGUGAAGAAUAUCAAAUGUCUAUGAUGGGGGAGCUGAAAAUUCUUCCUAGGUCUUCAAAUUCAUCAACAACACAAUGGCAUCUUCAUCUCUCAAGAGAAAUACCUCAAGGAUGUCCUAAAUAAAUUCGGCAUGAAUGAAUGGAAAAGCGUCAAAAUUCCUAUGCCUACCAACGGUCACCUCUCCACUAAAAAAUUGGUACAUAUUUUGAUCAGCAGGUAUAUCGCUCUAUGAUUGGCUCUUUAUUAUACCUAUGUGCACCUAGGCCAGACAUUAUGCUUUGUGUUUGCAUGUGUGCACGUUUCCAAGCAAAACCGAAGGAAUCACACCAUAAGGUUGUGAAACAUAUUCUUCGAUAUCUAGCUCACACACCAACGCUUGGAUUAUGGUACCCCAAGGGCUCAAAUAUUCACCUCGUUGGAUAUUCUGAUCCUGAUUAUGCUUGUUAGGGCAUAUUUGUGCCUAUGUAAUUUUGGUGAUUGAUGACAGUACCUUAAAAGACUAAUCGUGUGCAUUAAACUUUCAGAUAAUAUAUAUCAACGACACAAGAUGAUUCGGCACCCUCCAUGGAACAGAAGCACGGUGUCCUCUACGAUUCUCUUUGUUUGUGAUUCGUAGGUACGCCGUACUAUUAAGAGGGGAUUGAUACGUCUCCAACGUAUCUAUAAUUUUUGAUGGUUUCAUGCUAUUAUCUUGUCAAACUUUGGAUGUUUUGCAUGCCUUUUAUAUAUUUUUUCAGACUAUCUUAUUAACUCAGUGUUGCCAGUUCCUGUUUUUUCCAUGUUUUUGACCCCUUUCAGAGGAGAUUUUGAAACGGAGUCCAAACGGAAUAAAAUCCCUGAAAAGAAUUUUUCUGUAACGGGAGAAGAUCAGGAGACUUGAGAGCCAAGGCAGGGGAGCCCCAGGGGCCCCACAAGCUCCCACCCCGUAGCCAGGGGGGAGGCCACGGCCCACGGGCUUGUGGGCCCCCUGGACGUCCUUUGCCCUAGGUUUUGCGCCUAUAUAUCCCAAAAAAUUCCACAAAAAAUCAAGAGAUCACCGAAAGUACUUUUCCGUCGCCGCAAGCUUCUGUCUCCGCAAGAUCCCAUCUGGGGCACGUUCUGGUGCCCUGCCGGAGGGGGGAUUCGGAUACGGAGGGCUUCUUCAUCAACACCAUGACCUCUCCGAUGAUGCGUGAGUAGUUCACCAUAGACCUACGGGUCCAUAGCUAGUAACUAGAUGGCUUCUUCUCUCUCUUGGAUCUUCAAUACAAAGUUCUCCAUGAUCUUCAUGGAGAUCUAUCUGAUGUAAUCUUCUUUUGCGGUGUGUUUGUCGAGAUCCAAUGAAUUGUGGAUUUAUGAUCAGAUUAUCUAUGAAUCUUAUUUGAGUUUCUUCUGAUCUCUCUUAUGCAUGAUUUCAUAUCCUUGUAAUUCUCUUCGAGUUGUGGGUUUUCUUUGGCCAACUAGAUCUAUGAUUCUUGCAAUGGGAGAAGUGCUUGGUUUUGGGUUCAUACCGUUCAGUGACCUCACCCAGUGACAGAACGGGUAGCGAGGCACACAUCAUGUUGUUGCCAUCAAGGGUAAAAAGAUGGGGUUUUCAUCAUUGGUUUGAUAUUAUCCCUCUACAUCAUGUCAUCUUGCUUAAGGCGUUACUUUGUUCGUCAUGAACUCAAUACACUAGAUGCAUGCUGGAUAGCGGUCGAUGUGUGGAGUAAUAGUAGUAGAUGCAGAAAGUAUCGGUCUACUUGUCUCGGACGUGAUGCCUAUAUGUAUGAUCAUUGCCUUAGAUAUCGUCAUGACUUUGCGUGGUUCUAUCAAUUUCUCGACAGUAAUUUGUUCACCCACCGUGAUAUUUGCUAUUUUGAGAGAAGCCUCUAGUGAACACUAUGGCCCUGGGGUCUACUCCACACCAUAUUUUCAGCCUUACACUUUUUACUUCGUUGCACUUUCCGCCUUCAGAUCUCACUUUGCAAACAAUCUUGGACGGAUUGACAACCCCUUUGAAGCGUUGGGUGCAAGCUCGUUUGUGUUUGUGCAGGUACUCUGGACUUGACGAGACCCUCCUUCUGGAUCGAUACCUUGGUUCUAAAACUGAGGGAAAUACUUACUGCUCUUGUGCUGCAUCACCCUUUCCUCUUCAAGGGAAAAACCUACGCAAACAACAGAAGUAGCAAGAAGAAUUCCUGGCGUUGUCGGGGAAGGACUUUUGUUGCCAUAGCAGAAGGAUUUCUGGCGCUGUUGCCGGGGAGGAUUAAGUCAAGAACUCAUCCAAGUAGGUGUCGCAAACUCAUCUCUUGCAUUUAGUUUGUUUGCCAGUUGCCUCUCGUUUUCCUCUCCCCCACUUCACCAAUUUGCCUUUUUCGUUUUCCUUUUCCGUUUGCCUUUUCGUUCGCCCUUUCUCUCGCUUGCUUUGUGUUUGCUUGUGUGCUAUGUGACUUCAAUAUGCUUGCAUCUUCGCUUGCUAAAAAUCUAGUGAUAUGGAUCCUCACCCACUUGCUAAUCUCUUUAAGGGAUCCACUUAUGUGGAACCAAUUGCUAGUGAGUUGAGUGCACUUGACUUUCUCUAUGGAGUUUUGCUUGAGAUGCGUGAAUCUGAAAAUCGUGAUGAAGAAAUUCAUGAAAUGAUUCACGAGGGCUCCUUGAAUGAAAAGCAUGAUUGCAAUGAUUUCAUUAUAAAUUCUAUUAAUGACAAUCAUGCUAAAAAUAUGCAAAACCCUAAGCUUGGGGAUGCUUGUUUUUCUAUGUCCACUUCUUGUUGCAAUGAUAUUUCCAAUAAUAUUGAAAGUGGGUUUGGAGAAUUCAUGACUUUAGUUGAUGAUAAUCCCACUAUUUUUGAAGAGCGCCAACUUUUCAAGCAUGUGGAUCAUGAAAAUAAUAUCCUUUGUGAUAGCUAUUUUGUUGAAUUUGAUUAUGAUCCCACAUGUAAUUGCUAUGAGAGAGGAAAAUAUUGUGGUAGAAACUUUCAUGUUACCAAUUAGCUCUCGUUAUGUUGAGAUUGCUAUUGUCUCUUUCUUCUUCCUUGCAUUUGGUAACUAUUGGUUGUCUUGCCAAUUUUUUCUCCUAUAGAAUGCCUAUGCAUAGGAAUUAUGUCAGGCUUAGAUUUGAUUUUCACAUGCUUUAUGAUGCUCUCGUUGUGCUUCAAUUGUUGUCUUUUGUGUGAGCAUCAUUGAAUUAUCAAUGCCUAGCUAAGGGCGUUAAACAAUAGCGCUUGUUGGGAGGCAACCUAAUGAAUUUAUCUUUUUUCUUUCUGUUUUGUUGCGUCCAUACCAUCAUAAUUCUGUUUUGAUUGUGUUUUUUGUGUUUAUUUUUGUGUUUGAGCCCAGAAAAACCAUUAUGACUAGCCUUGGUAAUGGUUGUUUGAUACUGCUGGAAAAAGACAGAAACUUUUCGCUCACGAGAUGAUUUUUCAUUUUUAUUCAGAAAGGGCUUUUGAGUUGAUUCUUUUCGCUACUCGUUGAUAUGCCUUUUGCCCAGCAUUCGUAAUUUUUCAGAAUUUUUUGAGGUACCAGAAGUAUACGAAGUAUAUAGAUUUCUAUAGACUGGUCUGUUUUUGACAGAUUCUGUUUUUGUUGAGUUGGUUGCUUGUUUUGAUGAAACUAUGGAUAGUAUCGGGGGGUACUAGCCAUGGAAAAGUGAGAAUACAGUAAUAUAACACCAAUAUAAAUAGAAAUCAAGAUUGCUACAGUACCAAAAGAAGUGGUAGUUUGUUUUCUUGUGCUAAUGUUAUCACGAGUUUCUGUUUAAGUUUUGUGUUGUGAAGUUUUCAAGUUUUGGGUGAUGUUCUCAUGGACAAAGAGAUAAGGAGUGGAAAGAGCUCAAGCUUGGGGAUGCCCAAGGCAUCCAAAUCCAAAUUCAAGGACACCAAAAAGCCUAAAUUUGGGGAUGCCCCGGGAAGGCAUCCCCUCUUUCGUCUUCAAUCCAUCGGUAACAUUACUUGGGGCUAUAUUUUUAUUCACCACAUGAUAUGUGUUUUGCUUGGAGCGGCUUGUAUCAUAGGAGUCUUUUCUUUUUGUUGUGUCACAAUCAUCCUUGCUGCACACCUUUUUGAGAGAGAUAGACAUGUACUCAUCGUGAUUUUGCUAGAAUGCUCAUAGUGCUUCACUUAUAUCUUUUGAGCUAGAUAUUUUUGCUCUUUGUGCUUCACUUAUAUCUUUUAGAGCACGGCGGUGCGUGACUUGGUAGUUGCCUUAUGCUAUGAAAGUAGUCCCAAAGGUGAUAUGUACCCAAAGAGGAUGCAAAAACCUCCAUCUUCCUGUGCAUUGAGUAGAAAGAGAAGUCUUGAUUCCUCUCAAUUAGUUUUGAGACAUGGAUUUGGUAAUAUUAAGAGCUAUGUUAGUAGGGUGUUGUGAAUCUAGAAAUACUUGUGUUGAAGUUAGUGAUUCCCGUAGCAUGCACGUAUGGUGAACCGCUAUGUUAGGAAGUCAGAGCAUAAUUGAUCUAUUGAUUGUCAUCCUUUGUGUUGAGGUCGGGAUCGCGCGAUGGUUAACACCUACCAACCCUUCCCUAGGAGUAUGCGUUUAGCACUUUGUUUCGAUUACUAAUAAAAACUUUCGCAACAAGUAUGUGAGUUCUUCAUGACUAAUGUGAGUCCAUGGUAUAGAUGCACUUUCACCUUCCACCAUUGCUAGACUCUCUAGUGUCGCGUAAUUCUCGCUAGUGCACAAACCCACCAUAUGCCUUCCUCAAAACAGCCACCAUACCUACCUACUAUGGCAUUUUCAUAGACAUUCCGAGAUAUAUUGCCAUGGAACUCCCACCGUUCUGUCUCAUGACUUGUGCCGUCACGCUCAUAUUGCCAUUGCAUGAUCGUAAGAUAGCUAGCGGGAUGUUUUCAACGUCAUACGCCAUGCUAGAUCGUUGCACAUCCCUGUACACUGCCGGAGGCAUUUCCUAUAGAGUCAUCAUCAUUUUGAGCUUUGAAGUUAUGAGUAAAUAAAAGUGUGAUGAUCAUCAUUAUUAGAGCAUUGUCCCAUGUGGAAAAAAAAGAGGCCAAAGAGCCCAAAAAUAAAAAAANCCGUGUUCUUCAUGAUUGAGAGCUUCUUGCUUUGUCACUACCAUAUUCUAGUGGGAAUCUUCAUUAUAUAACUUGGCUUGUAUAUUCCAAUGAUGGGCUUCCUCAAAUUGCCCUAGGUCUUCGUGAGCAAGCAAGUUGGAUGCACACCCACUAGUUCUCCUUUUGAGCUUUCACAUACUUAUAGCUCUAGUGCAUCUCUUGUAUGGCAAACCCUACUCAUUCACAUUGAUCUCUAUCAAUAGGCAUCUACAUAGCCCCUCGAUACGCCGAGUCAAUGUGACCAUCUCCUCCUUUUUGUCUCACAACCACCACCACACUCUAUUCCACCUAUAGUGCUAUAUCCAUGGCUCACGCUCACGUAUUCCAUGAUAGUUAUAAAAAGUUUGAGAAAGUAAGAGUGCGAAAACAAUUAGUUGGCCAAUACCGGGGUUGUGCAUGAUUUACAUUAUUUGUGUGAGGAUGAUGGAGCAUAGCCAUACUAUAUGAUUUUGUAGGGAUAACUUUCCUUGGCCUUGUUAUUUUGAAAGUUCAUGAUUACCUUGCUAGUUUGCUUGAAGUAUUAUUGUUUUCAUGUCAAUAGCAAACUAUUGUUUCGAAUAUUACGGAUCUGAACAUUCAUGUCACGUGAAAGAAGUUGCAAAGGACAACUAUGCUAGGUAGCAUUCCACAUCAAAAAUUCAUUCCUUAUCACUUCCCUACUCGAGGACGAGCAGGAGUUAAGCUUGGGGAUGCUUCAUACAUCUCCAACGUAUCUAUAAUUUUGAUGCUUUCAUGCUAUUAUCUUGUCAAACUUUGGAUGUUUUGCAUGCCUUUUAUAUAUUUUUUGGGACUAACUUAUUAACUCCGUGCCAAGUGCCAGUUCUUGUUUUUCCAUGUUUUUUACCCCUUUCAGAGGAGAUUUUGAAACGGAGUCCAAACGGAAUAAAAUCCCCGAAAAGAAUUUUUCCAUAACGGAAGAAGAUCAGGAGACUUGAGAGCCAAGGCAGGGGAGCCCCAGGGGACCCACAAGCCCCCACCCCGCGGCCAGGGGGAGGCCGCGGGCCACAGGCUUGUGGGCCCCCUGGACGUCCUUUGCCCUAGGUUUUGCACCUAUAUAUCCCCAAAAAUUCCACAAAAAAUCAGGAUAUCAUCGAAAGUACUUUUCCGCCGCCGCAAGCUUCUGUCUCCGCAAGAUCCCAUUUGGGGCACGUUUUGGUGCCCUGUCGGAGGGGGGAUUCGGAUACGGAGGGCUUCUUCAUCAACACCAUGACCUCUCCGCUGAUGCGUGAGUAGUUCACCAUAGACCUACAGGUCCAUAGCUAGUAACUAGAUGGCUUCUUCUCUCUCUUGGAUAUUCAAUACAAAGUUCUCCAUGAUCUUCAUGAAGAUCUAUCCGAUGUAAUCUUAUUUUGUGGUGUGUUUGUCGAGAUCCGAUGAAUUUUGGAUUUAUGAUCAGAUUAUCUAUGUAUCUUAUUUGAGUUUCUUCUGAUCUCUCUUAUGCAUGAUUUCAUAUCCUUGUAAUUCUCUUCGAGUUGUGGGUUCUGUUUGGCAAACUAGAUCUAUGAUUCUUGAAAUGGGAGAAGUGCUUGGUUUUGGGUUCAUACCGUGCGGUGACCUCACCCAGUGAUAGAAGGGGUAGCGAGGCACACAUCGUGGUGUUGCCGUCAAGGGUAAAAAGAUGGGGUUUUCAUCAUUGGUUUGAGGUUAUCCCUCUACAUCAUGUCAUCUUGCUUAAGGCGUUACUCUAUUCGUCAUGAACUCAAUACACUAGAUGCAUGUUGGAUAGCGGUCGAUGUGUGGAGUAAUAGUAGUAGAUGCAGAAAGUAUCGGUCUACAUGUCUCAGACGUGAUGCCUAUAUGUAUGAUCAUUGCCUUAGAUAUCGUCAUGACUUUGCGCGGUUCUAUCAAUUGCUCGACGGUAAUAUGUUCAUCCACCAUGAUAUUUGCUAUUUUGAGAGAAGCCUCUAGUGAACACUAUGGCCCCCGGGUCUACUCCACACCAUAUUUUCAGCCUUACACUUUUUACUUCGUUGCACUUUCCGCCUUCAGAUCUCACUUUGCAAACAAUCUUGGAGGGAUUGACAACCCCUUUGAAGCGUUGGGUGCAAGAUCGUUUGUGUUUGCGCGAGUACUUUGGAAUUGACGAGACCCUCCUUCUGGAUUGAUACCUUGGUUCUCAAACUGAGGGAAAUACUUACUGCUCCUGUGAUGUAUCACCCUUUCCUCUUCAAGGGAAAAACCGACGCAAACAAGAGAAGUAGCAAGAAAAAUUCCUGACGUUGCCGGGGAAGGACUUUUGUUGCCGUAGCAGGGAUCCAUAGUGGAAAGGCUUGGGUGGAAUCAAUUUUUCACGCACACACUUUAUCUCCAUCUCCUUUCCCUGCAACUUUGGAGUUGUUCCCGUCUCUGGUUUAUCUCUUCUUGCAAAAAGGUCUCCUAGCGGUAGUACCACUGUCCCUAGCGGUAGUACCGUUGGGCCUAGCGGUAGUACCGCUAGAGCUGGCGGUAGUACCCUUGCCCUACCAGUAGUACCGCAAGAGCUGGCAGUAGUACUGCUAUGCUGGCGGUAGUACCGCCCCUGGUCAGCCGUAGUACCGCUCCAGGAACUUAGUACCGCCAUCCUUGCGGUUGUACUUUGUCGGACUUUUUGCGAAGACUUUCUUGGCAGUGGUUAGCCCGGUAGUGCCUCUGCACUACCAUGGGCUCAGGGGUAGUGCCGCUGCAGCCAGCGGUAGUACCACUGGAGUGCGAGCAGUAGUACCGCUCCAGCCAGCGGUAGUACCGCUGGGCUCGGGCUGUGAGUGGGAAAACGGUUGGAUUCCCCCCCCCCACUAUAUAAAGGGUUCUUCUAGCUCUAGAACCCUACCUUUGACCCUCCCAAGCCCCAUUGUUGCUCCCUAAGCUCAAAAGUGCCCGAUCUCUCUCCCUAGCCAAUCAAACAUGUUGAUUUCCUAGGGAUUGGUUGAGAAGGCCUAGAUCUACACUUCCACCAAGAGAAAAUUGACCCCCCCACUAAUCCCUUGCGGAUCUUGUUACGUUUGGGUGUUUGAGCACCCUAGACGGUUGAGGUCACCUCGGAGCCACAUUCCAUUGUGGUGAAGCUCCGUGGUCUUGUUGGGAGCCUCCAAGCUUUGUGUGGAGUUUGCCCCAACCUUGUUUGCAAAGGUUCGGUUGCCGCCUUCAAAGGGCACCUAUAGUGGAAUCACGGUACCUUGCAUUGUGUGAGGGCGUGAGGAUAAUAAGGUGGCCCUAGUGGCUUAUUGGGGAGCAUUGUUCCUCCACACCGCUCCAACAAAGACGUACUUCCUGUCAAAGGGAAGGAACUUCGGUAACACAUCCUCAUCUUCAUUGGUUCCACUUGCGGUUAUCUCUAACCUUUACAUUGUGUAUGCUUUUGUUAUUGACUAUCUCUUGCUUGCCUUAGUACUUAUAGUUGGUAGCAUCAUAUAGGUUCACCUCCUUGUUGUCAUUUUAGAGAACCUUUAUGUUGCUAACCCUAACUUGCUAAGAUAAAUUAAAAAGUGGUCGUUGCCUAGUCACCCCCCCCCUCUAAUCAACCAUAUCGAUCCUUUCAAUUGGUAUCAGAGCCACAUCUCUUUAUUAAGGGUUUCACCACCGGAAGAGUAUGGAAGAUGAUGAGGGAGUUCCCCGUGGGCAACCCGAGGCCAUGGCCUUGACUUCGGUCACAAGGGACGACUUGAAUACGGCUAUGGCCGCCCUCAAGACGUCCUUGACGAACGAAGUCAAGACCAUGCUUAAAGAGUUAAUUGAGGGAAUUAAAGGUUCUCCCGAACCAGCGUUGGUGGUUAAACCCGCCAACACAGAUUCGGAGGCCAAUUCCUCUAAGAAAAUGUCUAAAGGCAUGCAACCUUCUCCUCCUCUCGAAAAUGAUGGGACUGGAACUUAUGCCUCAGUUCCACCUCCCAUGGUCUAUGGAGGACCUGUUCCCACACCGCGUCCUAAUCCUGUUGGUCCUCCUCCUAAGCUUGUAAAGGGUGAUUUUGCUAACUGGGUAUUUUCUAUUAAGUCUCAUUUGAAUCACAGCUCAACAAAUCUAUGGAAAAUCAUCGAGCAAGGCUACUAUCCCCAUGACCCAAGCAACCUCACUCCAAGAGAAGAAGCGGACAAUCAAUAUAAUCACUCUGCAUUGUUUAUUCUCUAGUCUGCAGUACCUCCUGAAGAUCUUCCUCACUUGCGCCCCUUCACUCUGGCUAAGGACUGUUGGGAGCACAUUAUGGUGUUGUACAAGGGAAGCUCAAGCAUUCAACGGUCCAACUAUGAAGUGGUACUUGAUAAGGCCGAUGUGUUUGUGAUGAAGGAACAUGAGGACCCUCAUGAUCUCUAUCGAAGGGUAACUGCUAUGGCUGUGGCUCUCAAGGAUCAUGGGAGCAAGGAUGUGGAUGAUACAUGGGUCAAGCGCAAGUUUCUCAAGGCCAUCAUGCCUUUCACCAAAGCCAUGUCAUCAGUCAUUCGCCAACGACCAGAUUUCCACUCCUUGUCUUCCAGUGAGGUGUUGGAUGAAUUCGCCCUANNNNNNNNNNNNNNNNNNNNNNNNNNNNNNNNNNNNNNNNNNNNNNNNNNNNNNNNNNNNNNNNNNNNNNNNNNNNNNNNNNNNNNNNNNNNNNNNNNNNUUAACCACAUUGACUUCUAAGGGAGGAUGAUAUUUAAACCACUUCUCUUUAGGGAGAUUAAUAUGAGCAGCAAAUGAUUCACAUAAUGAAGCUACUAUCUCAGAGUCAAGUCCAUGUUUAGCGCUAAAAUCACAAAAAGUAUUUGUUUCAACGAAGGAUUUAACGCAAUCGAACAUAAUAUUCAUAACUGACUCCUUACCUUCAUCAAACUCCCAAUCUUCAGAGUUGCAUUUAAUUCUUUCCAAUAAAUUCCAUUUGAAGUCAAUAUCUCUCUUCAUAAAAGAACCGGUACAAGAAGUGUCAAGCAUGGUGCGAUUAUCAUGAGAAAGCUGAGCAUAAUAGUUCUGAAUAAUAAUUUCUCUCAAGAGCUCAUGGUUGGGGCAUGAAUAUAACAUUGACAUAAGCCUCCCCCAAGCUUGAGCAAUACUUUCUCUUUCACGAGGCCAAAAAAUAUAGAAAUAAUUCCGAUCACGAUUGUACCAAAUGCAUAGGAUAAACUUUUGAUGAAAUUCCAAUUUCAAUCGGUUGUAGUUCCAUGAUCCAGUAUCAUCACAUAGCCUAUACCAUGUCAAUGCUUUAUCCCCCAAAGAUAAGGGAAAGACCUUCUUAUUGACCUCAUCCUCGGGCAAACCUCAAGCUUAAAUAAAAAACAUACUUCAUCUACAUAGAUUAGAUGCAAGUCGGGAUGUGAUGUUCCAUCUCGUGUAAAAGGAUUAGCCAACAGUUUCUCUAGCAUACCCGAAGGAAUUCCAUAGAAAAUAUUUUCAAUAGGUGCAGAAGGUUGAGGAGCAACUCCUUGUGCUUCCAUUCGAGGUGAAGAUACCCCGAACAAGCUCCUCAAAGGAUUAGUUUCCAUAGUGACAAGUGACAAUAAAUUUCAGCACACUAUAUAAAUGUUUCCUUACCAAAUUCCACUUACCAAAGGCGCUUCACUCCUCGGCAACGGUGCCAGAAAAGAGUCUUGAUGACCCACAAGUGUAGGGGAUAUAUCAUAGUCCUUUUGAUAAGUAAGAGUGUCGAACCCAACGAGGAGCAGACGGAACUGACAAGUGGUUUUCAGCAAGGUAUUCUCUGCAAGCACUGAAAUUAUUGGUAACACAUAGUUGUGUGAUAAGAUGAUUCGUAGCAAGUAGCAAGUAACAAUAGUGAUAAAGGUGCAGAAAAGUGGCCCAAUCCCUUUUCCAGCAAGGGACAAGCCUGAACAAACUCUUAUAUGAGGGAAAGCGCUCCCGAGGACACAUGGGAAUUUCUGUCAAGCUAGUUUUCAUCAUGUUCAUAUGAUUCGCAUUCGCUACUUUGAUAUGUGGGUGGACCAAUGCUUGGGUUCUGCCCUUACUUGGACAAACGUCCCACUUAUGGUUAACCCCUUUCGCAAGCAUCCGCAACUACGAAAGAAGAAUUAAGACUAAAACUAACCAUAGCAUUAAACUAGUGGAUCCUAAUCAGCCCCUUACGAAACAACGCAUAAACUAGGGUUUAAGCUUCUGUCACUCUAGCAACCCAUCAUCUACUUAUUACUUCCCAGUGCCUUCCUUUAGGCCCAAAUAAUGGUGAAGUGUCAUGUAGUCGACAUUCACAUAACACCACUAGAGGAAAAACAACAUACAACGCAUCAAAAUAUCAAACGAAUACCAAAUUCACAUGACUACUUAUAGCAAGACUUAUCCCAUGUCCUCAGGGGCAAAAGUGACUACUCACAAAGCAUAAUUAUGUUCAUGACCAGAGAGGUAUUGAAUAGCAUUAGAGAUCUGAACAUAUGAUCUUCCAUCGAGUAAUCGAACUAGCAUCAACUACAAAGAGUAAUUAACACUACUAGCAACCUUACAAGUACCAAUCGGAGUCGCGAGACGGAGAUUGGUUACAAGAGAUGAACUAGGGUUUGGAGAUGAGAUGGUGCUGAUGAAGAUGUUGAUCGUGAUGAGUCCCCUCCGAUGAGAGGACUGUUGGUGAUGACGAUGGCGACGAUUUCCCCCUCCGGAAGGGAAGUUUUCCCGGCAGGACGGCCCUGCCGGAGCUCUAGAUUGGUUGUGCUCAAGUUCCGCCUCGUGGCGGCGGCGAUUCCUCCCGAAAGCCUCCUCUUGAUUUUUUAUCGAUUUAAACCCUCCUUAUAGCAAAACAUGGGAGCCAGAGGGGCAACAGGGGGCCCACAAACCACCCAGGCAUGGCCAAGGGGGUAGGCCGCGCCUGGGUGGCUUGUGGCCUCGUGGUGGCUCCCCUCCAGUACUUCUUCCGCCCAGUAUUUUUUUAUAAAAUCCAAAAUAAUUCCUCGUUGAUUUUCACGGCUUUUAGAGUUGCGCAGAAUAGGUAUCUCAAACUUGCUCCUUUUUCAGACCAGAAUUCCAGCUGCCGGCAUUGUCCCUCUUCAUGUAAACCUUAUAAAAUAAGAGAGAAAAGGCAUAAGUAUUGUAGCGUAAAGUGUAAUAACAUCCCAUAAAGCGAUAAAUAUCAACAUAAAAGAAUGAUGCAAAAUGGACGUAUCAACUCCCCCAAGCUUAGACCUCGCUUGUCCUCAAGCGGAAGCCGAGAUCAAUAAAUAUGCCCACAUGUUUAGAGAUAUUGGUGUCGGUAAAACAAAAUACGGACAUGCAUGCAUCAUGAUCAUAAUUAGAACAACAAUAGCGUCAUAUAAACUCUUAUGCUAAAGUGACAAUUCCUUCACAAAGUAAAGUAUGGAUCAAGAAUCUUAUUGAGAAUUAACAACCAAUAGCCUUUAGUCAUUGAAACAAUAGCAAUUUAUCAUAACAUCGGAAAGAGUCAAAUAAGAGCCUGUAAAGCAAAUCCACAUACUCAAUCAUCUUUUAGUCUUCUACAAUUGCUUAAACUCACGCGGUACUCAUGAGAUCAAAGUUUCAGUGGAACACAGAGAAAGAUAGGGACUUAUAGUUUCACCUCCCAACUAUUUACCUCAAGGGUAAAGUCAACAAUAAUAAUUCAUGAAUACUUACUUCCAAGUUGACAUAUGAAUAUAGAUCUUUCCCUAGCAUAUGACGUUAGCCAAGAUAAAGGCGAAAUAAGGAAUUGGUGUCGAUCACCAUGACUCUUUUAAGGACAAAAAGUAAAGGUACAAGAUAGGCCCUUCGCAGAGGGAAGCAGAGGUNNNNNNNNNNUGUGACCUCUUAGUGUGGAGGAACGUCACUUUAUAUUGCCUCGUGUGAUAAAGAACUUUACUAUGCAGUCUGUCGCUUUUAUGUCUUCCUCAUCACAGGUUCGUACAAAGCUUAUUUUCCACACAGUAAUAGAUCAUACAUAUUUAGGGAGCAAUUUUUAUUGCUUGCACCGAUGACAACUUACUUGAGGGAUCUUAUUCAAUCCAUAGGUAGGUAUGGUGGACUCUCAUGGCAAAACUGGGUUGAAGGUUUAUGGAUGCACAAGUAGUAUCUCUACUUAGUGCGGACGUUUUGGCUGAUAUGAGGUGGAAGCAAGCAUCACAUGCUAAGGGAUCUCUAGUCAUAUAACAUUGUUCGGAACCAAGCAAUCAUAAUUCAUUAUGUUGUCUUCCUUGUCCAACAUCUACUUCUAAGCAUGUAAUAGUUUAAUGAGUGUUCACAAUCAUAGAUGGUGCCCAAGAUGAUAUAUUUAUAUGUGGACCUCUCCUUCUUUAUUACUUCCUAUUAAUUGCAACAAUGACCAAGGUCUACGUUUGUCCACCCACAACAAGUUUCAAUCAACAUUCUUUUUAUAUGUGAAGCCAUCGCUUCCCAUAAGAUCAUUACAUGAUCUUUCAUGCUUUUGUCCUUUUAUUAUUCUUUUCUUUAGAUCAUGGCAUGAAGCAAGGCCCUUAACUAAAACACUCUUUAUUAUAUGACUCACGAACUCGAAUACAUUGGGGGUAACACAAAGCAAAAAUCAAACCUAGAACAUACUAAGAACUUUAUUCUACUAGAGAAAAAUAAAACCAAAAAGGAUCGAACUAACAAAAAGGUAAACGCAAAAGAUGUGAUGGUGAUAUGAUACCGGGGCAACUCCCCCAAGCUUGGCACAAGCCAAGAGGAGUGCCCAUACCCGUGCUUAGUUGUCUUCCUUCGAAGGUGAUUGUGGUGGAGUUGUUCUGUCUUUUGAUUCCAAGAGGGCCAUCAAUAUUUGAUUUAUACCUUGGAGUUCUGUGAUAUGUUUCUCCAGCAAAACAACAUCACGGGUGAGAUAAGUAUUAUGGAUACGAGUUAUUUCACAUAACCUCAAGAGUUCGAUCAAGGAUGGAGGUAAAAGGUGGAGAUAGGGUUGAAGAAAAUCCUGUUCCUCAGCUUCUUCCUUGUUGAGCACAGAUUGCCCUUCGUCCAACGCCGGAUUCUCCUCCUUAGUUUUGCCCUUAGUUUCUUCAAGCAACCUUUCCUUGGCCUCCAUGACCUCCAUUCUUUUCAGAUCAACACUUACUUCUUCAUAGACUUGAGGGAGAUCGUUCUCCCCGACAGAUUCCUGAGACGACAUCCUUGCCCUAAAUGUGCGGCAAAAACAGGCUCGAAACGAAAACAAAGAAUAUUUGCAAGAUACGAGGGUCAGACCUUCUGGGAGAACGAUCUUGCAAAUACCCUUUGUUUUCGUUUCGAUCUGGCAACGAUCUGGCAAAAACAUCUAGAAAGAAUUUUUCCCGACCAAAAGUAGUACUUCGCAAGAAAACGUAGUCCGGGAGGCACACGAGGUGCCCACAAGCCAUCUAGGCGCGGCCAGGGGAUAGGUUGCGCCUCGCAGGCUUGUCGCCUCCUCGUGCGCUUUCUAGACUACUUUAAUUUUUCUAUUUUUCUAAAAAUUCCAAAACGGAGAAAAAGUGCUACUGGAAAAGUUUUGGAGUCGGUUUACUUACCGAAUCAAAUACUUAUUCGUUUUUGGAGUUCCAACAGGCUGAUAAAUAUCCCUUAUGUACUCCUCCGGAGUUAUGGUAUUAAUAACAUUGCUUUCAACAUUUACGGGAGUACCUGAGAUAUAAUGCUUGAUUGUUUGCCCAUUUACCACUCCCGGAAAAUUACCUUCCGUGUUGUUGAUCUUGAUGGCACCGGAACGAUAUACUUCCUCGACAAUGUAAGGACCUUCCCAUUUAGAGAGAAGCUUGCCUGCAAAAAAAUCUUAAACGAGAAUUGUAUAGCAAGACAUAAUCACCUACAUUGAACUCACGUUUUUGUAUCCUUUUAUCAUGCCACCUCUUAACUUUUUCUUUAAACAACUUGGUAUUUUCAUAUGCCUCAGUCCUCCAUUCAUCAAGUGAGCUAAUAUCAAAUAACCUCUUCUCACCAGCAAGUUUGAAAUCAAAGUUGAGAUCUUUGAUUGCCCAAUAAGCCUCAUGCUCUAGCUCAAGAGGUAAAUGACAUGCUUUACCGUAAACCAUUUUGUACGGAGACAUGCCCAUGGGAUUCUUAUAAGCAGUUCUAUAAGCCCAUAGUGCAUCAUCAAGCUUCUUAGACCAAUUAUUUCUAGAUCUAUUAAUAGUCUUUUGCAGAAUUAGUUUAAUAUCUCUAUAAAUUAGCUCUACUUGACCACUGGACUGAGGAUGAUAGGGAGAUGCAAUUAUAUGGUUGACGUUCUACUUGGCAAGCGUUUUACGGAAAGCACCAUGAAUAAAAUGUGAACUACCAUUAGUCAUUAGAUAUCUAGGGACUCCAAAUCUAGGGAAAAUAACUUCUUUAAGCAUCCUAAUAGAGGUGAUCAACACUACUAGUUGGGAUAGCUUCUACCCACUUAGUAACAUAAUCAACAUCAACUAGGAUAUGAGUAUACCCGUUGGACUUUGGAAAAGGUCCAAUAUAAUCAAAACCCCAAACAUCAAAUGGUUCAAUGACAAGUGAAUAAUUCAUAGGCAUUUCCUGAGGUUUAGUGAUAUUACCUAUUCUUUGACAUUCAUCACAAGACAAUACAAACUUACGGGCAUCCUUGAAGAGAGUAGGCCAAUAGAAACCGGAUUGCAAUAUCUUGUGUGCAGUUCUAUCUCUCGCAUGGUGUCCUCCGUAAGCCUCUGAGUGACACUUCUGUAGGAUCUAUCCCUGUUCAUGCUCAGGUACACAACAUCUAAUAACACCAUCUACUCCAUCCUUAUAAAGGUGAGGAUUAUCCCAAAAGUAAUGUCUCAAAUCAAAGAAGAAUUUCUUCUUUUGUUGGUAUGUGAAACUAGGUGGUAUAUACUUGGCAACAAUAUAAUUUGCAUAAUUAGCAUACCAAGGUGUACUACAUGAAGCAUUGAUGACAUUCAAUUUCUCAUCAGGAAAGCUAUCAUCAAUAGGUUGUGGGUCAUCAAGAACAUUCUCCAACCUAGACAAGUUAUCUGCUACGGGGUUCUCAGCACCCUUCCUAUCAACAACAUGCAAAUCAAAUUCUUGUAGCAAGAGAACCCAUCUGAUAAGUCUAGGUUUAGCAUCUUUAUUUUCCAUGAGAUACUUAAUAGCAGCAUGAUCAGUGUGAAUGGUAACCUAGGAAUCAACAAUGUAAGAUCUGAACUUUUCACAUGCAAACACGAGUGCUAAAAAUUCCUUUUCAGUAGUAGCAUAGUUUCUUUGGGCAUUGUCUAGAGUUUUACUAGCAUAAUGAAUAAUAUUCAAUUUCUUAUCAACUCUUUGCCCUAGAACAACACCAACAACAUAAUCACUAGCAUCACACAUAAUUUCAAAAGGUAAGUUCCAAUCAGAUGGUUGAACAAUAGGUGCAGUUAUCAAGGCCUUCUUAAGUAUUUCAAAGGCUUCCUUAGAAUCAUCGUCAAAAACAAAAGGAAUAUCCUUUUGCAAGAGAUUGGUAAGAGGCCUAGAAAUCUAAGAAAAGUCCUUAAUGAACCUUCUACAGAAACCAAUAUGACCAAGGAAACUUCUUAUACCUUUAAUGUCUGUAGGGCAUUGCAUUUUCUCGAUCGCAUCAACCUUAGCCUUAUCGACUUCAAUACCUCUUUCAGAAAUUUUAUGUCCUAAGACGAUGCCUUCAUUAACCAUAAAGUGGCACUUCUCCCAAUUCAAGACAAGGUUGGUAUCUUUACAUCUCUGGAAAAAUCGAUCAAGGUUGUUGAGGCAAUCAUCAAAAGAAGACUCGUAAACUGAGAAGUCAUCCAUGAAAACCUCAAUAAUCUUUUCACAAAAGUCAGAGAAUAUAGCCAUCAUACAUCUUUGAAAGGUAGCAGGUGCAUUACAUAAGCCAAAAGGCAUACGUCUGUAAGCAAAGGUACCGGAAGGGCAGGUAAAAGUGAUUUUCUCCUGAUCAGAUUGUGCAACAGGUAUUUGAGAGAAACCAGAAUAACCAUCUAGAAAGCAGAAGUGUGUUUGUUUAGACAAUCUUUCUAGCAUUUGGUGAAUAAAAGAUAAAGGGUAAUGAUCUUUCCUAGUGGCUUUAUUCAAUUUCCUAAAAUCAAUCACCAUCCUAUAGCCAGUAAUAAUCCUCUGUGGGAUCAAUUCAUCUUUAUCAUUAGGGACAACGGCAAUACCUCCCUUCUUAGGGAUGCAAUGCACCGGACUUACCCAAUCACUAUGAGCAACAGGAUAGAUAAUAGCUGCUUCCAGGAGCUUUAGUAUUUCUUUCCUUACUACCUCUUUCAUCUUAGGAUUUAAUCUCUGUUGAUGAUCGACAACUGGUUUGGAAUCAGGAUCGGUUUUAGUUUUAUGCUGGCAUAGAGUGGGAAUAAUUCCCUUAAGAUCGUCAAGAGUAUAUUCAAUAGCAGCACGGUGCUUCCUUAGAGUUUUCAACAACUUCUUUUCUUCAUGCUCUGAAAGUCUAGCACUAAUAAUAACAGGAUAUAUCUAUUUUUCAUCGAGAUAAGCAUCCUUAAGAGUAUCAGGUAAUUGUUUAAGCUCAAACAAAGGAUCACCCUUUGGUGGGGGUGGAUCUCCAAGCAGUUCAACAUGCAAAUUAUUCUUAAGGAUAGGAUGUUGUUCAAAGAUAACUCUAUCUAUCUCUUUCCUUUCAUCCAUAUGCAUAUCAUUUUCAUGCUCAAGCAAGUAUUGUUCUACAGGAUCAGUAGGAGGCACAAAAAUAGAAGCUAGAUCAAUAAUUUCAUCCUUACUAGACAGCUCUUUUUCACGAGGUUGUCUACCAAACUUGGAGAAAUUGAACUCAUGUGACACACCUUCAAAGCCACCAGUGGCAAUUUGCUUCUCACAGUCAAUAUGAGCAUUGACAGUAUUGAGGAAAGGUCUACCAAAUAUGAUGGGACAAAAGCUAUCUUGUGUGGUAGCAAGAACGAGAAAAUCAGCAUGAUAUUCAGUUUUACCACACAAGACUUCAACAUCUCUAACAAUUCCCAAAGGGCAGAUAGUAUCUCUAUUGGCAAGCUGAAUAGUGACAUCAAUAGGUUCCAUCUCGACAGGUGCAAUAUCGUCUUUAAUUUCAUCAUAUAAAGAUUGAGGUAUUGCACUAACACUAGCACCCACGUCACAUAAACCAUGAUAACAAUGAUCUCCUAUCUUAACAGAAACAAAGGUGUGCCAACAACAGGCCUAUGUUUGUCUCUAGCAUGAGGUUUAGCAAUUCUAGCAGCAUCUUCACAGAAGUGAAUAUCAUGGCCAUCAACAUUGUCGGACAGGAGAUCUUUGAUAAUAGCAAUGCUAGGUUCAACUCUAAUUUUCUCAUGGGGUGUAGGUGUUCUAAUGUAGCCCCUACGUAUCACAGUUGAAGCUUUAGAAUGAUCCUUUAUUCUAACAGGGAANNNNNNNNNNNNNNNNNNNNNNNNNNNNNNNNNNNNNNNNNNNNNNNNNNNNNNNNNNNNNNNNNNNNNNNNNNNNNNNNNNNNNNNNNNNNNNNNNNNNGAAAGACUUAGUAUUUGCAGCAAAGUUUUAGUAGCAAAGUAGCGUGAUAGUAACGGUAACAGCGGUAACAGUAGUCGUAGUGACAGCAGUAGCGGUAACAGUAGCAGCAGUGACAACAGUAGCGGUAUAGUAACUUAGCAAGGACCGGUAGGAAAAACUCGUAGGCAUUGGAUCGGUGAUGGAUAAUUAUGUCGAAUGACAUUCAUCAUGUAACAGUUAUAACAUAGGGUGAUAUGUAACUAGCUCCAGUUCGUCAAUGUAAUGUAGGCAUGUAUUUCGUAUAUAGUCAUACGUGCUUAUGCAAAAGAACUUGCAUGACAUCUAUUGUCCAUCCCUCCCAUGGCAGCGGGGUCCUAAUGGAGACUACGGGAUAUUAGGGUUUCCUUUUAAUAGAGAACCCGAACAAAGCAUUCGCACGUAGUGAAUACAUGAACUCCUCAUACUAUGGUCAUCUCCGGGAGUGGUACCGGCUAUUGUCACUCCGGGGUUGCCNNNNNNNNNNUAGAUCUGAAAUCAUGGCACUCGGGCCCUAGUGACAAGCAUUAAGCAUAGCAAAGUAGUAGCAACAUCAAUCUCAGAACAUAGUGGAUACUAGGGAUCAAACCCCAUCAAAACUAACUCGAUUACAUGAUAGAUCUCAUCCAACCCAUCACCGUCCGGCAAGCCUAUGAUGAGAUUACUCACGAACGGUGAAGAGCAUCAUGGAAUUGGCGAUGANNNNNNNNNNNNNNNNNNNNNNNNNNNNNNNNNNNNNNNNNNNNNNNNNNNNNNNNNNNNNNNNNNNNNNNNNNNNNNNNNNNNNNNNNNNNNNNNNNNNCCGCGGCCCCGCCCACCAAGGCCUCCUCGCCCCCUGCCCCGGCGCCCAAGGCCAGCACCCCGCCGGUAGAGGCCCCCGUCGCCGCCCCGCCCGCUCCCGUCGCCGAGGCACCCGCCACCAUUCCCACCAAGCCCGACGCCCCCGCGCCCGCGCCGGCCAAGAAGAAGAAGUCCUCCAAGAAGAAGAAGAAGAGCAAGGCCCCGGCCCCUGCUCCCGUCGCCGCUGAGGCCCCCACCAAGUCCAAGAAGGCCAAGGCCCCCGCCGCCUCCGACGACUCCGAAGCCCCAGGCCCCGCACUCGAUGCUGCCGCCGACGACACCGCGGUACGUCUCGAUCUCCACCCCUAUACGCAAUCCGAAUCCACAAUGCCCAUCCAAAUCUCACAACUGCUCUGCGCACAACCGACGGCGCAACUGCUAGCACCACCUACAGUACGUAGUUUCUUUUUCUUUUCGCAAAAGAACUGAGGUAGAACUUUCCCGCUGCACCGAGAGUAAAAUAAUUAACACUGCUCUUACUUACAGUGGCUACUACGUACUUAGUUUAAUUUUACAUCUAAGUGUGCUUUAGUGGGCUCAUUAGUAGUAUAAUGGCAUGCUCAUUGGUUGGACUAUAGCUUUGUUUGGCGCCACCAAACAUGUGAUUAGGGAACUGACUGAUGAGUGAGAACAGCGGUAGAUGCCAUCGUCCCGACAUGUUGGUCAGACACGCAUGUGCAUCACGCCGUUGCUACGGGCAGAGCAGUUAAUGGGAAAUAACAAAAAAAACUAAACGUUUCAAAGUCAAGCUUCUGCCAGUCACUGUAGCAUUAUAUAAACUCCGAGCGUGUACUGCGCCCGGCCGUAAACAAUGCAUUCCGGAAGCCUCCACGACACUGCUCACCACACAUUAUAUUAUUUUUACCGCCACUUGGAAUUGCUUAUAAAAUCUGCCUCUUCCGUUGUGCAGGGCGCUGUCCAGAGCAUGGCAGGAAGCAUCAUGUCGGCGUGCGCGAUGGCGCUGGGCCUCGUCGCCCUCCUCGCCUAGACGACGACGAGCAAAGCCGGCGAAUGCGGGAGGCCCGGCCCGGCCCCCGGCCCCGUCAAGGCCCGCCACGAGGACACGCAAUCAUGCACGCACCGGGCCUCUUUCGGACGAGCUGUCCGUCUUUGCGCGCCACCGCAUUUUGUGCUGUCUGUAUUUUUUUCUAACUGGCCGGACGGGCCGGC
This 157400-nucleotide long non-coding RNA is filed under the name Hordeum vulgare. RNAcentral's name for it is "long non-coding RNA (HVUL_LNC003369)". The record is from RNAcentral. Lineage: Eukaryota; Viridiplantae; Streptophyta; Magnoliopsida; Poales; Poaceae.